ACCCAUCGUCGGCCGAAGUCAAUUACGGUGAAGAGAUGUGAAGAAAAAAUAAUAAAAUAAUAUAAUAGGUAAAAAUAGUUAUAUAUAAAUAUAUUUAAUUAUAUUACUAAUUACUCUUUUAUUCCGUUGGUAUAUUUAAAAUAUGAUAAAAUUUAAUUAGUUAAGCUUUAAUAUUUUUUUAUUUAAUCUGUACAAUUAAAAUAUAAUAAAAAUUGAUUAAUUAAGUAUUAACAUUUUUAACUUUAUAAUUUUAUUAUUAUAUUACUAUAAUUUAUGUAUAAAAAAUAAUUUAGUUAUUUUAUAUUAAAUUUUAAUUAUAUAAAAAUAUAAUUAUAUUUUUUUAUGUGAGAUCCCUGGUGUUCUGUUGUGAUGGCUUGUCGGCAGCUUUGGAGAGUGUUGGGACAAGUCCGAGUCACGUUGGCGUCAAAUAAACGCAAAACGAGCUCCGUGCGACGCGAGGGCAGCUUUCAGCGAAGAAAAUCUGCAAAAAGCUGAUUUUCUGCUUGCUGUACCGGUACAGCCAUCAUGGUGUACCGGUACACUGCACAGGUUGCGCGCGUACUACUCUCGGGUUGGCUUUCUGUACCAGUACUGGGACCCGUGUACCGGUACACCAGGUUAGGUAAGGGGCUUUUUAGUCUUUCCUUCCCUCGUUGUUUUCACCCACUCCUUCUCCCUCCUAUUUAGGAUAGAGAGAGAGCAGAGAGGAGAGGACUUCAGUACUCUCUCUCUCUUCUCCUUGUGUGCGACCGAGUAUGGUGGUGGAGCUCGGGUGGAGUUCGAUUUUCGCCGACGUCGCGCCGCAGAGCCGUUCGAGGGUACGUGUAACAUACCACAUCCCUCGUAAAUCGUGCCGAGUUCCGUCAAAACGAGCGGAACGCGAAAUUGAACGAGUUACGUGGACCCUAAGUACAUUGGAGUUCAUAAACGGAACAAAAAGGGACCCGGAGAGCAAAUUUGGAAAUCUGGCUAAGUCCCAGAUUUUGUGCUCUCGGGGACCGGUCCCUGAAGGAGAGACUGGUCCCCGUGCGCUUAGCCUGCCAGGAAAUCCUGAGGCAUCCGGUCCCUGGUGGUGAGACCGGUCCUCGGGAGACCGGUCCCUCGCUGCGCAACAGCAGAAAAACUCGAAAAUUUGGCUAAGUCCUGGAAAACCCCCGUUCGGGAACCGGUCCCUGGUCGGGGAGACCGGUCCCCGAAGGCGAAAAAUGCCCAGUCUGGGCAGUUCAAGAGGAAACAAGUGGAGGGGCUUAAGUGCAAUUGUUACAACACUAUAUAUGACUCAUCCCCUCUCUUCCACAGCCAUUUUCACCCUUCUCUCCCAUUUCCUCUCUUUCUCUCUCUAGAACUCUUGCUCUAGGGCUUGGAGAAGAAGAAGAAGAAGCAAGGGAAGGUGGAUUUGGAGGCUUUGGUGGGUUCUACAAGCUCUCCUACAAGAAGGACUUGGAGGAGCUUGGGCUAAGGUGAGUUUUUGGUAGAAAUGAGUCUAGGGCUUGGUUUUAAUCCCUAUGUUUUGGAGCUUUGGGUUGUUUUUGGCCAUGGGAGCCUUCUAUAUGCCUUGAACUCCAUGGAACCCAUGAGAGCUCAAGUGCUCUCAUGGUGGUUGGGUAGGGUUUGUCAUGGAAGCCCUAGGGUUGGUUCCAAGGGUCUAGAAACCUUACUAGGAUGCUUCUUAGAUGAUCCUAAGCUAUUGUUUGCUUAAGGUUGGGAUCGAUUCAUGGGAAAACCCUAAAUGACAAUAUUAGGGCUUGAAUUUGGGGCUUUUGCCCUAGGAUUGUUCGGGGACAAAUUGACCCCGUGGAAACCUAAUUGGGGGUGCCCUAAACACGUUGGGCAACUCCGUUUAACAUUACGAAAAUGUUAGAGUAUAGUUCAUGUACAAAAGGCCUAAUAUGGCACCGUUUUGAUUAUAGGGCGCGGAAGCGGCUUUCGUAAAAUCCGGGAGUCGUCAUAUACUACACCCACACGAUUAUUAGAGGUGGGGGGUGCACGCCGGAAUCGUUGGAUUCCCUUCUAUGUCUGUUUUCUCUAUUCUUGAGCAUAUAUGUUUUAUAUAUAUACAUUCAUGCAUAGUAGGGUAGUUACAUGUGGAACUUGGUUUGACUUCAUUUAUAUGCUUCUAACGUAGUUGAACAUAGAGGAUGAUAGAACCAAAAUGGACAUGUGUGAUUGGACCCUCAAGUUGUGUGAAUGUGAGAUUGGACUUGGACAAUAGAAAACAAGGGUGACAUUGACAUAGAAACAAGAUUGGCAUUGAGAGAUAAACCGUUAAAUAUAGUUUAACCAAAUUAUGGCAUCAUCACGGAUAUGGCCUUGAGAGUGGCAAGAAUGAAUAGGUAGAGACCUACCAUGACAUCGACAUUGUGACCAGUGGCUAUGAAUCCUCAAGUUGGGGAUUAGAUCGAUACUCACAUUACGUCUUGGCUUGAGGGAGGUCGCUCCCCCUCGAGCGGUGCGCUCCGGAGUUGGUCACCACUGGGCGUGGUAAAGUCCCACCAGUUGACGGUCCCUAGGGAGGUUCGAGUCCCCCGUUAUUAAGGGAUUUUGGGUUGUGAGUUAUUGGGGUUAACAGAGUUAACCGGUAAGAUUGGGUAAGAGCCAAAGUUUGAUUAUGAUUGGAGCAUGCAUGCAUUUCCAUUAUCGCAUUGAAAUUAUAUAUCUACUGACUUCUUUCUUGCAGGCAUAGUAUUAGUUGCAUUAGUAGUGGUUACUUUUCCUCCUUUGAAAUACUUAUGCCUGGAUGGACCUAGUGGGUAAGUCGGCGAGGUCGGAUGCCGAGCCCACUGGGAACUUCGUUGUAGUUCUCACACCACUAACCCUACAGGUCCUAGCACGAGCGGGGCGGCGGAGGACCGAGGCAAGGGUUUGGCGCCGUAGGUAGCGGCCACCGGGGACUUUAUGCAUUUUGUAGUCAUUCCCUUUUGUUAUACAUGUAUCAACUUUAUUUUGUUGAUUUAGAAAUGAAAAGUGUAAACAAUCAUGUAUUUGGUGGAUGACUAAAUGUAAAAAGAUAUGAUGGUUGAAUAGAAUGUAAUAGUUUUGUUUACUUGAAUUUGGUUUAAAGGAAAUCAAAUAUCAUGUAUGAUGUAUAUUCAGCUUAGAGCUUUCGCUUCCGUUGUUACUUGCCCUCGCGCAAGCCUUGUAUUAUAUAUGCAAUUCUUUUGUUGAUUGCCUAUUUAUACAUGUUGUUAGAGCCUUGGGCGGACACGGGAGGCUCUGUCCGUUCGGCGUCUGUUGACGUGACCCGAACCCUACCAAAGUGGCGGGGAUUGGGGCGUGACAGUACGGUUGCCGUCAUAGCAUUGCGAGGAGGCCGGGCGAGGGUACGUUUUCACCGUCCUCGACGUCGCGCCGGUGCUAGAGUCGCUAGUGAGGUGGGUAUCGAGUUUUUCUCCGUUGAUAUAUUUUCCGAGCUCAAGUGAUGCUGUUUUGCUGAAAUUCAUCGUCGACUGUUAGUAUUUUAGAUCGUACUCAACGUAGGAGCAUCGGGUUGCGACGAGACUUGGUUCGUUGGAUUCGGGACUUCGAGAGGAAUCCGCGAAGUCCUUAUUUGCUAGAUUUGGUGAAGGUUAGCUUGGUUGAAUCCCUUUUCUACUCUGUUGCUGCGAAAUUCGGACUGAAUUGGUGGAUUUUGAUCGUAGAGCUUGGAGUUAGCUCGAGUGUUAGACUUGGAGGGUUCCCAUUGAUCCAGCAGGGGUCACUUUGGUUCGUGGCCUCGUUCACUGCCAGGAGCUAGCUUCUUGAGGUGGGUUACAUCGAUUUUGACUCCUAAGUUCUAAUCGUCGACAUGUGUAAAUUUCAAUUUUGAUAUAGUCUAUUCUAACUCGAAUUCAUGGAUUAUUUGGUAGAUUGCAAAUCUGAGUUUGAAGCAUAUGGUAAUAAAUUGAGUAGUUUAUACAUGUUGGACUUGGAAUUUGAAUUAGAAGAAAACCUGCGAUUUGAAUCUAUCACUUGUUAAACUGCUUGAUUUAGCUCUGGGAGCCGUUAUAAAAUUGUACUGUCGCUGUAUCCUCGAGACGAGUACUCCAGGUACUUUAGAAUACAUUUACGCUCGUGUUGGUACGCCGAGUGGAUUUUUACAGGGUCGUUUGGGCUGUUUCGGAUUUUUGGGCGCCGUUGGGGUUGACGGUGGGCCCGAUUCGCCGUUUUGGCGUCAGAUUGUGCCGAGGGCACGUUACUUGUUGGUUGUUAGACUAGUUAGGGUUGAUUACUUGGACUUUGGCUUUUCAGAGCCUGAUUGAGCUCGACAGAGAUACGCUGCAUACUCGAUUGGGUAGCGCCCACGACUGCCACUCCGGAGACGGGCUUUGUGCUUUCGCGUUGGUGUCGCUCAUGCCGGUUGGACUUACUCUCCACGGACCAGUUAAUGUGGAGGUAGCUGGAUAGUCUCAACUGGGCAGGGACGGGUGUAUUCACAGUCCCAGGGACAGGUAGGUUUACAGUCCCGAUUGAAUUGGGUCAGAUUUGACAUUUCCUACAAUUGGUUAGUGUAGAGCAUGAUAGUGUAGUGAUUGAUAGCGGUAGAGUUUACUUCCUACUUUUCCUACUAUCCUGGCUUCCCUCUGUAGACUUAGUGGGUGGACCGAUGUUGUUUGGGCGGCACCCACUGAGGACUACUUAUUUUUAUAGUAGUUCUCACGCCCAAUUGUUACCCCUGUUUUGCAGAGCCACAGGUUUCGGCUGCUGCGCCUUCUGCGGAUCAGGAUCGAGGCAAGGGCGUCGCGAGUUAGAGCCCUACCCGACGUGCUGAGCUAGAGGUGCCCCUACUAUAAGUAGAUGUUUUGCUUCGAGUUUAUGUACAUAGUAGACUUAACUCGUCAGCGCGAGUAGCUUUGUAUUUUGGAUUUGGACUAUAUAUAUGAAACUCAGUUUGUUUAGGUUCUGUUUUCUCUAGCAGCUCUCUACUACUGUUCGUAGUAGUGUUCGUUUUACAGGUACAGCUGUCGCUUCGUAUACAGGAAAAAUUUCUUUGUAUACGGCGGAUUUGUCGGCGUGCCCGGAGAACGAGACAUUCGGGGCGUGACAUUUUAUUUAUUUAAAAUAUUUAUUAUUUAUAUAUAAAUUAUAGUUUUACAUUAUACACUUCCUACCAAACAAACAAACUGCAGAACUAAUUAAACUUCACUUCCAUAACUACAAAACAAACAGAAGGAAAAAAAUAGUUUUCAUUGAACUCCACUUCAACCCGAAGUCCAGUUUCGGUGAAACAAACAUGACCUUAAACCUCGUAUCUUUUCCUAUCAACGAGUUCAUCAUCUCUUUACAUAUUUAAUUACAAGUGCAAUUAAGUUUCAAUCACUUCAAGCUGCAAAAUGGUGAUAUCCUGCUACUAUGGCUAGGUGUGGUCGACACUACAUUUGGAUAAUUAUCUAUCACAAUAACUGCGCAUGAUUUUAUUAAGAGUACUUCUGUAUUAAAGUUAUGUAUAUGUUCGUUAAAUAUUAAUUUUUACAGAACGAAAGAUAGAUAUAUAAAGUUUGAACAUUAGCGUGAGUCUUUAAUUGUAUUGUGUAUCUAAUUCACGCUAAUUUUAAUUAAUAUGACAUAUGCAUCCUAGCAUAUGUUAUGAUUCGAAUAAUAUCCGAAUAUAAAUAUGAAUCAUAUCUUAAUCUGGCGGAUUUGGUAAUGAAAAUUUAGAAUCCGACUAACCGCAUCGGUAAAGAAAUAUAGAUGCGAAUAUGAUUUUAUCAAAAAUCCUACCGUAUUUGACCGUUCACCAUUCGAUGGCGAGGUUUUGAGAGCCUAAGGAUACCCCCUCAAUUGAUAUCCAAAUUGCCAACGGGCUUUUCCCUAGUCAAAUUUGGCAUUUAUCUUUCGGAUCUUUUAUUAUUAAAAGAAUUUUUUUAAAUUUUCCCUAGUCAAACUUGUGAAUUUAUUCGCAUUUAUUGGCGCUCAGUGAAUCUAAUAUAAUAUAUACAAGUUGUUAAAUAAAUAUAUUUUUGAAUCACUUUUUAUCCUAUUUUUUUGGUCAAAUUAACGACAAUAAAUUUGUGAGACUGAGAGGGGAGAUUAAUUGUUCAAACUAGUGGAUCGAUCGUGCUUGAAUGAAAAUGUAUAAUAAUAGGUUGCAUCGGGAAAUGUAUAUGGUUUAUUUUUGUCGUGGAUAUUUUAGAAUAGUACUAUGCUACAGUAAUAAUUCAAUUAUCAAAGUACCUAAGGACACGAUUAUCCAACAUUGGUUGCAUGUGGAAAUAUUGGUAUUUUUUUUCAUAAAGGAUAAUUUAAAAUAAUAUUAUGCUACAGUAAUACUACAAUUAUCAAAGUACCUAAUGUGUUACGACAAACGCACAAACGAAAACGAAAUAGCGAAUACAAAAGAAACAAACCACAAGCAAAAAUAAAGAAAAAACAUAGAUAUAUGUGAAAAAUCCUUUGCAGGAAAAAAUCACGGACGAGGAAGAAAAGAACUUCACUAUCAAAACGAAACUAUCUGCUACCUACCACAGACAUUCAUUUUUUCCUUCACAAAUUUAUUUUUCAAUUUGAUCACACCACGAAACUAUCGGCGAGUCGAAAAACCCGGACUUGAAUCGAUUACCAAUUUUGCGUCACAUCUAACAUAAUGAUAUGAUUAUCCAACAUUAGGAAUCUUAGUAGCCAUAUCUACUGUGGGGGAGAUUGAUUAAAUCUUUAUAUUACAUCAGAAGAAGGCCUUUACAUGAGGGGAGAGCCUUCAGACCUUACUCCCAGUAGUGAAGAAGCGUGAUGAGAUGUCGGGAGGCAUUCAAAUGUGGCGUUUCAUAUGUGCUCGGCGAUGCGAAAAACAUCAGGAUGUGGUCAGAUAUUUGGAUUAAUUAAAGAAACCCCUCUGAGUACUGGGUUUCCAGGAGUAUACUCCGGCAUUGCGAAUAAGGAGAUCACAGUUGCACAAUGCUAGAAUGAAAAAGGGUAGAGAUGGCGCUUCAUAACUAGACGCCUAGCUACAUCGAAUAUCAAUAGUCGCCAUUAGAUUAGGUUGCUCAAAAACUUGCUUGCCCAUUAUAGGCCAACUGACAAACCGGAUAUACUAAACUCACGUUGGACCGCCAACCAAACUUUUACCGUUAAGUCCCUUUAUGAAUUCAUCACCAACGCAGGUCAGAGAGCCCCAAUGUAUGAGCAUCUUUGGAGGUUAAAAAUUUCGGUCAAAAUCAAAGUCUUUAUUUGGAUUCUGCUGCGCAAGAGACUGUUAACCGCAGACAGAAUGAUCCACAGAGGGUGCCUGGUGAAUCAGUUUUGCAUUUUUUGUGUGUUCUUUUCAGAAACCUGCGACCACCUGUUCCGGUACUGUAUCUUGGUCAGAUACAUCCGUAUUCGUGCCGAAGGUUCAGAUGCAAGCGAAUCGGAUGCCGGGGAUGUACGGAGGCUAUGGACAGAGACAUCUACCCGGACUCUUGAACAUGUCGCUUCUUUGACCAAUGCCUGGAACGGAGUCCUUUGACCCUUGCAUAUAUGUCCUUUCCUUCAUGCUCGGUUCCCACUUCUUCCUUUUCGUUAUCCACCCCGCUUUUCUUGUUUACUUCGUCUAAUCGGUAAGUGUAGGGUUUUUUAUUUUGGGUUUUCUUUCUUGUUUUUUUUCAGCUUUUUUAGGAGGCCCUAUUUGUCUCCAUCAUGUACGCUUAGUUCAUUUUGCUUAAUGAAUGAAGCAGAUAGCUUGCUACCUAUUUCUCAAAAAAAAAAAGAAAAAAGAAUCUUACUAUUCUUUAACUUUUCCUUCCUCCAUAUAGUUUAGUUGACACCAUUAAUUAAUUAGUUCUUGUUAAAAAUUAUCACGUGGUUAAUUCAAUAUCAUUUUACUUGGAUUAUAGAAAAGAGAUGAGACCAGGAGAUCCGCCGGAGCAAACACGAUACAGUCGUCGUUUUAAGACCCCGUAUAAACAUAGUCUUAAUUUUGUCGAUAUUCCAACAUGAGCAAACGUCGAUUUUAGUAAAAAAGUAGAAUUAUAAGAAAAGCCACAGACCAUAUUGAGCAUAUUGGUUAAGAGUUUGAGAAUUGAUACUUGAGAUUUCGAGUUCAAAAGCUUAUUACAUCAUAUUUCGAGCUCAUGAGUUCAUUUCAUAAAAGAAAAUAAACGAACCAAAAAACUUGUUAUCUUUCUCUCUUUGAAAACCAAGUAAAAAGAAUUUUUAAUAAAAACGCACAUGCAUGGUACGAUAGCUACGUACAGAGGUGUAAUUAAGUGUAGUCACAUUAAAUGAGAUGUAAGAGUCGGUUUGGACGUAUAAAUUAAGUAUGCAUGCAGGCCUUCCUAAUUAAAAAAUUGCAUGAUUUAAUAUUUUAUAUAAACCAUGCGCAUCGCAUGGUCACUUUCUUAUAUAUAUAAAUAUCUUCAACCUACCUCCUCGGCCUCUAUAUAUAUAGCACCUAAACCUAUACUAUCUUUUCCAUCAACGAGUUCAUCAUCUCCUUACAUACAUACAAGUGCAAGUUUCAAUCACUUCAAGCUCCAAAAUGGUGAGAUUCGUGUGAUAUCGAUUGUUAUCCUACACGCCUGGCUCAUGUUUUAAUCACUACAAGUACAAUUAAUACUGUCUAAAUAUGUCUUUCUUUGUGCUUGGCUUAGGCUGGACUCGUCAAGCUUGGUUUGUGGGGUGGAGACGGGGGAAGUCCUCGUGAUAUUGAUGGUUACCCUACACGCCUGUCGAAGAUUGUAGUUCGUAGCGGUCAGGCGAUCGAUUCGCUAUAUUUUGAGUACGUCCAAGAUGGGAAGACAUUUGAGGCUGGCCCAUGGGGUGGUUCUGGAGGAAGGCCCAAUGAGGUAUAAUUUUUUUGGGAAAGAACUUUUUUUGUGUAAAAACGCCGGGGAUGAUUUAUAGAGCUAAAACUAUAAUAGCGCGAUCUGCUAGCAAUAAUAAUUAGUUGGGUUCAAACUAUCGGCCCAAAAUACUUAAACUCAGUUAUUAUUACUAGCGUAUAAGGUCUCAUAUAUAAUAAUCAGAAUCAUCCGACCAUUGGUGUAGCACUUUGUCCCGCAUAUAUAGUGCUUAGCUCUCACACUUCCGACUGAUAUUCGGCUCUGAUACCGAUUAUAACGACAUGACCCGCUAGCAAUAAUAACUCGAUGUGCCCAAACCACCGGCUCAAAUGCCUAAGGUCAAUUAUUAUUACUAGUAUACAAAGCCUCAUAUAUAUACUAAUCAGAAUCAUUUUUUCAUCUGAUAUGGGACUAUUGGGAAGUUACAAAAACAAUUUGAAACAUCAGAAACUCCUAACUGUAAGGCUGAUUUUGCUCAUGUGGACUUCAAUCGAAAAGCCAGGCUGGGCUUGUACACUUAAUAUUUCUCGAAUAAUUGCAGUCCUUGCCAAAUUUUUGAAGGAUAAGCCCAGCAUUAAUCUCUGGUUUGGGCUUGGUGCCAAGUGAGCAACUUCUAAGGCCAAGCCUGGGCUUGUAUUGGACUUCAACCCUAGUCUUUAGACAGCGCCUGAGCUUGGCCCAUGAUCUAACCUGGCUCGAUUUCCGACACUUUUUGCUCUAAAACUUUCGGUAAUGAAAUAUUAAUUUCUCUAAAUCAACGCAUUCUAUUAUUGUUAUUAUUAUUAUUAUUUUGUAGAUCACAUUUGAACCUGGCGAGUACCUGACGGCGAUAAACGGCACCACCAGUCAAUUCAGUGACGUCACCAAUUUGCUGAGGUCGCUAACUUUCGUCUCCAAUGUUCGCAAGUACGGGCCGUUCGGACCGGAGCAAGGAACUCCUUUCUCAGUUCCCAUAGCGAAUGGUCGGGUAGUUGGCUUCUACGGGCGUUCCGGCACACUUGUUGAUGCGAUAGGGAUUUAUCUGAUGCCCAACUAAUGCCGAUAUCUCAUGCUCAUCGUCUUCCUGAAGGACUAGGUGUUUCGAUCAAUGUAAUAAAGUCGCAGAUAGAAUGACCUCGUGCAUUGUUAUAAUUGCGCAAAAUUUCGAGAAAAUAAAAUUCGGUGGGCUACUUAGUUUUUGAAAGAAAGAUGUGUUUGUCGGAAUUUCUCUAUUCUUGCUACUCACUUCUACCUUUUUAUUUGGGGCUUUGUUUCUAGAACAGCUAUUCUACUGAAAGCAACAAUCACUAUAACAGAAUUAGGUUAUAGGGACACAUGUUUUGGAUAUUUUUGUGUAAGUGUAUCAUUUAUGUCAAAACUUAAAAAAAAAUCUACUAAUGCCUAAAUAUAAAGUCCAAUCCAACAAAAAAAUAAAAGAUUACUUUACUCAACCCACCCCACCCAGUCCAUUCGGCCCGAUUACAAACAGAAAAGAAAAAGAACAGAAAAAACGAUUAUCAUUUUCCCUUCGCCCCUCACUCAAUCGACUGAAAUCCUAGACGAAGAUCCCUUUCUCUCGUCCUCCUCCGCCACCGCAGCCAACGAGAUAGAGUUUCAGCGGUUGCUAAAUACUUAAAUAAAUGUUGGUAAAUUAGCAGCACUUUUUUAGAUUAUAGCGACACUCUUUAACUAUCACUAUAUACCUAGCGACCCCACAUAUAGCAAUAUUUUUUAAAAGUGUCGGUAAUUUAGCUAGCAGUACUUUUUUUGACCGAUACCAAUAUUUAAAAAUAUCGCUAUAGACCAUUUUUGUUGUAGUAAAUUAAUGACCAAUUGAUCAAAAAGAAAAAGAGAGAAGCCUGGAUAUUUUCUUGUUCAGGGAAGUAAAGAAAGAUAACCUACAUGUACAUGAGAGAUAUAUCCUUAAUUCAAAGGCUUCUCUUCAUUUCUCAUGAAUGAUUAAACAAUAGGCAUAUAUAAAUAAAACAAAAAUGGUCUAUAUUCGAUUAAUGAUACUUAGAUUGUUCCAAAGAAAGAAGUAAAAUGUCAAACCAAUUAAAGGAGAAUUUGAUUUAUGGUACUUAAAAAUUGUUCCAUUUUCAUCAUUUCCCAAAUAACUUUGUUAAGUUCAACUUAUCAUCUUCCCUUUAGACAUUCUAUUUUAUAAAAUCAAUCUUAAGUUCACUAUAUAUAUAUAUAUAUAUAUAGAGCAGGACUACUGUGCUCUCAGAAGCACGGAGGCCUCGGUGCUCCUGAGCCGUUUUCAAUGAUGGAAUUUUCGAAUUGACGAUCGGCUCCGUUAGAUUUGAGCUAGCGUAUUUGAAGUUUCUAAAAAAUAAUUUUUGCGAUUUUUUUAUAUCAUUUACCUAGUGAUCGAAAAGAUUCAAAAUCCAUAAUUUUUAAUGGUUGAUAUCUGCCGUUUUCAAGUUUCACGAUGUAGAAGUAUUCAAAUCAGAUGAAUUUUGAUACAAAAAUUCUUUAUACUAUCUAUAACAAGAUCAAUAUUUUUGAUCGAAAAUUUUAAUGCUAUAUCACUACUUUUUAUAGGAUUUUUAUUUUCAACCGUUAAAAAUUAUUGAUUUUGAAUCCUUUCGAUUGCUAGGUAAAUGAUAUCGAAAAAUCAUAAAAAUUAUUUUCUAGAAACUUCAAAUACGCUAGAUCAAGUUUAACGGAGCCGAUCGUCGAUUCGGAAACUCCAUCAUCGAAAACGGCUCAGAAGCACGAAGGCCUCCGCGCUCCUGAGAGCACAGCAGUCCUGCUCGAUAUAUAUAUAUAUAUAUAUAUAUAUAUAUAUAGAGAGAGAGAGAGAGAGAGAGAGAGAGAGAGAGAGAGAGAGAGAGAGAGAGAGAGAGAGAGCGCGCGCGCGGCUCCUAUGCUUUCGAAAAUACGGAGACCUUUGAACUUAUAAACGUGCCACAUUGACCGUUUAAAUAGUCAUUUUUGGGACAUUUUAAUCACUUGGUAAAUGAUGUUAAAAAUUAUAAAAUUUGGUUUCUAGAUAGCUGCAAUAGCUUAAAUUAUGCCUAACGAAAACGAUCGUCGAAUCGGAUGUCCUAUCAUUGAAGACAACUUACAAAUAUAGAGUCCUCUAUAUUUUCGAAAGUACAGGAAACGUACCAUAUAUAGAAAAUUUUUUCACUAUUUAGAAUAAGAUCAGACCUCUAAUCUUAAAUUCAAGUUUUUAUCAUCAUUUUUUAGGAGAUUUUUAUUUUCAGCCGUUCAUUUUUAGACUACUCAUUUAAUAGAUAAAUGAUGUCGAAAAUUUAUGAAAUUUAGUUUUCAAACACUUUCAAUAGUGUAGAUUAUGUCCAAUGGAGCCGGUUGUCGAUUUGGAAGCCGCAUCAUUAAAAACAACUUGGUAGCACGAAGGCCUCCGUGCUACCGAUAGUAUAUCGGCCUAGCGCUCUCUCUCUCUCUCUCUCUCUCUCUCUCUCUCUCUCUCUCUCUAUAUAUAUAUAUAUAUAAAAGGAGGAAGAAAUAUGAUAGCAAUCUUAAAAAAUAAUAUUAGUGGGUAGGAUCGUUACACAUUUGGUUUCCAAACCCAUUCGCCGUAGGCCAUACAUCUCCUGGUAAUUUUGGCCAACAAAAGGAGUUUGUAAUCUCGUAUCAGAUGAAAAUAGAAUUAUAAUUACGUAUGUAGAAGACCAUUAAUUGACCAUACUAAUAAUAAAUAAGUUUAAAUAUUUUGAGUCGACGGUUUAAAUUUAACGAAUUAUUAUUGUUAGUCGGGAAUCUUUAAAAAUUUAAAGUGUGUACUAAUGUCCAACAAGCAGAUGAUAUAUAAUAGCUUAUAAUUUUGAUUCCUUCUGGGUGAUUAAAUUGCAUUAUUGAUCACUGUAACUUUGGUGAAAUGUCAUUUAACUCAUCAAAUUAACUUUCAUUUCUCUUUCGACCAACUCAUUGGCCAUUGCUCUUUAAAAUCUAUUUCAAUUGGGUCACUGAAGUUUAUACAUGUUAUCUCAAAGUUAUUAUUAUUCAAUUGUUACACUCUGGCCAAAAGCUGAUUUGAUGAAUUAAUAGUCAUAUAUAUCCUCUUUAAUUACAAUAUGAUUAUGUUUACUAGCAUUGGCUUCGACUGCAUCCGGUUUGGAGGGAAAUCGCAAGAUUUUUCAAUAUGCCUCAAAGAACUCAAAAUCAGUUGUAUUCGGAAUCAAAUCUCUGUUGAAGGCCUGGCGUUGCCAUCUUUCUUAGCUACUUUUCUAUCUAAAUUUUAACUUAAAAGAGUUAAAUCGUCCAUAUAUAGCCAUUUUUUGACUUUGAAAUGAGUUAUCAGCGAACUACAUAUGUAAACCUUAGAGAUCUACAUAAUUCUUUUAUAAAGUAGUGAAUUAUUCUGCUCAGCAUAUCUAUCUGGCCUGUUAUACCACUUUCAAAAAAAUACUAAUUAAUGUUUAUCCUUAACUAUCAGUGACUUAAUGUUGCAUUUUGCUUUUGCUUAAUGUUACUUUUAGCCAAUAAUGUAAAAGUACCAACUAAAAAUUCCUUGCUUAUGCUUUUUCUUCAUCAAGUGACAUCACAUCUUCUCUUCUAACAAGUCUAAAGUGGCCUAACCAACUACUAAAAACUGGCCACACACUCACUAAUUAAACACAUUAUUGUCAUCUUUGGCACCAUUGUUGAUUUGAAGGGCUGUCUUUUAUUUUUCUUGCCUUGAAUAUAAUGAUCCAAUAGACUACCUAGUCUUGAUUUUCCUCUUAUCUUUCUCUGUUGCUAAAUAGGAUACGAAAAAAAAAAAAAAAAUUUGACAUAAAAAGAAAUGGGUUAAUUACACUAUUGGUCCCUAACGCGUUCCUCUUUAUUUCUUGCUAGUUGGUCUGUAACCUUCAAAUUUUGUUUCCAUUAGAUCCACAACGACCCACCAGCUAGCAACAAUAACUCGUUGGGCCAAACCAUCGGCCCAAAAUACUUAAACCCAAUUAUUAUUACUAGCGUGUAGGCCUCAAAUAAACUGAUCGAAAUUAAUAUCACAUUCGAUGUGGGACUAUUGGGGCGUUACAAACUCCUCCAAACCAUAUCACAGUCAGAUAGACCAAACCAGAUCACAGACAAACAGAUCAGGACCAGAAUUACCAUGCGAUGUGAGAUUUUAGAGGUGGCUCCCACCAAAUCUGCCGGUGUAGCACUUUAUCCCGCAUAGCAUUUAGCUCUCACACUUCUGGCUGGUAUUCAGCUCUGAUACCAAAUGCAACGAUCCGACCCGCUAGCAAUAAUAACUUGUUAGGCUAAACCAUCGGACCAAAAUUCUUAAGCCUAGUUAUUAUUAUUAGCGUGUAGGCUUCAUAAAACCUAUCGGAAUCAGCAUCUCAUCCUUUGUGGAAUUAUUGGGGCGUUAUAAGAUCCCAACUACAUCAACAGUAGGAAUAAGAUCAAUCGUAAGCAUAACCAGAAACUGCAGCUAGAGUCUAAGUUUCAGCAACAUGUAAGCAUAACCAGAAAUCGCAAAAGAGUCAUAGCUAGACUCGGAGAUUGGUGACUCCCUAGGAAGUGGGAUGUGAGGAAGACACAGAAGCUUGUGUUUACUUGUGACAACACUAAUGUUAUGGACCUGUGGUAUGUGGAGUGGAUAUUUAGAUAAGGCACGGUGAGUCCACACACAACCAAUUUAAUUACUAAGCCAAAAAAUGAGGAUCUAAUGCGAUAUAGGUAUUUUUUUUUGAGAAAAAGGUAGCAAGCUACCUGCUUCAUUCAUUAAGUGAAAUGAAUUUAGCGUACAAAAUGGAAGCAGCUAGGGCCUCCAGACAGAGCCGGCUACAGCAGAACAAAACAAAACCAAAAGAAAAACGGGGACAGAAAGUAGACAAAGAGGAAGAGAAACGAACAACUCGGGACCGCAAAUUCGACUACGAGAGCGCGAGGGGCUUCAAAGUGUUUCGUUCCAACCUCUGAUCAAAGAGGCGACACGCUGGGAAGCCCAGGACACGUUAUGAGCCUCAUCGCUGAAGCAAAUGCUGUUUCGCUCCGUCCAGACAACCCACCAAAUCGCCACUAAAUGAGUUAAACUUUUCGAUCUUGAUUUGGGCUCGAGGUUCUCAGAGAUCUGUGACCAAAGCCUCCGAACAUCCCCCUCUUCCGAAAAAGCCGGCAAAAUGGGUCCCACUAUAAAACGAAGAUAUCGGACAAAAAUACAGUCAUGGAACAGGUGCUCACAGGUUUCAGAAUGUUCUGCACAGAACUUACACCAUUGAUCCACUGGACACCCUCGGCGAAUCAAUCUAUCCGCUGUGAGUAAUCUCUUUCGAAGUAGAAUCCAGACAAACACUUUAUGCUUGAGCGGGAUAUUUAGUCCCCAAAGGUGAUCAUACAAAGGAACAAUCACUCCUCCAUUAGUGAUAAAAUCGUAAAGGGACUUCACGGAAAAAAUUUGGUUCACGGUCCAUCGCCAUUUUGGUAUGUCCUGCGUAUUCGAUGGACUAUGCCUAGCGAGCAGGCUCUUGAGUAGCGCAGUCUGCUGACGGGUCAGAGGAUCGGUACUUGCAGCCAGGCCUCUGGUUAUGAAACGCCAUCUCCAUCCUCUUUCAUUCCAGCAUUGUGAAACAGUGGCUUCCUGAUUUGCGAUUCUGCAGAAUACUCCCGAAAAUCUGGUACUAAGAGGGGUUUCUUCAAUCCAAAUGUCCGACCACCACCUGAUAUUUUUUCCGUCACCAAGUACGUAAGAAAGACCACAUUUGAACACGUCUUGACAGCUCAUCACACUUCUCCACCACUGGGAGUGCGGUCUGAAGGAUCUUCCCUCAUGUAACGGCCUUCUUCUAGUAUAAUAUAAUACAGUGAUCAACCUCCCCCAUAACAGAUGCUUCUCAUUGAAGAAACGCCACCACCAUUUAGCAAGUAAAGCCUUGUUCAUUGCUUCCAUAUCCUUGAUUCCCAGACCUCCUUCUUUCCUGCUUUUGCAAAUCGUUUUCCACCCAACGAGACAAGAACCCCCUGAAAUUUUAGAGCACCCUUUCCAAAAGAAGAACCUUCUAAGAGCUUCAAUGCGAUUCAAUACCCAGUGUGGCACUUUGAAAAUUGCAAAGUAGAAUAACGGGAGAUUCGACAGAACCGAGUUAACUAGGAUGAGUCUCCCCCCUUGAGAGAGGAGUUUUGCCUUCCAUCCAUCAAUUCGCGUCUCGAUGCGAUUAAUGAUCGGAGUCCAAUCGUCCUUCCGAAGUGAUUUGAUAUGAAGCGGCAACCCUAAGUACCGAAGCGGAAAUUUACCAACUCUACACCCCAAAAUAUCUGCGAGUCUUUUAGCUCUAUUAUCCGAGGUUCCCACCUGGAAAAGUUCAGUCUUGUUCAUAUUAAUCUUGAGCCCAGAGGCCCAUUCAAAUAUCUUCCAGAUGAAACGUAAGUUACGCAUCACAAACUUUUUGGGCUCCGAGAAGAAAAUAGUAUCGUCCGCGUAUUGCAGAAUCACAGUCUGACACUCGAGUGCCGGUCCAAUUCCUUGAAGCAAGUUGUUACCUCUUGCAGUUUUCGUGACCCUAGCCAAACAGUCGGCCACUAGAAUGAAUAGAUAGGGGGAGAGCGGGUCCCCCUGUCUCAGCCCUCUCCUUGUUUUUAUCCAUUGAGUCGGCGAGCCGUUCACUAAAAUAGCGAUUUUGGCAUUGCAAAUGCAUUGUUCGAUCCAGUACCGCCAUUUGUCAUUGAAUCUAAGCCACCGUAGUAUACUUUGCAAGAAUUUCCAGCUAACUUUGUCGUAGGCUUUCUCAAAAUCCACCUUGAUACUGACGCACUCCUUAUUAGUUCUAGCGCACCAGUUGAGUAGUUCAGUUGCAGUGACAAAAGAGUCAGCUAGAAGUCGGUCUUUCAGGAAGGCCGAUUGAGAUGGAGAGAUAAUCGAAGGUAACACAUUCGCUAAUCUGUUCGCGAGCACUUUCGAGACAAUUUUUUGGAUACCAUUAAGGAGGGAGAUUGGUCGGAAAUCGUUAACUUGGCAUGCACCUUCCUUUUUGGGGAUUAAACAAACAUAAGAGUAGUCCGCUGGUGCCGUACAGAGAUCAGAAUCGGAAAGCUCUUUGAAAAUAUCAAAUAUGUUAUCCCAGAAAUGUUGGAAAAAGAUAAGAGGGAAGCCGUCGGGACCAGGUGCCUUAUCACUACCAAGUUGAAAGGUCGCCUUUUUAAUUUCGUCCAAAGUAAAAGAGGUCGAUAUUAGCUCUAAAUCUGAGUCCGAUAAGACGUCCGCUUGGUACAAGUCGGCCCAGUCACCAAAAGAAGUAGGCUCGUGAUCACCACACCCGUACAGACAUUUGAAGGAAUGUGCGAAAAAUGACUUCAUUUGAUCUGCGUUCCUAAUUUGGCCACCGUACUCAUCUUCAAUGUACCGUAUCUCGUUGCUACGCUUCCGACCGUUGGCAACUGCAUGAAAAAACUUAGUGUUACUGUCCCCUUCCUUUAGCCAGUGCUGCUUAGCUCUAGUUUUCCAAAGGAUUUCUUCCUCCUGCAGGAUAAGUUGGAGAUGUGCUUUAAAAUCAACCCGUUUCUCCCGUACCUCCUGUGACAAGGUGCCCCGUUCCUCUAAAAGAUCGAUGCUUCUAAUUUCCUCCUUUAGAGACCUUAUCGUGUUGACUAUACUAUGGAAAUUCGUCUUACACCAUUCUUUUAUUCUGAUCCUACAGUGCCUCAAUUUUGCCGUCAAAGUGAGUAUUGCAAACCUCUUAUCAGAAACUUCGUUCCACCAGAUAGGAACGUUUUGUGAGAAAUCCUCCCUAGUUAGCCAAACUUUCUCGAACCGAAAUCGCCGCGGAGUGGGAUUGCUCCCAGUUGUAAGAAUAAGCGGGGUGUGAUCGGAAGCAAUUCUAGAUAGAGCGGAUACCCUGCAGUGCGGGAAGACUUGGUCCCACUCCGUCGAAACUAGAAAUCUGUCCAGCUUCGCCAGGGUAGGUGAACGUUGCAUAUUAGACCAAGUAAACUUUUGGUUGGAAAUGGGCAGGUCGAUGACUUCGAGAUUAGAGAUGAGAUCCGAGAACAUGAACAUCGCUUUUGAACUCCACCGGUUUCCCGAGCGUUCAUUCUGGUUUCUAGUAAAGUUGAAAUCCCCGCAAAUCACCCAUUUGUUGUUGAAACAGACCGCACCUAGGGCGAGGAGUUCAGAACAGAACUCUUCUUUCCCAUCCCAACUUGGCGGUCCAUAAACAUUUGAAAGGUAGAAGCUCGUGCCGCUGGGGACGUGUUUCAAGUUAAGGGUGAGCGAGUGAUCACGCACCAACACCUCCGAACACAUGAACAUUUUGGAGUUCCAACAAGUGAUUAAACCGCCCGAUGCUCCAAUAGCAGGAAUAAAGUGGCAUCUGUCAAAACUCGAACCACAGCAAGAGCGAAGAAAGGAACGAGACACAGAAUCCACUUUAGAUUCUUGGAUACAGACUACCGAACAUAAGAGUUUAGCGACAGUAGACCUGACACAACGACGCUUACAAGGGUCGUUUAGACCGCGGACAUUCCAAGUAAAAAUAUUAAACAUAAGAGGAGAGACACACAACCAAAAGGCGGCCCAAACUCAACUCAAGCCCACUCCAGGUCAACCCCGCAGCAAGAACUUGUGGAGCUCCUCGGCCUCAACCCCCGUUAGCUUCACACCACAAAGCGCACUUUUCUUCAACACCUUUUUGCUGUUCCGUAGGCACCGAACCGACGUAGAACCGGAGAUCUCACCUUCGAGGAGGGCCGUUUUCCUCAUUUUCGCACGGUCAAGUGCCGAAACCUGCCGAACCGACAUCAGUCUUGCGGAAGAUCUGGUCGCCACCCUCGGAUCGCGCGGUAAAGUCCCCUCCUCACCUGGUGUAAGGUUGGUAGCGGGGGAGAGGGAAAAGAAGUCUCCUUCCGCUGACCCGAUCAACGAACUGACGAUCGGCAAGUUGGCCCUCUCGUAAACCCCCCCACCGAUAUCGCCUGUGCUCUGAUCUACUACCAGCUCUUCAACAACAGACCCGAGCAACGAACCGACAGGCGGCGAGUCGGGCAGUAGGUAGACGCCCCCUCCAAUUACACCAUGGAACGGAACAUCUUCAGACCCUUCGACAACUGACCCGGGCGGGUCGGACCUCUGGAACACGCCCCCUCCAUAAGCCCCUGGGAAUGGUUCAACUUCACUCGGCAAAGGAAAAACUUCAGGCACCCGUGGUGCGAAUCUUGCAGACAUGCUGGGGAAGGUGGGCCCCAAAUCCCAGUCCCGGGAGAUGGACCCGGAAGCGACGGCAGUGGUUACCAGCAAGAAUAGCUCUUCAGGCUUACUGGCGAAGAUGGGCCCCAAAUCCCAAUCCCGGGAGGUGGACCCGAAGGCAAAGGCACCGGAGGCCGGCGAGAGUACCUCCUCCCCACACGACACUCGGGGAGCGAAGCUUGCAGGCUUGCUGGUGUAGACGGGCCCCAGAUCCCGAUCCCGAGAGAUGGAACGAAGAGCGAUGGAACCCAGAGUGACUAUCGCGGUGGCCGGCAAGAGUGCCUCAUCACCGCUCGACUCUUCACCCCACAUCCCGCUGAGCUCCCGGCCUUCUCGACCAGCCCUCGGGCCCGAGCGAAAAAACGAGUGUCCCGAGCGAGAAACAGAGAGGCCCGAGAGACAGACAGUCCAAAGGUGUCCCAGGCGAAAAAUAAUUUCGGAAGGCCCCAAUUGCGGCUGAUCCACCCCGAAAGAAAUCAAUAAAGGCCCCCACCGAACCAGGUACCAGGCCUCUGAUCCGCGUGGGUCUGAAGGGCCCAAUCCCGCAUCAAGGCCAAAAUCCUGCGGCAGCACGCUCGGCCCGAGACCAACCAAAACCUCGUCAACGUCGGCCCACAGCUUGUCCGGCCCCAACCCAGGGCUCGAGGAGGUUGCGCCGAUCUCCGGAAUGGAUGUAGACCGCUUACAGUGAAAGAUGCGCUGAGCCUUCAAUGCGUAUCCAACAGUCUCUGCAACCCGAUGCGAAGCCCUCAAAUCCAUAAUGAGAUCUUUUCCUUUUCCAAGAGCCUUCGAAGCAACACCGCCCGCAAUUAAACUACGCGCCCUCUCCACAUCACUUCUCGCAUUAAUGGAUCGCCUUCCCUCCACAUCACCUCUCUCACAUCUCAUAAUUGCUGCUACAUCAGUCUCCGGCAAAUUCGAAUUCCUGAACGUUGCCCCACCCAUUCCGACGAUCGUCGGUCCUUUCCUGACAUCAGGAUCAGAUAAUAUCGAACUCCCGACCGAUGCCCCGCGCCUUCCGACGAUCGCCGGACCUUCCCUGACCGAUUCCACCUCACCAAUCCGCCUCCUGUCCCUGAUUUCAGACGAAUUCCAAGAUGCGUCGGAGUUAGACGAACCACCAGCGGACGAAUGACGGCCACGGGUCGUGCUGCUCCGUCCGUUCGUUGGGUGGAAUGCCAGGGUCGACGACCUCGCGGCGACCCCAUCUCUCGAGCUGGAUGAGUACCGACAGUGAGUAAUCUCCCACCGUGAUUUCCAGAUUUUUCGGGAUGUCCGAAAGAAAGUUGACAGAAAUGAGGCAUCGAUAUCCCGUAAGAUCCACCAUGCGAGUCGAAAAGUCGUCGGCCCGUAUGAAGCGACCGAACCCGCCAACCAGCGCCGCUACCGUUCUAGAGGACCAACACUCGUAAGGUAAGCUUACAAGUCGAAUCCAUACGUUAUACGUUAGCGAAGCCCUCCGCAGCCCGAAGUACGGAUUCCAUGGAUAACAUUGAAGUCUCAGAUUGUCCAACGAGAGGAUCUCCCUCCGAACUAGCUGGGCUGCCGUCACCCACUCCGGGAGGAAAAUCACAUAGUCGCGUUGACUGAACUUGGCAACAUGAAAGUCCGACGGGAAGCCGCCGAAACGACUCGCAAGCCUGUUAGCUAACGUCUCCUGAGGGAAAUGGCCUAGAUUCCUUGGAGGAAGCACAUCCACCAGAAUUGCGUUGCGGCAGCGAUUCUGCCUGGUGAAAAAAUCUUCUGUUUGUGGGACAAAUGCGCUGAGGUACGAAGGUCUGGCCCGCAUCUCCCUGUAGACCGCCAUCGGCAACCGAUCCAUGCACGAUUUAGCGACGUGACCCGUCUUGUAGCAACGCGCACACCGGAGAGGCUCGCGGCAGCUUGACACCCGGUGGUUCAGACCCAGGCACCUGAAGCACUUGCCCUUGAAGAAAGAUUUGUGCGGGCUUUUGAAUGAAGGAAAAGAGUAGACUCUCUGAGGGCGUCGAAGAUCUCGCGACGGUGUGGGCACGGGAGUGAGGAGCGCCUCCUUGUAGGUCUUGUUUAUACCAGAAGUACCAGAGCCCGUCUCCGAGCUCCUCGUAAAGCAAUUCGUCGACGUGUCGGUGACUCGUGUAGUGGGAGAAGGAUCCUCUAGAUGAACAACAGCAGCUUGAGUUAAUGCAAUCCCUUCCUCAUCAGCCCAAGUCACCUUCUUGUUGGGAGCAGCGCCCGCGACAGAACGAAGUUUGCCAGGGUAGGUGCCUUCAAUAACUCCUCUCUUCUUCCUUCCUUCAUUCACUUCUUUUUCCUUCCUGCCUUCAAUAACUCCACUCUCCUUGUUGUAGGCAGUAUGAGAAAGAGGAGCCACCGAAGUCGAAGGAUCUUGUGUCCCGCGCGAGCCCGUCACAUUUCGCCACAGAAUAUCCCUAGCUUCGUCUCCAAUCUUCUUCCCUGUCUUCAUCCUAUUCUUCUUUCUCUCUCUUUUCCCUUAUUUUAUUUUUUUUGAACCACACGCGAUAUAGGUAUUACUACUACUUUUUAGUUGCCUUUUCAUCCUUUGUACGUGCAAAUACAUUUUGUACUUUCCGACUAGUAUAUAUGCUAUUCUAUGUUUGAGAAAUACGUGUGCGUAAUGCAUGGUUCAUUUCUAGUUCAACUUUUAUACGCGCGGAUUUUCUAUUUCUACGUAAUUCAUGUUUGAGAAAUACUUGUGCUAUUCGCGACUAUCUGUUCAGUAUCUUAAGAGUCUACUGGGUGGACUAUACGAAUGCUUUCGCAAAAUUUAUGAAUUUACGUCCAAAUUAGACCAAAUUCUGAACAUUUAUUCUGAGCAUAACACUUAUCGUUAAGUGAGAUUACUUUAAUAGUGUACCGUGUUUGAGAUGAAAAGAGUACAAGAAUGGACGAGAAAGAAGAAUAUCUUCUAAAACAAAGACGCUAUUACAUAUAUUUAUCCAAAACUCUUCUUUACAAAAUCCUAAUCAGCCUUUACAUUUGAUGAUUCUGACGAUUUGCACUUAGGAUACAUAGAAAAGUGGGAUCGGGUGAAAUCUGGUCAAUAUAAAGCCAAUUGAGUCCUGGUUGAUGCGGUUUCGACCCGAGUACGUACUGUAAAACAAUUAUAACUUGGCAUACGGGUGUCUAUUUUUAGACGUGCAAUCUUAAUUCGAAAAUAACUUUUUAAUUAAGCUAACUUGCGCAUAUUUACAGUAUGCAGGAAUCGAACCCAUGACCUCUGACUCUAAUAACACUUGUCAGAUCGUUAGCGCUAACGAUUAAUCUCGAAAGCUCGAGCUGUUAGAAAUACAAAAUCAAUUCACUUAAAGCGUACAAAUACAACGCCUACGGAUUUUGAUUGUGACUCGACCCAAUCAGCCUAACGCCACUUCGAACAUGACUUGGCCCACCCAACCUCACGCCAUUUCUAAUAUGACUCGGCCCAAUAUGGCCUCCCGCCACAGAACAGAACGCUGGCCCAUUUAAGCCAACACGAUUGUCCCUGAUGCAAGUGGCAAAGGACUUGAUAGUUGGUACCUGAGAUCCCAAGUUCGAAUCCUAGUUGAUUUAUAUUUUCAGCCAAGUUUAUUUCUAAAAAAUAAAUGAAAUGAAUAGCAUGCUACAUUUCUCUCAAAAAAAAAAAAAAUCGAGAUCUACGCAUCAAACAGCAAAUCUGUUUUCAGCCGAGUUUGGCACCUAAAUUCAAUAGUUUAGGCCUCAAAAUUCGCAGUUUUAGAUAUUUUUUAAUUAAUUUUGAGAAUGUUAUUUUGUUUCUUUUAUAAUUUUGAGUUAGACCAGAGUUCUUUGUUAUGUAUGGCUGAUUAGGGUUAGACUUGAGUUAAUUUCAUACUUUGUGCUUAGGUGAGUGCCUCUACAUAAAGGCUAAUAAGGGUCUUCAUUAUAGAAGAGAAUCUUCUAUCUUUCUCAUCUCAAACGCUGUUUAGGCUUGCGUCAAAUGAAUCAAACUUCUUGAUAUUGAUCUAAAGAACAAGUUAAUCAACAUUUACAUGGCAAUUUUUCAUCCACAUCACACUUUUUUUUUACACUCAUGCAUCAAGUUCCAAUUCUAAAAACUUCGUACAAAUAAAAAUUUGAAAUCUAACCGACUUGUCGGAUCGUUGGCGCUAACCAUUAAACCCAAAAACUUGAGCUAUUACAAAUACGCAACCAAUUCACUUAAAUCGUAUAGAUACAAUAUCCAUGGGUCUCGAUUGCUAUUCGGCCCAUCUAGCCUCACGCCAUUUCGAACAUGACUCGGCCAAACAUGGCCUCCCGCCACAAGGUAGGAUGCUGGCUCAUUUAAGCCAACAAUCCCUCCUGUAGCACCUGCACACAUUUGUAGCAUGCAGGAAUCGAACUCGCGACCUCUAGCUUUGAUACCACUUGUCAGAUUGUUGGCGCUAACCAUUAAUCCCAAAAACUCGAGCUAUUAGAAAUACGCAACCAAUUCACUUAAAGCGUAUAGAUACAGCACCUAUGGGUCUCGAUUGCGACUUAGCCCAACCAGCCUCACGCCAUUUCGAACAUGACUCGGCCCACCUAGCAUCACGUCAUUUCGAAUAUGACUCAGCCUCCCGCCACUUCAAACAUGACUCGGCCCAUCUAGCCUCACGCCAUUUCGAACAUAACUCGGCCCAAUAUGACCUCGCGACACAGGGCAGGAUACUAGCCCAUUUAAGCCAACACGACCAUCCCUAACGCAAGUAACUAAGGGCUUGGUGGUUAGUACUCGAGACCCAAGUUUGAAUCCUAGUUUAUUCACAUUUCCAGCUAAGUUUAUUUCUAAAAAAAAUAAACGAAGCGGGUAGCGUGCGACCUUUCUCUCAAACAAAAAUAGUUUUGAAAUCUAUUUUUGGAAUCAUUCAUACACUGUACUCCAAAUACUACACAUACCAACUAAUUGAUUUCAAAGUAAUUGCACUUUGUUUGCUAAUGCAAAUAGUCCCACAAUUGCUUUUGGAGACACUCAUCAUGCUUUAAUAAUUAAUGUGUCACACAUGUACUAAUCAAAGACAUUAAAUUUGGCACACAUGUGCUAGAGCAGAUGCUAUGUCACAAUCUCAAUUCUGAUUGAUUAACACUUUUGUUUCUAUGAAUUUGUUGAAUUGUGUGCUUCUGUUUUUCCUUCUGCUUUUUAAUUUCCUUGCUACCAAAAGAGGUUUGAACCAGCAUUGUUAUUUUCUAUUAUAGUUCAUUGCUUUUAAGCUCAGAUAAUUACAUUUGCGGAUAUCUUUAGUCUCUGUUUGGAUGCAUGAAUUUUUUACUCAGUAUGUUUUCUUAAUUUCAUCAAGAAAUUUGAUGCUUGAUUGAUAAGAAGCUGAUCAAAUGUUUAGAAUUGAAUACUAUAUUUUUCGAGUCAUUUUUUGGAUAAGAUAAUGUUACAAUGAGCACACAAAUUAAUAAAAACGAAAAGCAGUGAUCGCAAAGUAAACAAACUACAACAUAAUAAAAUAAAAAAUAGAACAUAAGGAUUCACGUGAAAAAUUAUUUGCAAUGAAAAAAUUACGGGCGCAGGAGGAAUGAACUUCACUGUACGAAAAAAGAGAGUACAAUAUUGUAAAAGUACAAUAUGCUGUAUCGCUUCAAGAACAAAAAGAAGAAAGAAGUUUCUUAACGGAUUCCAUCACAGACAUCUCCUUUUUCCUUCACAAAAUAUUUUUCAAAAUUUGUUACUCUACGAAAUUGUCAGUGAAUCAGGGGCACAAUUUCGAACUUGAUAACUAAAUUUCGAGAUACAUCUAACAAUCUUGUGGAUGAAAUAUACUAUCCUACUAAAUCAGUAAUAUAUAGCAAAACCUUUGAAUAAGCAAGAAUCAAACUCUUUAUUUACAAUCAACCCUUAAAAUUCUUACACAAGAGUAGGUUAUACAAGAAUAACUUAUUCUAAUAUUCAAACAUGGCCUUAAAUUAAUCAAUAAUAGGUUUCUCAACAUUGCCGACAUUAAAGUUGACUAGCAAUUAAAACAAGGUAGGGCUAAUUAAUUGCACCAUCUUAACCAAUUUUUCAUCUUAGCCCCCAACUUAAUUUUUAAAAAAAAAUCAGAUCCUUAAUCUUUAGAAUUAAUUGCCUAUUAGUUCUAACCUUUACUCCCCAUUCACUUUGAUUACUAACCUCUUAUAACGAAUCCAUGAUCGUUGUAUCAAGCGUGAUUUCACCAACUUUAAUAUCGUCUUCUGCGUCUAAGACCACCUUAACGUACCUCACAUAUAAUGUCUACUACCUUUCCUGGAACGUUUAAUAUAUGUGGCGUCAACUGGGUGUAUCAGCACGCAAACUCUUGUAAAAACUUAAAAAAGUAGGCUAUUUAUUAUUGGAUUAAAAUAGGUUCAACAUUCUGGCCUGUAACAAUAAGCUCAAGAGAUUAAUAAGUUGAGUUUGAUGAGCCUAAUAAGUUGAGUGGGGCUGCAGUCCACAAAAGACCUAAAGACAAGAGGCCCAACAAUAGACCUAACAUCCUAGUGGGUUGAGUCAGGUCGAAAUCUGUGAGCGAUGUGGUUGAACCUUUAAGUGCGAUGUGUGCGUCUUUUCUAUCAGUACGUACUUUUGGGAUAGUUGGCUAGCGCAAAACGAUCCGACAAGUGAUAUCAGAGAUAGAGGUCACGGGUUCGAUUCCUCCUGCAAGCUACAAAUUUGUGUAGAUGUUGGAGAGGAAAUUAUUAACUUAAAAGGGCCAGCAUCUUGCCAUAUGGCAGGAGGCCAGGUUGAGCCGAGUCACGUUUGAAAUGGCGGGAGGCUAGAUUGGGCCGAAUUAUGUUCGAAGUGAUGCAAGGCUGGUUGGGUAGAGUCACAAUCGAGACCCGUGGGCACUAUGUUUAUACGCUUUAAAUGAAUUGGUUGUGUAUUUCUCACAACUCGAGCUUUUAGAAUUAAUGGUUAGCACCAAUGAUCCGACAGAUGCAAUUUAUUCCAUCAAAAUUAAUGAGAAUUCGGAUGUUUGGAAUCUAACUGUAAAAAAAUAUAAAAUUAGAAAUCUAAAGGUAGGGACAAAUUGUGGUAUGUAUAUAGGUUAUUCUAUGCUUGUUCUUUUUUUCUUUUUUUUUUUUUUCUCUCUCAUUAUUAAGAUUGGAACAGCUUGUCUUGUACUUAGGUGGAAGCCAACCAAACUUUGAUGAAGCUUUUACAAUGACAGAUGAGACAUCAUAUUCAAUUAGGUAAAGUUGUAAUUGACAUGUAGGAUUGGAUUAGAUAGUUUAAAAUGAAAAGGAAAUGUUGGAUGCCAGAAAGUAUUUAACAAUAUAGAGAUUUUGGCGGUCACGAUAGAUAGAUAUAUAGCGAAGCCAACAUGAUAGAAAGGGAUUUUCUGAAUCAAAGCCGUUCAUUUAUUUUCAAACUCUCUAGUAUGGUUCAAUAAUUCUGACAAGACUCUUUGGCAUGACUGGACUCAUUUUUCUAUUGCCAAUGCAUUCAACUUGGUAGGCUGAUAUUCUUUUUUGGCAUUAUUUUCUCAUCUUAUCUUAUCAAUCCAAUACCGAAUGUCGGACGAACCCUAAAUUCUUAUUUUGCUAGGCUUCUAGGAUAGCUUAAUUGCUCAACCAAGAUGUGGUGAAGCAUUUAAUAGCAAAAUGCUUUAGAGUUUCUGCUAUGGUUGGAAGUAGAAAUUCUGAAGCAACGCCUACAAUUCUUUCUGAAGCCUUUGAUUCUGUAGAUCUAUUUGGAAAAUCUUUCUUUGAAAAAGCUGCUAAUGCUUCUCCAAACUUCAUCAUCAUUACAUCUUUUGAUAAUACAGAAAAAUUUAACAAUUCUCUAGUGUUUGAACUAAGACAAUGCUAGCCCUACAACCACUUGUUGGUUGUAAUCUUACAACCCUACCAUCUAAGGACUCAUAUUUUUCUACUAAUCUUAUCAUUCUUUUUUUUUUUAUUACUAAAUUCAAAUGAAAUUUUUAAACUCUAGCUAAGAAUGUUAAAUAAUAUGAGACAAUCGUUAUUCUUUAAAAACGUAAGUAUUUUUAAAUUUCAACCAUCCCACCUCCCACCCCAAAAAAAAAAAUAUAUAUAUAUAUAUAUAUAUAUAUAUAUAUAUAUAUAUAUAUAUAUAUAUAUAUAUAUAUAUAUAUUANUAUAUAUAUAUUUGGGCUCGAGAUUUUUUGAUUGAUCCAUGACGUAGGCUUGAAUUAAAUAGAUUAGCAGUCUGGUUUGACUCGAACUCAGGAUCUUCUGUUUUGACACCAUGUUAAAUUAUAUGAAAUAGUCGUUGUGCUGUAAAAGUUUAAAUUAGUGAAAAAUAGUAUUUCUAUAUUUUUACAUUUAACAAAGUAUAAGAAUUACAACCUUCAAAUUAAGAUUGUGAUCCUACAGGUCUCUUUGAAUAGUAGAUUUAGCAUUUCUCUUGAAAUAAAUGUUGACUGAUUACAAACACUACAUCAGCUUGAGAAGAGCACACAUUUGACACCACUGUCUAAGUUACAGUUGGACCUUUCUUAAUAACUUAAGCAGUAGCUUUUUCCUUAUAAAGGGGUUAGAGAGACCUAAAGAAAGGAACGACCCUUGUUACCCAAUGACAAAAGCACAGGAUCUGAAAUGAAAUUGUAUUUAUAUAUAGAGAGAGAGAGUUGAGCUGAAAUGCUAUUGGUACUAAACGGACUCUGUUGCCACUCAUUUUAUUUUCGAUGAUGAAGCGUUUAAAUCGAUGAUCGAAAUGCUAUGAGGCGUUUUCUUGUUUAACGGUAUAAAACUAUCUAAAUCAAUUGAAUUUUGAUUAGAAAAUUUUUCAAACUAUUUAGAACAAGAUUUAUACUAUUGAUCUUGAUUAUAAAAUUUCUAUCAUCACUUUUUAGAGGAUAUUCAUUUUUAGCAGUUCAUUUUUACUCCCACUUGAUGGAUAAGAGAACAAUAUCGAGAAAGCAUGAAAUUUGAUUUUUAGAUACUUCAACCGGUAUAGAUAAUUUUCAACGGUGCCGAUCGUCGAUUUGAAAGCUCCAUCAUUGAAAACAAAUGGGUGGCAAUAAAGCUAGUUUGCUAUCGAUAGCAUUUCAGCUCAACUAUAUAUAUAUAUAUAUAGAGAGAGAGAGAGAGAGAAAGAGAGAGAGAGAACUAGGCUGGAAUACUAUCAAUAGCACUAAGUUAUUUGUGCUAUUAAAUUUUUAGCCAUUGAAUUGAGAAAUAUGCGGUUAAGAUCAACCUGUUUAAUCAUUUCUAACCUUUAGAUUAAUACUAUUACCUUGUGGUAAUCACUCAACACUAGGAAUGAUCACAAUCAUCCCAACCGUACAAUUCUUGAUCCAAAAGUCAAAAAAUCGGAAGUAUCAAAUUAUUUAUACUUCCGAUAGUAUAGUAACUUUACAUUAUAUAUAUAUAUAUACUAUAUAUAAAUGCACGUAUAUUCAAAUUUGAGUCUAUCGACAGACCCAUUUCUCGGCGGAAAAAUUAGCGCCCAUUUUUCUCUUUCCGUACAAAAAAUUUUAAACAUAAGAAUAAAAAAAGAAAUAGAAACCGUAAUGAAUACGUAAGUUUUCUAUAACAAAUUACUGAUGUGAAAAUCCUAAAAAAUAAAUUUUCUUAUUUAAUUUCAAAAGUAAAUUUUCUAUAACAGAUUACGGGUGUGAAAAUUCUAUAAAAGAUAUUUUCCUAUUUUAUUUUAAAAUAUCUUUUUUAGAUAUUAUCUAUUUAAUUUCAAAAUAUAUUUUCUUUUUAAGAUAACGGAUUUUAUUUUUCUAUUUAAUUUCAAAAAUUUAUUUCCUAACAGAUUUUAUUUUUCUAUUUAAUUUCAAAAGUAAAUUUUGCAUUAGAGAUUAUUGUUAAUUAUUUAUCAUUUAAAGCAUAUCUUUCUUAAUAGCGUGAUUUAUUAUUUUAAAUUUUUUAGAUACAUAUUUGGCAAUCAUAUAAAAUAUGGCCUAAAAUUAAAAAAUAAUUUAAAAAUUGUAACUUCUUCUAAUAAUUAUUACGUGCAUUUGCACGUACAUUUUUACUAGUAUAUAUAUAUAUAUAUAAUAUAUAUAUAUAUAGAGAGAGAAGAGAGAGAGAGAAGAGAGGAGAGAGAGAAGAGAGAGAGAAGAGAAGAGAGGCGCGAGCGAGCUAGGCUAGUAUAAUAUUGGUAGUACAGAGGCCUCCGUGUUAAGUUGUUUUCAAUGAUGCGCUUCUAAUCGAUCGAUCGGUUCGUUAAUUUGAUCUACACUAUAAAAUACUUGAAACUAAAUUUCAUAAUUUUUCGACAUCAUUUGGCUAGUGAUCAAAAGGUCUCAAAAAUUGACAAUUUUAAUGGUAGAUGUGAUGCGUUUGUGAAUUUAACGGUGUAAAACAAUCAAAUCUGAUGAAAUUUUUUAUAGAAAAUUUCUUUCAGUAUGUAGAGUAAGAUCAGUUCUCUGAUUUUAAUCGAAGUCUUUAUGAUUAUUUUUACGAGAUUUAUUUUCAAGCCGUUUCACUUUAAACUACUUGUUUAAUAGUAAAUGAUACCGAAAAAUCAAUAAAUUAGUUUCAAAUACUUUCAUAUCGUGUAGAUGCAAGUCUAACCGGAGACGAUCGUCAAUUUGGCCCACAUAAUUGAAAUAUAACUUAAUAGCACGGAGACUUCUGUACUACCGAUAUUAUACCAGCCUAGCUCUAUAAUAUAUAUAUAAUAUAUAUAUAUAAUAUAUAGAGAGAGAGAGAGAGAGAGAGAGAGAGAGAGAGAGAGAAGAGAGAGAGAGAGAGAGUUGAGCUAUGAUAUCUUUACAAGUAUCAUCAUCAUGGUGCUAUUGUUUAAGCCAUUGAUCUACUUUUUAUUAUUAAUAGCCUCUGAUUAAACACUAUUCCACCUACCACCACCUAUCACCACCUACCACCAUCAUCUCAACCUCACAUCUCUCCAUCCAAGGCUAAAACACACAAGUAUCACCCCCAUGAUACUUUUACAAGUAUUCUAGCCCUACUAUAAUAUAUAGUAUAUAAUAAUAAUAAUAGAGAGAGAGAGAGAAUGAGAGAGGAGAAGAGAGAGAGAGAGCCGUUUCGAUGAUGGAGUUUCUGAAUCGACGAUCGACCUCCGUUAAACUUGAUCUAGCAUAUUUGAAGUUUAAGAAAAUAAUUUUUGUGAUUUUUCGAUAUCAUUUACCUAGCAAUCGAAUGGAUUCAAAUCAAUAAUUUUUAACGGCUGAAAAUAAAAAUCUAUAAAAGUGUGAUAUAGCAACUACAAAUUUCGAUCAGAAAUAUUGAUUGUUGUAGAUAGUAUAAAGAAUUUUGUAUCAAAAUUUCAUCUGAUUUGAAUACUUCUACACCGUUAAAUCUUGAAAACGGCAGAUAUCAACCAUUAAAAAAUUAUGGAUUUUGAAUCCUUUCAAUCACUAGAUAAAUGAUAUAAAAAAAUUGCAAAAAUUAUUUUCUAGAAACUUUAAAUGCCUAGAUCAAGUCUAACGGCGCGAUCGUCGAUUCGAAAUUCCCAUCCAUCGAAAACGACUCAGGAGCACAGAGGCCUUCGUGCUCGGAGAGCACAGCCAGCCCUGUUCUCUCUCUCCUCUCUCUCUAUAUAAUAGAUAUAAUAUUUAUAUAUUAUAUAAUAUAUAUAUAAUAUAUAUAUAUAUAUAUAUAUAUAUAUAUAUAUAUGCAUGCAUGGGUCGCCUAUCAAAUGGUCACUUACUCACUUAUCACAUUGCCACCUGGAAACUUUUCUUCUUAUCGUGGGCAUGUCGAUCUCCUCCUGCUUUGAUUUGUAUGCUUAAUUGCCUCAAUUUCUAAGUUUUUAGAUGGCUAUUAUCAUUGGACCAACAAAUUAUUGGUUAAAAGUAUUUAAAUCCCCAUAUAUUAUUAUAACCAAUUAAUAUAUAAUUAAAUACUAUUGUGAAUAUGAAGUUUUAGUGUAUGUUCAUACAUACACGCUCUUCAUCUUUUCCUAAAUCUUAAUCAACUAAGUUUUUUUUUGUUCUUUCCACUACAUGACUCUUUUUUCUAAGUAAAGAAAUUGUCUGAUUCAUCUGAAUAUUAGUGCAAAUCAUCAGCUAAGCUGUGAUAUAAAUAAAAUAAACUUAAUACAUAAACUUUACUAUUAUUUUACAUGAAUAUUUUCCUAAAACUUCAUCUAAUAGAAAAAAAAAAUGAACAUUAAAUUGUCUAGAAUCCUUUAGCUAUAUAUAUAGAGAGAGAGAGAGGAGAGAGAGAGCAGGACUGAUGUGCUCUCAGGUGCAGGAAGCACGGAGGCUUCCGUGCUCCUGAACUGUUUCUGAUGAUAGAAUUUUCGAAUCAACGGAUCGCCAUUUGCAGAGACUUGAUCUAGCUAUUUGAAGUUUUUAAAAAAUAAUUUUUGCGAUUUUUUGAUAUUAUUUACCUAGCAAUCGAAAGGAUUCAAAAUCAUAUUUUAACGGCUAAAAUAAAAAUCUAUAAAAAGUGAUGAUAUAGCAUUAAAAUUUUCGAUCAAAAAUAUUAAUCUUUUGUAGAUAGUAUAAAGAUAUUUUGUAUCAAAUUUCAUCUGAUUUGAAUACUUCUACACUUUUAAACUUGAAAAACGGCAGAUAUCAACCAUUAAAAAAUAUUGAUUUUGAAUCAUUUCGGUUACUAGUAAUGAAUACCAAAAAAUCGCAAAAAUUAUUUCUAGAAACUUUAAAUACUCUAGAUCAAAUCUAACGGAGCCGAUCGUCGAUUCGAAAAUUCCCAUCAUCGAAAACGGUUCAGAAGCACGAAGGCCUCCGUGCUCCUGAGAGGCACACAGCCGCUCUCUCUCUCUAUCUAUAGAGAGAGAGAGAGAGAGAGAGUUGAGCUCUAUGCUUUAAAAACACAUGGACAUUUUUGUUUGUGCCUUUUAAUCAUAAAUCGUCUUAAAAUUCUUACAGCACUAUUAAUGAGGUAUCCUAGAAGACUCUCGUUUACUAGUGCUGCAGCGACUGGAGACGAUCCGAAAUCACAAACUACUAUAUUCAAUAUAGCCAUUAUUAAUGAACCCUAAUCCGAAAACUACAACAAUAGCUAUAUUAAUUCAUUAAUUAUCCAAAAAUAAGAUAAGGCUCAAGGGUAACUCGAAUUAUGUAGCCCACAAGUCCACUAGAGACUUGAGGCCUUAUCUUCAAAAACACAAAUUGGGAUCGAUCAAAUCAUCACCAACCUCUUAAGUGUUAUUCCGUGAUAUAAAACAAUCGUUGCGUACCUAGGCACCGUUUGUAUCGGGGAUAAGGGGCAGGGGAUAAUCGCCUCUAUCCCCGCCUUUACCCAGAACACAAAUUUUUAUCCGAAAAUAGUAGUUUCGGAUACCGUGAACAUAAGCUGGGUAUAACUGAUCCCACAACACCUAUUUUCCUAUAUAUAUUCUAUAUUAUUUUCCUAUCCAUAUAUUCUAUAUCAAACGCUAUUUUCCUUAUUCCAGAAACAGUCAAUUUUCAUCCAAAACCGCUAUUUUCUUAUCUCCAUACUUGUACAUAUCCCAGUAAUGUAGGUUGUUAACAAAUACAGGUUCCAUAAAUGUAUAGAACAGUUAGAAAAUAUUUUGUACGAAGUUAACUAAAGUUUUUUGAGUAGAAAAAAAAAAAAAAAAAAAAAAAAAAAAAAAAAAAAAAAACAAAAAUAUAGUACAAAUUCGACAAAAAAAAGUACUUAAAUUCCAUAAUUAAGCAAAUCUCCGCAAUUUGUAGAGCUAAGAGGUGAACUGCAAAAAUUGAUUCCUCAGCUUCAAAUUUUUAACCAACAUUCCCUUUUGAUUCUCAAUAUAUUUAAUUCAAGUUAUAUAUUCGAGUCCAUUUGAAUGGAAUUUUUUAAAAAUAAGCUAUACUUUAUAUACACUCAAAGAAAAAUGAUAUUAACGAAGGAAUAGUGGCCGUUAUAACUAAGCAUAUUGGUCCGCUAAAAUUUUAAUGACGACAAUUUCCGUCGCCAUCCGUCUUAAUCUUCUCUUCCGCUAAAACUUUAUACGAAGGGCUUUAAUUUCGUCACAAAAAUAUUUAACGACCGAGAUCAAUCCGUGUUAAAUGAUAUAUACACGACCCAUAUUGCUAGUAAUAACACCAUAUUAUUUGGUCGUUUUUUUAUAUAAAAGAUAUGCCAAAUCUUAUUGUUAGUGACGGAUACAACUAAAAUCACGAACUGGUAGUACCUGUCGCUAAAAAAUAUUUUCAGCUAAAUAAACUAAAAUCUAACACGAAAAUUGUCGUCGAUAAAAAAAUAUUAGCAAUACCAUUUAAUGAUUCACACACGCAAACUACCCUCUUCCGCUAUAUAAUAUAAUAUAUAUAUAUAUAUAUAAUAUAAAUUAUAAUAUAUAUAAUAUUUAUAUAUAUACACAACACAUAAGAAGAGAGAGAGCAAUAUAUUAACUCAUCCGUGGCAGAGGGUGAAAAAUAUGAAUAGACAAUUCCAAACUAAUGAGAGAAUAAAUAAGAACCAAUAAUUGUCACAUCCAUAGUUUAAAAAGGUAAAAACUAACAAAGUAUUGGAAUUGUCAUCCAUACUUACAUACAAGUCUAAUCAUACCAACAAACUAAGCAACAUUCUUAAACCAUCAAAGUCCAAAAUAUGAAAAAUCAAAUUAAGAAUAAAGUUUUGAGAGAUUUUGGUUCCAACGAAGACCCAAAAUGAUUCAAAAUACCUUGACGCACGCUAAUCAUCAACGUUGGAUCAGAUUUCAAUCCUUCCAACUUAUCACCAUCAUUACCUACAAAAAGAUAAGCGUAUGUAUUAGACUAGAUGCACGAACGAAUAAUCAUAAUAUGAAAUUCCGAAUUAAUCUAACAUGAUUAUCGUGAAAGAUAGAAGAACUUUAACUAAGUCUAUGAAAUAAAGUAUAUAAAAGAAAUUGGUGACAGAAUGCAUAUUAUAAUAGACUUAUCAAGUUUAUUAAGGUAACUAGAGAAUAAUUAAAAACAAACCUUCAAGGAAAGUGGAGGAGAAAUAUUAUGAUGUGCUGGAGCAAUUUCCAUUAAUUUUGAGUUCCGCUCUCAAAAAUUCCACAUACGCAGUCCUAACAAGUGAUGAUUUUGCCUUCUGAGUUGUCACAGAUUUGGCAUUAGUAUCAGCUCUAGAAGUAGUAAGAAGUUUAAAAUCAGUCGGCUUCACACACACCCCAUACAAACAACAUGUUGACUGACAUUGAAGUUCCAAACCAUAUUUUCAAUGAGCUCUAAUAUUGGAUAGUUCCGUUGCUGGAUUGUGAGCUUCAAGAAUUUCAUUCUUCAAAAUAAAAUUUAAUAUACAAAAUAGUUAUAUAAAAUGUAACAAAUAGAACAAUAUAAUAAAUAGUCAGGCAAAACUUACAUAUUCUUGUUUGUAUUACCCCUUCAAGUUGUCCACCUUUUUUCGAGCUCACAAAAAAAUUGUCGGCUAACUUGGUGACUUACCAAUCUUUGCACUCUAAAACAAAACUUGUUUCAAAUCAAUUAGACUACAACAAAUAACUUCGCGAUUAACUCUAACAACUUUUGAAUAAGUGUAUGCAAUUAGAUGAAGAGGAUAAAAAUAAAAAUAGAUUUAAAUGUAAUAAAUGUAAACAAUACAUACAAUUUAGAAAAAAAUAAGAACUUCAUAAUAAAAAAAAAAGAUGAAGACAAUAAAAAAAGCCAUAUACUAAUUCAGAUAAACUUGAAAAUGAAAUCAAAAAUGUUUUGGAAUGCAACAAAGAAAAAUGGAUGCAAGUAAGUUGUUGGAAAUUACAAUUUGAGCUGCAAAUAGAAAUGCAAGUCCAUAUUUAAAUUUACUUUAUUGCAAAGAUCAAGCUUCUCUUGUUUUCAAUUACUGUCAAAUCAUUAGGUUUAGUUAAACAAGUUAAACCACCACAGACUCUAAUUGAAGGACUACAUUAGUCGAACUGACUCUUAGCUUGACCAUAUUGUGUAAAUAUGAUGAUGGAAGGUGGAAUUGUGUCCAGAAUCUUUGAGAUGUGUAUAGCUUUGGCUUUCAAGAAACAUUCUGAUCUUCAUUGGAACAAGGUAAGAUCUUCGAAGGUGCAAUUAUUUGAUAUAUAAGUAUAUGGGUCUAUCAAAAAAUUGCAUAAUUAGCAUAAUAUAUAAUUACUAAAAUAGGCAAAUGGGUUCCCUUGUGAACAUUAUCUACUCUUAGUUUUCUUUAAAAUAUAUCCCACCUACACAUGUGAUAGGAGAGCAUACCUUAAUAUAUAAUUAAAUUUUCAUGUACUAAGAGCAAUGUUCUUUAAUAAAUUAAUAAAAAGUACGCGACCCAGACAUGACCCUAUUUUCUAGCAAUUCUUCUUUCUAUUCCGAGAAAGAAGCUUAUUAAUAUAAAAAAACUUCUUUAAAUUCUAUCCAUUCUUUUAUAAAACCCCCCCCCUAUUAUUUUCAACUUUAACUGUAUCUUUUCCGUGCACUUUACCUUUUCUCUCUUAAGAGCUCCAAAAAAUAAAACAGAAAAAUAAUUAAUAAUAAAUCAAAAUCAGAAGUAGUAGAGAAGCAACCAAAUAUUGGGCAAUAAGUGUCGGGGCGAGUGUUGGCCGAAAUCACGCACACGCCGAGGUUCGGCGACGGCGCUAGCGAUGUCGGGGAGUUUUGGGGCGACGUCGGCGAGCACGAGAUCAAGCGACACACGGAGGUUUGAGGGCCGGCGGCAAACACCAAGCAGAGGCCGGGAGUGAGCGGAUGAGGCCCGGCGUUUUGGCAGAAGAAGCGGCGAGGCGAAGAGCAAGAAUGUUAAUUAAUUAAUUAGGGCAGCGCUUGUUGGGAGCGGGAGCGACAACUUUAAUCUAAAUAGGGUCAUGCACACAGUCGCGGGGUUAAGGACUGAGAUUUUGACAGUGCAAUUAAGACUCUCUGUCUGACGAUGUUAUGUGUUAUUUAAAUUACAUAAGCACACGUCAAUUUCAGGCAAAACCGAGCUAACAUGAGUUAAGAUUAUGAACCCGGAAGUUCGACUUAAGUGAAUAGUAAACUCCGGUUUUCUCGGAGAAGCCACGAACAAACUUGGCCUGCUGCCGCGUACAGACCUCCGAACAUAAAUGGUCGCAUAACUCGUUUUCGAACCUCUCGACUAUACUGGACAUUGGCGCUGAAGAAUCGGAUUCUGAUGCCAGUUAUCGAGAAAAAGGGAUUUUAUCAAAAAGAGGUCCCGCUCUUUGCUAUUCGUGGCGUUUUAAAGCUCCGCGGCAUCCUGUGCUUGUGACCUGGGGUUAGGUGAGAAGUUUUCUGAACCUACGGUGUAGGGAUCAAUUUAAUUUGAAAUUAAAGUUUUUGAAGUUUAUGCUUGGGUAAUAGUUGCGAUAUAACGGAUUAAAUAGAGAGCGGAUGGUUCGUCGGCGAAUCCGUGACCAAUCUGACGAAACAAAUGGAAGUCUUUGGAUGCCCUCGUUGUGCUGACGCGAUGGUGGACCGUUCGGAAUCGGAGAACGAUUGCCCGAUAUAGGAAAUGUCGGUCUGAGGGGUCAAAGCCGCUAAACGGAUAAACUGCGGAAAGAACCCUAUAUCUUUAUGUGUCAAUUUCACGUGAUAAUCGAAUGUGAGGUCUGGUGCAUAAUUCACCUUGCUGCAGGGGGCUGGAUUGUAAAGUAAAUAGACUUUGGAGGGGUUCGCUCGCAAAGUGACACUUGGCAUAACGGCAUCUAGUGUGUUUCCCAUUAUUCUUUUGGCUGCCAUAAUCACCUGACUAACCUAGCCGCCCGCGUCUCCUCCUGCCCAAUCAGUGCGCACGCCCAGCCGCCGCGAGCAGCUCCGGCCGCCGAAAAAGCACCCCGGUCAUCUCUCGAUUCCCCUCUACCCGGACAAGCCGCGUCUUCGAUCGUUGUGCUCGGGGAACGUCAAAGCCGCGAGCACCAUCUCCCCGCAGGCCGAGACCAAGCUCCGGCGGCCCUUCCCCGCCGUCCCCCGUCGCCCCGCGCGCCGCCGGCCGCCGUCCAGGCUCCCUGCGGCCACCUGCGUCACCCAGCCGAGCGGGUGAUCUCGGUAUCCCGAGCCGCCGACGCCUCCCUCGGCCGCGCCGCCCUCCUGUGGCCCCGCAACCCCGGCAACCGGCGCGCUCGUUCCCCCGUCCCGCGCGCCGCCGGCCGCCGCUGGGACAACCUGCGGCCGCCCAGACCUGUGCGGCCGAGGUUGGGCCCGCUCGUCCCACGUUUCGCCGCCGCCCCCCGAGGGUGCACCGCCUUACCCUCGACUCCGCCGCCGUCGUACGCCGCGUCCCGACCUCCUCCGGCCGCCGCCGCGCCGCCGGGAAGAGCAAACCGAGAGAGAGUGGUGGCGUGGAUCUCUGCCGCCGCGCCACCGUUCCGCCCGCCGCCCGGCCGAUCACAUCCCCGACCGUCGCCGGACCGAGUGCUCCUCCUCCGGCCGGACCGCCCGCUUCCCGGCCGCCGGCGACCAUCCCUAGCUCCCACUGCACUGGUAGGCUGUUUUUACAUUCCAGCACAGUAAUUUAGCGUUCCGGCCACCUUUUCCGGUGAUCCGACGAGUCCCCGACACCCCGGGAGUGAGCACGAUGAUCUAGGGUUCGUGCACAUCGUGCUCACCUCCGCACAGCGGCAAGAUGCCCUGGUUAUGUUAGUAGUCGCGAUCUUCGCGCUGUGCGCGCAGUUUAACAGAUCUUCGCACCGUUCGUACGCGCACCGCAGCAGCCGGCAGUGCUCCGAAAGGUGAGCACGGCCUCCGUCAUGCUGAAAUCUGUCGCGAGUAUGACAGUCUGAUUAAUGACCUCUGUUUUCGUAGACGGACAAUAAAGCCCGAAAAACACAUGAAAUAUGUGAUUUCUUGGAAGCGGGAGGGCUUUUAUCAAUUCUGGUUGUUGCGGUCUGCUGUUGGCAGCAUGGGUAGGCUGUGGGUGACCUCUGGACUGAUUAUCCAAGGCCCCAGACCUUUGAGAAGAAUCGGAAAAUGUAUUUCCGUGCGUCUGUCGGCAAAAUCCGCCGACGGAACGCGGUUUGGUUCGGAUUAUCGACGGUGCUUCGUGAGCUAUUGUGUAGUCGCUGAGCCUUGUUGGCUGGUCACGCAUCAUUACAUUGGGGUUCGGUGAUAUGGGUGAGCGACGUGGUUCCGGUGUCGAAAUAGACACUUCCGGAACCCGAUCGUACAACUAUCCGUGAUAGUUGUGUAGUGUUUGUAUCUUGGUGUUUGCUGCCAAAACAUCCAAAUUGAGUGUUUUGAGAGCAGAUGACUCGUGACACGAGUCGGUGAGUUUCGGGACACUUAUGGUCCCGACGGCGUCCCGGUGUGUUUUCGGGACUUCCGGCGUAUUAGCGACGAUCGGUUCAGGAACCGAUUCUCCGUGGGUUUAUUUGUGGGGUUUUGCUUUUAGGGNNNNNNNNNNNNNNNNNNNNNNNNNGGAGAGAGAUAGGCGACCCGCAUCCCUAGCUCCCACUGCACUGGUAGGCUGUUUUUACAUUCCAGCACAGUAAUUUAAGCGUUCCGGCCACCUUUCCGGUGAUCCGACGAGAUCCCCGACACCGCGGGAGUGAGCACGAUGAUCUAGGGUUCGUGCUGAACAUCGUGCUCACUCCGACACGCGGCAAAGAUGCCCUGGUUAUGUAGUUAGUCGCGAUCUCGCGCUGUGCGCGCAGUUUAACAGAUUUUCGCACCGUUCGUACGCGCACCGCAGCGAGCCGGCAGUGCUCCGAAAGGUGAGGCACGGCCUCCGUCAGGCUGAAAUCUGUCGGCGAGUAUGACAGUCUGAUAAGUGACCUCUGGUUUGCGUAGACCGGACAAUAAAGCCCGAAAAACACAUGAAAUAAGUGAUUUCUUGGAAUCGGGAGGGCUUUUAUGCAAUUCUGGUUGUUGCGGCUGCUGUUGCAGCAUGGUAGGCUGUGGGUGACCUCUGGACUGAUAUCCAAGGCCCAGACCUUGAGAAGAUGCGAAAAUGUAUUUCCGGUGCGUCUGUCGGCAAAAUCCGCCGACGGAACCGGGUUUUGUUCCGGAAUUAUUCGACGGUGCUUCGUGAGCUAUUGUGUAGUCGCUGAGCCUUGUUGGCUGGUCACGCAUCAUUACAUUGUGGUUCGGUGAUUGAGGGUGAGCGACGGGGGUUCCGGUGUCGAAAUAGACACUUCCGGAACCCGGAUUCGUACAACUAUCGUGAUAGUUGUGUAGUGUUGUAUCUCUGGUGUUUGCCUGCCAAAACAUCCAAAUUGGAGUGUUUUGGAGCAGCAGAUGACUCGUGACACGAGUCGGUGGAGUUUGGGACACUUAGUGGGUCCCGACGCGUCCGGUGUGUUUCGGGACUUCCGGCGUAUUACGACGAUCGGUUCAGGAUACCGAUUCUCCGUGGUUUAUUUGUGGGGUUUUGCUUUUAGGGUUUCUUAGCUGAGGGUUAGAUACUAACCCGGUGGCACCCUCUGUAGGUCCGGUUGACAUUCUUUACAGUCAGGAGACAGGCGCGACAGUUUAAGUGGUACUUCUCCGACGUCGUUACAGUGGUGCACGUUCGGUGAUGGUUCCUUACACUUGCUCCUUUGUUAUUAUCCAUGCAUUCAUAUAUGUAGCUUUGUCCCUCUGUUGUUUACUUACACCCACGUCGUUUGAUUAUACUCUACUCGUUGUUUACAGUUAGUAUCCUGAGUAGGAGUAGAAGUUCUCCGCAUCUUCGGUUGACCAUAGUUGGUCUGUUGAGCAUCCGUAUCUGUUUACCUAGUUGGUCUGUCUGCAUUCCUCUACUCAUUAGUUCCAGGUGAUAUCAUGCUUAGGAGUAGAGUUGACUAUUAUUCUGUUUAUAUCUGUGAUUUGGGUUGGGCGGUUCUCCUAUGUUGAUAUCAUAUAUUGAGCUUGCACCUGCAUUUAUAUUUGCAUUUCUCUACUCAGCUAUUUCCAUGUUGAUAUCUGUUUAGGAGUAGAGUGACUUUGUUAUCUUAUAUCUGUGAUUUGGUUGGCGUUCCCAUUGAUAUCUCGACCUAUUCGGUCGAGUUGCUACAGUUCUAUCUUGACAUACGUAGCGAUUAGUGCUGGAUGGCUAUACGGUCGGUGUGCCCUGAGGAGUCUGGAUUGUCGGCUAGUUGCCGAUGGAUGAUCUUUGAGCAUACUAUCAUGAUCGCCACUGGCAGUACGCAUUCUCACGAACAACAGCGGUCUGAUCCACCGCAGAGGGUGUCUUUCCGGAAAAGUGGUUGAUUGCACCGUGAGCAGUGGGCUUUAUUGCGAGGUAUAGCUUCUGACGCCGGGCUUCAUUGCGAGGGUCAGGUACUGGUGUUCGACCAGGGCUUCAUUGCGAGGGUCAGUGUGCAGGUAGCGAGUGUGGCAUGGGCCUGAGGUCUUCGGACCAAAGGGCGUGAGAUUGCGUACUUUUGAGCUUAUCGUCAGUUACAGAUGCAUACAGUAGCUGUGAUGUUAUUUUCAGUACAUCCUUAUCUGUUUAUUGUAGCUACUGUUUUAUUUACCUGCAUCUAUAUUUGUCAGCUUCUUACUUAUCAGCAUCUUUACUUACCAGCACUUAUGUCUAUCUAGUUCUCCGUGUUUGUUGUAUAGCUCUCUUCCUGAUCCGUGAGUAUCUCGCUUCUCGGCUUGCUGGUACCACUGGAGGGCGACAUGUUUACAUGUUCUCACCUCCCCCACCAUUUUUCAGGUUAUCGCAGGGCGAUGAGUAGUGGGACGAGUAUGUGAGGUAGUGUGUGUACGCGGUCGAUAGCUUCCGACCCAGGUUAUUUCGAUUAGCUAUUACCCUUUAUUACUUCUGAUAUAUAUAUAGCUUAGUCGGUUUACAUGGUUACAGUUCUGUUUUAUUAUCUGAUUUUCAAACGGUGUUUGGAAUGAACUAAAGAUUGGUGUUUUCUCGAAAUAAAACAGUUUUCUACCCCUCUGGUAGCUGGUUUUGAAAAGAAUGGUUCCGUGUGGGAACAGUUUAUCAAAUUAAUUUUCUGUGGAUUUUUAUGCAUUUGUAUUUCAAAAUCAGUUUACAGGUAGGAACAUUUUAACUGAUAGAUGUGGAAUGUUUUCAUAACUCAAGUAUGCAUAUCUGGGUGUGUGUAAUGGAAUAUGAAUGUUAUCUCUCUUGUUUCAUCUGGUUGAUGGUUGUGUGUGUAUCUAUACCUUGUUGUACUUGUGCGACGCCGUGCAAAUACAGGGGAGAUUCUGUCCGUGGGAACAGUGGAUUCCCUGUGUUUGUGGCGGAUCUGGCACUCUGGGGUCAGGUUUUCAAAAAAAAAUUAUAGCUAAUUUUCCGCUGUGCUUUGAACAAAUAAAAGGACCCCGGGGCGUGACAGGGGUUCAUGGGUGGGGUGUUGAGAGUGGGUUAAUUAUAUUAGCAAUAUAUUCUUUUGUUUUUAGAUUCUAAAAAAAAAAAACGCAUAUCCAUGAAAAUUUCAUUCUCCCGCCAAUUAUAACAAGUCGGACUAUUAACAACGGCAAAAAAAAUAUUUCAUCGCUGAAGAUUUAGCCCUACUACUAACAAUGACGGAAAAAAUACGUCGCCAGCCAAAUUUUGCUAUUGAAUUCAUCAAAAAUAUUUUGACAAAUUCAUCUAUGAAACACGAUGAAAAAAAUAUUUCAUCUGCGAAAAUUUUUGUCGGUCUAUUAAAACGGCGAAAAAAAUAUUUUAUCGCCUAAAAUUUUAGUCGGUUUAUUAACAACGAAGAAAAAAUAUUUCAUCGCUAAAAUUUUUAGACCUGACGAAAUAUCCUUUUAAUUAACGACGGAUCGAUCUACUAAUAACGACGAAAGAAAAAUUAUUUGUCGCUAAUUAUUGGUUACAAAAUAGCAAUAUAAAAAAUUAUUAUAAGUUUGGUUGCUUUUAGCGACACUUAUUGCGCCCGUCGAUUAAUAUUAGUCGUUAUAGAUUAUUUUCUUGUAGUGUAUAUAUAUAUAUAUAUAUAUAUAUAAUAUAAUAUAUAAUAAUAAUAUAUAUAUAAUAUAUAUAUAUAUAUAGUCCGGCUACGUAUACUAUCAUGAGCACGAGCCUCCCGUGCUACAAUUGUUUUCGAUGAUGCCGGCUUCCAAAUCGACGAUCGCUCCGUUAGACUUGAUCUACACUAUUAAAAGUAUUUGGAAACUAAAUUUCAUAAUUUUCGAUAUCAUUUAUCUAUCAAACAAAUAGUCUAAAUUGAAACGCCGAAAAUAAAAAUUCAUAAAAAAUGAUGAUAAAAAUUUAAAUUCAAGAUCAGAUAAUACUGAUCUUACUUAAAUAGUGAAGAAUUUUCUAUUAAAAUUCUCAUUUGGAUUUGAAUUGUUUUAUACGUUAAACUCACAACACGUCACAUGCCAUUAAAAUGGUCAAUUUUGAGAUCUUUUGAUCACUUGUCAAAUGAUGUCGAAAAAAUAUGAAAUUUAAUUUUCAAUAUUUUUAAUAAGUGUAGAUCAAGUCUACGGAAGCGAUGUCGAUUUGGAAGCGCAUCAUUGAAAACAACUUGGUAGCACGGGAGGUCCGUACUACGAUAGUAUAACAGCUGGACUAUAUAUAUAUAUAUAUAUAUAUAUAUAUAUAUAUAUAUAUAUAAUAUAUAUAUAAUAUAUUAUAUAUUAACUACGAGACGACGACCGUUAAUUGGAAACAAUAUUUCUAAGGCUAUAUAUCAUUUGAUACAACAACUAAAAAAAUUAAAACAAUUAAAAAUAAAUUUGGUUGAGAAGCUUGACAUUAUGUUAUUAAUGAGAUUAACAUAGAUUUGUAAAUUAAAAAAUAAAAUUGGUUAAGGUUCAUGGACAAACCAAAGCACUGUUGUUUCAUUAACUCCUGAUUAGGACAUGUCAUGGACCCUUUUGAAAGAUAUAUUCAUGAGUUUUCUUUAGAAAUCAACAUCCCCUAUGGUAUUCAAUCUACUUAUCAAUAGAGAAAAAUGAAUAUAUACGAGAUUGAAACGCGAAUAACCCAAUCGGACUGUAAGGUUCUGUCGAUUAUGAUAUGAGACGACUUUUUCUCUGAAGCUUUAGCUUCGAGAGUUGUCAAGUUCGCUGUGCACGGUACCAAGUUUUGUUCAUAUCACAGUUUGAGCGUUUCAAUCCUACUUUCUGUUUGUUUAGUCAUAUUUAUGUUCUCGCGUCGAGUUCUCCUUCAGUUUCGUCUAAUCUUUUCAAUCUAGUUUCGUAUGGGUCUCUUUUGGUUUCAUUAAGAUCUAACUUAACUUUAUUCGACCUUUUUUAUCACACACGCUAGCGUAAUCAAAUAUGCGUACAAAUCGACCAUCUUAUAAUACUAUUCUCACAUUGAGUAGAAAAAAAAUUAUCAUGAGUUUUAUACAUUUUAGUUUUCUUAAAUCAAUACAAAUUAUGAUAAUUGCGAAGAUGCCUCUAAAUCAAUACAAAUAUGAUAAUGCGAAGAUGCUGAAUUUGUCUAAAUUAAUUUGUCGGUGACGGGAUUGCUUCAUUCAUUUAUUUAUGAAAUAAAUACCAUGUAAUAAUAUACCUACUUAUUAAACUUAUCACUGUCAAAAAUUUUAAAAAAAUAAUCACGAUCCAGAUUUGCUGCAUAAUAAACUUAUGAUAUAUAGUCAAAGUUUUUUAAAACGCUAGAGAGCUUGUUUCAAUUAUAAGUACAAGAGCCAUAAUAUUGUUUUUAUGAUCAUCUUAUAACAUCUAUAAUCUAUAUCUAUAAUCUAUAACAUUAUGAUUCCAAUGAUUUUGCCACAUUGGCAAGUUUUCCUCACCCUCCACCAUCUUUUUUUUGAAUUAAUCUUACUUUUGGCUUUUCCCCUCCCUUCUCUCUAUUCAAUAUGACCUAUAAUCAUGUAUUUUUUAAUUAUUUGUAACGUUCAUGAGUUUGUCCUCUUCAAUAUUAUUCUUUCUUCUUCCUUAAAUAAUUUCUAACAUGCAAAAUUAAAGAGAAGAUAAAUAGUUACUACUUGCAGAUAUAGAGAAUGGGGAAGAGUAAGGGAGUCCUCCAAGUCCUAUCAGUACAAUCGACUCGACCCAAACCCCCCGGUCAAGAGAAUGCUUCUGGGGUUUCUAUCUAUACCGAUCUCUUCGGAUUUAUGAAAAAAAAAUAAUCGAACGAUUUUUUCAAUGAAGGAAGCUAAUUGGACAACGAUAAUAGACAGAUCGAGAGAUAGGUUUGGGAAACGAAAAUCCUAAACCAAUUUUUCUUUUUUUAUUUUAAUCUCGAAUUCUUACUACAUAUCCAUUUUAGAAUUUAAUUUACUUGCAUUAUUUUUGAUAUGGUGGUUGUACAAUCAAGGAUUUGAUUUUAUAUAUACUAUUUUGAUUAAUUUAGAUGUUAGUUUUGAUUUUAUAAUUGAUCGGGCAGUUCUGGCCUGCAACUUUGACCAUCCCAUGCCCAAAAGGAUGCAAAAUCCUGCAAACUUCCAUGAGAUUUUCAUCGCCAUCGUCGUCAUCAUCGCAAAUUAUCAUCUCAUCUUCAUACGACUUUGUAGUUUUUUUUUUUUUUUGAAUGGUGAUUCUAGGCGAUUGUCGAUUUUCAUAAUCAUAUUUGUUAGUUCAAUUUACAAUUUCCUACCCAAAAAAUAAAAUACACUUGAAUUUUUAUUUUCCAAACUCCUUUAUUCUUGCCUCUCAAUAUUUUUUGUUUUUUCUUUUAUUAUUUAUCCGCCACAUCGCGCGGGUUACUACAUAGUUAUUAUUUACAUACUCAUUUAUUCUGAUAGUCACAAUGUUUAAAUUUAAUAUUGUUUCACUCUCUAAAAGAGUUGACAAUAUUAUCUCUUUUUUAGGUUCUGAGAAAACACCAUAUCAUCAGUGAGGAGAAUAUAAUUUUAUAUCAGUUGUUAGAAACAAUGAUCUGAAAAAAUUUGCUAGGUUAUAUUUAUAGGAGAAGCAACAAUAUAUAUAUUAUAUAUAUAUAUAUAUAUAUAUAUAAUAUAUAUAUAUAUAUAUUAAACUUCAAAUACCAACCAUUGGUUUGCACUUUCACAUUUUAAUACCUUGUGUUUAAAAAAUAUUAAUUUAGUACCCUGUGGUUUUUUUUUUUUUUUUUUUGGUAGCUCUUCCGUUAACAUUUUGUUAAAUUAUAUAUAAAAGACUUCAGAUUUCCCACCUAGAUUUAUCGAAUAUUCACUUUAAUACCUUUUAGUUUUAAUUUUGUCACUAAUUUAACCCAAAAAAAAAAAUCUGACGGAAAAAAAAGAAACCAUAGGGUACUAAAUUGAUACACUCUAAACUAUAGGAUACUAAAGUGAGAAAGUUCGAAACCACUGUUGGCUUAAAUGGGCCUGCAUACUGCCCUAUGGCGAGAGGCCAUAUGGACCGAGUCAUAUUCGAAAUGGUGUGAGGUUGGGUGGGCCAAGUCAUGUUCGAAAUGGCGUGAGGUUGGGUGGGCCGAGUCUUAUUCGAAAUGGCGUGAGGCUGGUUGGGCCGAGUCGCAAUCGAGAUCCGUGAGCGAUGUAUCUGUACCUUUAAGUUAAUUGGUUGCGUAUUUCUAACAGCACGAGCUUUUGGGAUUCAUGGUUAACGCCAACGAUCCGACAAGUGGUAUCAGAGCCAGUAGUCACGGGUCAAUUCCCGCACGCAUCAAAUGUGUUCAGAUGCUAGAGGAGGGAUUGUUGGCUUAAAUAGGCCAGCAUCCUAUACUGUGACGGGAGCCCAUGUUGGGCCGAGUCAUGUUCGAAAUGGCGUAAGGCUGGGUAGACCGAGUGAGUUUUUGGAAUUAAUGGUUCGUGUCAAUAAUUCGACAACCACAUAAAUGGUAUUUAAAGGUUAUCCUAUAUUUAUAGGCAUUGAAAUUAAUUAACGAACUAAUCAUGCAUUUAUAUGAAUGAUGCAAAUGCAGUACUUGGUUUCAUAUCAAAAUAUCUAAACAAAUGAAGUACUUGAAAUUGAUGCAUCAACACUUUUAUUUUUCUUUUUAAAAAAAAUGUCAUUUAAUUGCACAAUAAAUGUGGUUUAAUUAAAGAAGCAUAUUGGAAAAAAAAAAAAAAAGUGAAUUCAAUCUCAAAUCAUAAAAAGCCUUAGAAUUCGAUUGACCAGAUUAGUUAAAAUGUCUUUUUAAUUGUUCUUCAUAUAAUUACUAUGUAAGCCAAAAACAUAAACCUAAUUUAGAACAUGAAAAUGAUGUGAUACGGCGUGAAAUAACAAUAACUACAUUCGGAAAAAUAUAAAAUAAAAUCUACAUUUAAUCAGUGUUAGUAUUGAAAUAUCUUAGAGGUGUAUAUAUUUGUUCUUCUGAUUUUGUGAUCAUAUAUACCACUACAACAUAAUUAGGUUAAAGAGGCAUAUUUUUGAGAUAUUUUUAUGUAAGUGUCUUAUUUUUGCUAAAUUUUUUUAAAUAAUCUACUAAGAAAUAAAUAUAAAACUCAAUCCAAUUAAAAAUAAAAAGUUCUUCUACUCAACCAAUCCUAUCCAGCCCAAUCGGUCCGAUUACAAAUAAAAAAGAAAAAAAAAUUAAUCACCAUCCCCCCUUCUCCUCCUCCGUCGCCGCAGCCGACGAGGUAGGGUUCCGGCAGUUGAAGUUCGGCCGCGAGGAUCUCGCAGGUACCGUAGAGGACUACGAUUGCCAUGCACGUAUCCCUCCACCAUAAGUCGCUGGAUGAGUGGUUGUCAAACAUUAAGGUGGCUCCACAGAUAGCGACCUUACAUAUAGCAAUAUUUUUAAAAAGUAUCGAUAAUUUACCUAGCAGCACUUCUUUUAAUCUAUACCGAUAUUUAAAAAUAUCGCUAUAUAUUAUUUUUAUUGUAAUAACAGUCAUAUUUUACUGAAAAUUAAGAUUCUUUAUUUUUUAAGAUAUAUUUAUCAAUCUUUAAAAGAAAAUGGACUAAAAAUCAAAAUUUCAACCUGAGUAAAACAAAUUUCACAUGAACAUAAAUAGCUCUUAUUUAAAGUACAAUAAAACUAGUGUAGAGUCAAUGAAGGGGUACACUCAACAGUAAAAGGGUACAAAAGAGCAAAACUUGCUAUAAGUAUUAUAGGUAAAAAUGCCUGGAGAUCCCCUUAAAUCUACAAAAUUAAAAAACAAGCCCUCUAUUUUUUUUCUUUACUUAUUAAUAUUUAAAUUAUUUUUGUCACAGAAUCGAAAAUUUUGUUAAAGUUAAUAAAUUUUUUUAAUAUUAGUUCUUAGUUAAUAAUAACACUCCAUAUUAUCAUCAAUUAGAAGAUAACCAGAGCUAUAAAAUUUGGCCGGAUAACUGAUUAAUUGAACAAAAUUCUCAAUUUAAUUAUUUAAAAAACUUAGGAUAGUGUCAAAGUAAAAAAAAAAAAAAAAGAAAAUUAUAGUUAGCGUCUAGUAAAAAAUUGCGAUCUAAAUUUAUAUUUUACGAAAAAUAAUUUCACAUGAAUCACUUUAAAGAUAUUAAAUAACGGAUGUAAGUUUCCAAACUUUAAGUUAUCUGAUUUAUUCCUCCAAAAUUAAUAAUAUGUUCUUAUUUUAGAUAUAUUUUAUUUUUUAUCUUUUACAUUGCAAAUAGAAUUCUCUUCAUCUUUUUUUUCAUUUACCACCAUAAGUGCAUAGAUAAGAAAUUUUUAAUACAAAACAAAAUAAGCAAAAUAAUAAUAAUAAUAAAAUACAAGCCAAAAGUAUCAAAAUUACGGAAACAACCCUACGGUUUGUAGUACCAAGUCCCCCACUCACUUAUCUCCCUAAUAAUAGGCCAAAACUCCCAAGGGCAUUUCCGUCAAUUGACAAUUUAAAGGACCACUCACACUUAAAUAGUAGAUAAAAAUGCAUGGAGAUCCCCUCAACUAUACCCUACUCAGAAACAAGUCCCAUCGACUUCAAUUUUUUUUUUUUUCCACUCACACCUUCUUUAACUUUUGAAAAUUUUGAAUUAAAUAAUUUGUACUCAAAAUUUAUCACAUAUAACAUUUCGAACCACUUCUUAUGAAGUGAAACGGCGUCUAAUAGUUAAUAGAGUAAUUAAAUUCAAUAAAAUUUUUAAAGAAGUCGCAUCACUAGCUAGAGCAGAUCGGGGAGGCCAGAUUUCAAAAUAUCCUAUAAUCGAGAGGGUCUCCAUGCAAUUUUCACGUAAAUAGUGUAGGGAAAUGUGCUAACAUUACUAGUAUUACUACUACACAACUCAAAACCAAAUGCUCUUUGUCUCUUGCUCUCUUUUCUCUCUCCUCUUAGAAGGCGAAACCACCAUCCAAAGCCCCUCCUUUUCCGUCGACCCUCCUGCGGCGCCGCGAAGCGGCGGCCACGGUGGUGGUGUCGGUCGCGGCGAAGGCGGAGCACUUCUUCUCCCUCCUCACGCUCUCCUCGUCCAUGUAAAUUUGCCUGCACCGGCACUCGACGCUGCAAAACGCCCGAUCCCCCCUGCAUGCACGACCGCACGCAUAAACAUACAAAAUAAUAAUAAUAAUAAUAAUAAUAAUAAUAAUAAUAAUAAAUCUAAGGUAUUGUUUGAUUUAAAAAAUAAGCUGUUCUUAGUUAUUUCUGAUAGAAAUAUAACUCUUGAGAUAAGCAAAUAAUAAGUUGUUCUCAGUUAUUUCUGAUAGAAAUAUAACUCUUGAGAUAAGCACGAAUAAAAUUAAUUUUACGUUUGGAUAAAAAUUUGAAUGAUUUUCGAAAACCAAGCGAUAUUAUUUCCCCUCCUUUUCCCAAUGGCCCCUAUAUGAAAAUUUUAGAAAAAAUAGUAAGAAUUUAAAUGCCGUGGCAUAGAUAGUACUAAAAAUUUAUCGACAUGGUACAGCAUAGUGUUGUCGGACCGCACCGAUGAGUGAUAGUCACAAAAAAAAUACAUGUGUACUGAAACAUAAUGAUAUAAAAUAUUUAAUUAAAAAUAAAUAAAUUUUUUUAAUUAUUUAUUAUUUAUAUUCUUUAUCAAAUUUUUUAAAUUUGUUGAGAAAAAUUACUUACUAAUAUUAAAGAAAAGAGUUUUGAGCUGCGCCAUCAUCACGAAAGCUGUAUUGUGUCGGUAUUUUAUUGGCAUAAUACAGCACGAUAAAUACCACUCAUAUCGAUGGGCACUUAAAUAAAUUAUUGAAUAAAAGGAACUAAAAUGUUAUACGAACUAUGAACUAUGAACUAUUUGGAUUCGGCUAUCCAGCUAUCGAAAAUUUAAUUUAACUAUCUAAUCUUUCAACUUAUUUGAUAAAUAAUUAGUUCAAAUUUUAAAGUCAAAAUACCGCUAACUAACUCACAACAAAUAAAUUUAAAAAAAUUAAAUAGUAAAAUUACAAUCUUAAAAAAAAAUAGUUUGAUAGCAACUAUCCAAAAUAUAUAUAUAUAUAUAUAUGCACUUUAAAUUUGUAACGUAAAUUACAUGAAAUGUGCAAUAUGUGAUAUAUUUAGAGAGAUUGAUUGUACCUGUACAUGUAUAUAUCCUGGCCUUGGGAGAGCUUCUUGUUGCAGAGGAAGCAGUGCUCGAGGAAGGGGGAUGUGGGGGCAUAAUGGGAAUAAGGGUGGUGGGAGGAGGAAGGGGAGGAGAGAGAAGAGUUUCUGAUCAUGGUGGGCUUGCUUAUGAUCUGUGGGUUUUUUGGGAAGGGCUCGUGCGCUUCUAAGACUACACUCAGACCAGCCAUGGUGAUUCGAAUAAAACUAUUCUCUCUCUAAAAAUCUCUCUCUCUCUCUCUCUCUCUCUAUGUAUUCAUAGAGAGAGAGAGAGAGGGUGGGUUGGUAUUAAAAGGGGGAGGAGGGGGUGUGUAUGGUGUUCCGCAGGAGCAGGUUAACGUGGCGGCUUCUGAUUGGUUGUUGUGUUUGGGUCUUUUAUUGAGGUGUUUUGUCGUGACGUGGUUACGAUACUCCGCGGUGAGAAUACGCGUGUGCUCACCUCCAACUCUGUAAAUGCAUUUGAGAAGCUCAUAUUUAAUUUCCCAGAGUUAAUUGCAUACAGGCUCCAUGCAAAUACAGUGAAUGUCAAAUAUAUUCCUGCAAUACUCAAUUUAGUAUCCUAGUUUUUUUUUUGAAAAAACUUCAAAAAUCCCCCUUGUGGUUUCACACUUUUUUAUUUUAGUACCCUGUGGUUUAAAGUGUAUCAAUUUAGUACCCUGUAGUUUCUCACUUUAUCACUUUAGUACCAUGUGGUUUAAAGUGUAUCAAGUUAGUACCCUGUAGUUUUGCACUUUAUCACUUUAGUAUCCUGUGGUUCCGCACUUUAUCACUUUAGUAUCUUGUGGUUUAAAAACUACAGGAUACUAAUUUGAUACAAAAUUAAAACCACAGGGUACUAAAAUGAUAAAGUGCAAAACCACAGGGUACUAACUUGAUACACUUUAAACCAUAGGGUACUAAAGUGAUAANUUGAUACACUUUAAACCAUAGGGUACUAAAGUGAAAAAGUGCAAAACUGCAAAACCACCGAAAUGGUAUUUGAAGUUUACUCCAUAUAUAUAUAUUUUUUAUUUUAUAGUUUUACAAAGUUAAACCUUAAUAAUUAUGUAUGUAAAUAAUUUUACAAACCACAAAGUAAAGUGCACAUAAUAUUAAAUGAUAUAGCUUUACAAAAAAUAAAUAUAAAUUUAAUAAAUCCAUAGACCACUAAAGUUUAACUAUUGAAACCAUAGGGUGGCGGUAAAUUCAAAUUUACCUUUAAUUUUAAGGUUUAAUUAUACUUUAAUUAGUAUAAUAUACCUAGGAAAUUUUUUAAUUACUACACUGUAGUAAUUUUUUUAAAGAUACUAUUAAACUAUCCUUUUCUCAUUAAUAUUGUUUCUACUAUGUUUUAGUAUUUUUUAAUUUGCUAUAUUGUGUUAUUUUUUAUUUUUUAAAGACACCACAAAACUAUUAUAUUUUUUUUGCCAAUCUCUAUACACAAUUGUUAAUAGAUCUACUGUUUUAUAUAAAAAAAAAAAAAUUAUUGAAAAUUCCUAUCAGAUUAUUCUCAAUUAUUUCUUUACUUUUUAUAAAUAUAAUCUCCGUUUUAUAGUUUCAUUAAGAAUAGUGAAAAGAUUAAAAAGAAAACGAUAAUUCGGUGAUAUUUUGUAGAAGACCAAACAAAAAAAAAUAUUAGUGCAAUAUAGCAAAUGAAAAAAGGCUCAAAGUGCAAAAUAUUUUAAAAAUUAAUCAACAAAUUCAAAGUUUUACUUAUAUCUAUUUCUUUUUAAUUUACCAUAUAUUUGUGAACAAUUAAUUGAUAUAUUUAAAUCAUACAAUUUCUAAAACUUUGUUUCUGAUUUUUAAACUUUUUUUAAUCAAAUUUUAUUAUUUGUCAAAUGCAUAUAAAUUAAUUAAGCUAAAAUAGGAUCGAAGUAGGAAACAACAUACAAGGAAUCUUUUUAGGCCUAGGACAAUAUUGAAAGAAGAGAAAUUAUCGGUGCACCAAAUGUAUUAUUAAUUCCAUCUUGUGCAUCCAAUUAAUUAAUAUUUGAUGAUAAAUAUUUCACAAUUUAAAAUUUAUCUAAUGAGUAACACCAUCUCUCUCUCUCUAUAUAUAUAUAUAUAUAUAUAUAUAUAUAUAUAUAUAUAUAUAACAAAUAUAUAAAAGGUUUAUAAAAAAAAUGUUAAUUUUGAAAAGGAGUUCAACGAUGAUAAUAUAUCACUCUUUAAAUUACACCUCUUAUUUCGACAGCAUGCUAGCUGAUAAUAAGACUAAUAUUUUUAUUUGCACCAAACUACAAUAGAACUGUAAUUACAUCAAUCUAAACUCGCCCUGAACAAUCGAAUAUAAUCGUUUAAUUACGAGUUAGAUGCUUAAGUAACAAUAGCACCACGUCACGUCGCUAUGUUUCUAUGUCAUUCAAGUUAAUCACUUCUUUUGAAAGAAAUAAACGAAAAAUUUAGAACGGGUAGGAGAUAUAGAUGAUAUGAUUCUACUGUCACAUUUUAGAAUUGAGUUAAUACCAUACAACUUUCUGUAAACAUAUUGAAUAACGAAUAUAUUAUUACAAAGUUUAACUUUUCAUAUUUAUUCGUAUAAAAGUUCAAUGAUAUUCGUAUUUGCCUCUCUGGUUUGUUAUCUUAGAGUUCUAUUUAUUUUUUAACAAAAAAUAAGUAAAAUGAUAUUUUUAUCAUCACAAAUAUGUUUCUCUAAAAAUUUUAAUUGUUAGAGUUAUGUAAAUAUGUCCUCCCAAAAAUUUCGAACGGUCAUCUUUUUUCUUUUGACCAUCACAAAUAAUAUACGAGGGGUACGCACUAAGAGCAAUUUAUCUCAUUUACUAAUCAGGGUUAACUAUUUAUAGUUAAUUAUAUUUUUCUAACGGAUCCUCAUAGCAGGGAUAUAUUUAAAAACGUUAAGGGUGCAUUUGGUUCGCAUUAUAAAAGAUUACUAGGAAUAAAAGAUAUCCGAGAAUCUUAUUUCUAUUUAUUCUAUUACUAAGAAUGCGGAAUUUCUGUGUUUGGUUCACACGGUAAUAUUAAUUAGCCAUGUUUUUAAUAUUACAAAAAAUAUACAAUUAAUUAAUUAAUUUAUUUAUUUAAUUUUAGAUAAUGUUACCAAAAGUUUCAACAUCUUUUUAGAAAAAAGGGAGAGAGAGUAUAAGUUAGAGAGAGAAAGCAUAAUUAAAAAAAUAGAAAGAAAAAUAUAGUCGAAAUUAGAGGGAGUGAAAGAGUUGAAAUUUUAGAAAGAGAGAGAGAGAGAGAGAGAGAGAGAGAGAGAGAAAGCUUAGUUUAGAGAAAGAAAAGAAAGUUGAAUUUUAGAGAGAAAAAUAAAUUUAGAGAGAGAUAUAAGGUUAGAGUGUAAAGAAAAAUAAUAUCAAUUAGCCGGCGGGUAGGAAGAAAGAAAGAGAUUAGACAUAUUAUGAUUACCCCAAUCCAUUAAUAUGAGGAUACCCACCCUCCCUCAAGGAAAUGAGAUUAAUACUUUGGAGUGAAUCUUAUUCCCAAGUGAAUCCGAUAUUACCAACUAGAUUACUUUGUGCGUUUAGCCAAACACCGUCAUAUUUUUUUAUUCCCAUUGAAUUAUUAGGAAUCUUUAAAAGAUAGCGCGAACCAAACGCACCCUAAAAAUUUUUUUGUAAAGAUAAAUAUGAAAAGUUAAAUUUUGUAGCUAUUCGAUAUGUUUACCGGGAGGAACCGUGUGCAAUUACCCCUUCAGGAGGGUCUACGAGAUUGCGGUGCGAUAUGUACGGAUACACCGGGUGCAGGGAAUAAUAUGUCUUCCUCGAGAGAGACAUGUGACAUUGGGGGCACUCGUGUUGCGCCACGUGUCUUCGUUCGUUUCCUUGAUUUAUUUAUUUAUUUAUUUAUUUAUUUUGUUUUGGGUUGUUGUUGUUGUUGUUGUUGUUGUUGUUGUUGUUGUUGUUUUUUGCGACUAGGCCCGUAUACGCCCCUGCAUUAAAAUUCGCACGUACGGAGACACGUAUACGUACAAACCACGCGGCACUAUUUCCCUCUACUGUUCGGACAAAGUGGGACCCACACGCAAUUUAUUUGGCUUUAGUGCACCAUAAAAUGUACCGUACUCUUAACGGGUUAUUUACUAAUUAUGUUAGGACAACCCGUUAAGGGUCCGCAAAAGCAUUUUUUCCUUUUGGGCCAAUUGCAUUCGGGUCUCCGUAAAUAUAAUGAAUUACACAUAUAUCCAUAUAAAAUUUAACUUUCAUAAGUUAUUUUUAAAAAAAUUUUAAUAUUUUCAUAUAUAUUCCUACCGUUAGAAUCCGUUAGAAAAAUUUAGUUAACGAUAGAUUAAAUACUUUACCCAAUUAACUUUUGACAUUUUUACCCCUCUUAUAUUAUAUUGUUAUAACUUUUGAAGUGAUAUAUUUGUGAUGGCAAAAUUGAAAAUAUAAACAGUUUUCUAACGGUUCUCUAACGAUAACAAAUUAGAGGGACACAUCUAAAAACAUUAGGACUUUUACAGAAAUAACUUAUGAAAGUUGAAUUUUACAGAAAUAUAUUUGUAAUUCACUGUAUUUUGGGGAUCUGUAUGCACCUAAUCCUUUCUUUUUUAUGAAAAUUCUCUCUCUUAGUUUUUCACCCGUUUAAUUUUAAGAAACACUAAUAUUUGUGAAAUUUUUCCUUUUUAAAUAUCAUGGCAAAUUAAUAUUUUCUUUUUUUAGAUUUAUUUUAGAAAAACAAAAACGCUAACUUUUUAUAAAAUUUGAAAAAAAAAUCUUAAAAAAUUAGUUUUUUUUUUUAAAAAAAACAAAGAGACAAAAACUGAGAGAGAGGUUUUCCAAGNAAAAAAAAAAACUUUAAAUAUCACCUCUGUGGUAUGAUAUUUUUUUAUUUUAGUACUCCGUAAUUUAAAGUGUAUCAAGUUAGUAACUUGUGAUUUUAUUUUUAUCUUUUUGUCAGUUUAUUUGUUAAUAUUUUGUUAAAUUCUGUACAAAAACUUCAAAUACCCCUUCUAAAUUUAUCGAAUAUUCAUUUUAGUAUCCUUUAGUUUUAUCUUUGUUACUAAUUUAACGAGAAAAAAAUAGUGAAAUUGAUAAUAAAAAGAGAAAAAUAAAACUACAUGAUACCAAAUUGAAACACUUUAAAUCACAAAAUAGCAAAGUGAGAAAGUGCGAAACUACAGGGGUGAUAUUUGAAAUUUUUUCAAAAAAAAAAAGAGAGUGAAAAAAAGGCUCCACUUUGUUUUCGAACCAAACAAUGCCGUAGGUAUAGUUUUAUAAGAUUGUUGUAAAAAUAUACAUAACUUAUCUGAAUUAGGAACUAUUUUGAACAAUAUUUUAAAACUCAAAUUUAAUAGAAAUUCAAAAAUAAUAACUGGGCCAAGAAUCUCUGGUUUAACCAGCGAGUCAACCACUAGUUGAUUAAAUAAUAUCAGAAUGACGUCAUAAAUUUUAAUUAUUAUUUUUAAUUUAUUAUAUUAAAAAUAUAAUUUUACUAUUUUUUUUAGUAAAUUACUUAAUUAUAAAAUAUUGAUUUUUAGGUCAAAUUAAAUGGAGAUAAGUUUUCAAUUUUCACUUUUUAUAAAACUAAUUUGUAAAAAUAGAAAAUAAAAUCAAGUAAUUUUAUUUUAAAUCGUUAGAUUUUAAUAUGAUCUAAUUAAAAAUAUCGGAUCGCUUUGAUUAAAAUCUGAGCGGUUCAUCUGUCAGAUACUCAGAUGGUUGAACUGCCGGUAUUAAUGAAGGAGAGUAUUAGUACUAGCAGUAUUUAAGAUUGGGCAAAUUACACUACUAGUCAUCAAACUUUCGAUUAAUGCAAUGUUAAGAUCCCUAAACUUUCGGUUAGUACUAGCAGUAUUCUAGAACCACUCUCGUCCUAUUACGCUUAACUCUCUUAACCUCUUGGAACCAGGCACCACCCAAAAUAUUUAAGCCGGGUUAAGAGUAUUGGUCUUACUAUAUCAUAGAUAUAAAAUUAUUUGCAUUAUCACAUUAUCGCUCAGACUCGCAAGUAGUAGGCGAUGUGAGACUCGUGUUACUAGCUAUAGAAAGCCGCGUUCUAUCCACAACAGUUAACAGUAUAAGAGCCUCGCUCUCUCCGCUGUAUAAUCCUGUCUCAGCUGAGACAGCUAGUAAUUUACUCUGAUAUCAAAUGUGACACCCCAACCUCGACUCAUCUCACACUUUCGGCUGAUAAUUAGCUCUGAUACCAAAUAUGACACCCCAACUUUCCAGGAGAUCACCCAUCUUAGGACUACUUUCGUCCUAACACGCUCAACUCUCUUAAUCUUAUGGAUUUAGCUACUACUCAAAAUGCUUAAAACGGAUUAAGAGUAUUAGCAAUAUUAUAUUAUAUAUAUAUAGAACAAUCCGGGGCUCACACCCAUCGUAGGAUUACUCUAGUCCUAACGCGUUUAACUAUCUUAAUCCAACCACCGUCCAAUAUGCUAUAGCCAAGUUAAAAAAGAUUAAGUGUGUUAGAAUUAGAGUAGUCGUGCGAUAGAUGACCUUCUGGAAAGUGUGGCGUUACAAUGAACCCCUAGGAAGUGAGGGGUCACACAGUCGGUGUGCGUGAUAGUUUAUUCUUAAUAGUAAAUACAAAGAGGGCUAAAAUAAAUUUUUUUUUGAAAAUAUCGAAAGUUCGAAGAAAAAAAAAAAAAACCCAAGAACUAAUAAGUAAAAGUUGAAGGACUUUUGGGGCAAUUUGUCCCUUGAAGAUUCUAUAGCAUGAGUGGAACCCCUUUGGCCCCUAGUUAUAUUAAUCCAGUGUGCUGUACAAUUGUGAUGGGGACUCUUCAGUGUAAUCAUUGCGCUCGGAAAGAAGACAUUUGAUUGAUUUAUUACGCCACAUCACUAAUAUAUCCGUUACAUUCUAGAAUUUUUCCUCGCGCAGAGCCUACGUGUUGAAUAUUAUAAAUAAAUAUUUGGGACAAUUAUUUAUAUAUUUUUAUUUGUCUCUCUUAAAAAAUUAGUAUUAAAAAUAUUUGCUUAAACUUCUAAAUUCUUUCAGUACCCAUGUAACAGUAAAUUAUUAGGAACAAACGUUAUGUCUGUAAAAUUAUUAUAUUAUCUUUUCUAAUAUAUUCUUUUAUAAUCAUUAAGUUUUUUAUUUAUUCUUAAGUUAAGGACAAAAAGAGUAUUUUAAUUUUUUUUUUCAAAUAUAUCUUUUAAUCGGCACAAAUUUUUUUUAUUUAUAUAUCCUUGUGUUGGGGAUAAAUACUUGCUAGUUAUUUUUCUAAAUAAUAAUUACAUUAUAAAUAAAAUGUAUUAUUUUGAGAAAAUUAUUUACUAGGACUUUUAUAUUAAUGAAGCCUUUUUUGAAGAAUUUAAAUGUCCAUUUGCACGCCCAGUGCCGCACCUGUCAUAUGAAAUAUAAUAGAUAUCAAUGUUGGAUUGUUGGCACUAGUUAUUACUUUCAAAAUUCCGAGCUAUUAAAAUGAUAUAACUAAUUUACUAAAACGCAUAAAAACAGCACUUACGUGUCUCGAUUGUGAUUCUGUCCAACUAAUCUCACGCAACUUCGAAUAUUAUUUGAUUCAACUCGACCACCCAUCAUAAGGUAGGAUGCUGGCCCCUUUUGGCCUACAUUGUUAGAAACUUUAUGAGAAACUAAAUCGUACCUUCUGCCAAGAUUUCGAUUUCUGUACCCGAUUUGUAAGCGGCGAUUCUUGCUCGUGAUUCGUCCUCGUUCGUGAUCUACAAGAAGACGGGGUUUCGAGUCUAAUUCCCUUUUCCCCGAAGAUGGAGCCGUCACAGACAAUUGGAUUAGGGUUAGAGAGGAACUCCCGUAUGUUACAUAUUUAUAUAUAACUUAAUGUAAGGAUGUUAAAUCACGGCCGUCCGUCAAAGACGUGUCCAGAUACAUCCUAACUGUAAAAUCUAAAAUAUCUUUAUAGAUCGACUUAAAUAGAUUGGCCGUAUCUUUAUGGAUCGCCUUAAAUAUAUCAUGUGGGCCACAGCCAACAUACAUUCCUCCCCCCUUCCCUCGAACACCUCCACAAAUUCAUAGCAUACGAGAAUCAAAUCCUUGACCUUUGACUUUGAUACUCUUUAUUGGAUUACCGGCGCAAACCAUUAAUUUUCAAAGUUUGAACUAUUAAAAAAAUACAACUAAUUCAAUUAAAGUAUACAGACACAGCGUCCACGAAUAUUAACUGUGCCUCGACCCAAUCAGUCUCACAUUACUUCGAACAUGACUUGAUCCAAUCUCACAUUCUGCUAUUUGAAACAUGAUUCGAUCUUGUUUGCCCUCACAUCACAAAACUGAAAGCUGAUCCCCUUUAAACCAACAAUACAAGACAGAAUGUUGUUCUCUUUUGAGAGACUGCAUUUGGUUCGGGUAUAAAUAUGAACUGCUUAUUCCAGGGAUAGGGAUAAGUUCAAAUAUAAGAAGGAACUAAACCAAUUUUCCGUUUGGAUAAAAAUUUAGUUGUUCUUAGGAAUAAGUUAAAUAGUAUUUGGAUGAUUAGAUUGGAACAAGAGGAAUAAAAGUUAUAAUUUGAAAUUAAAAUUAUAUUAUCUAAAUAAUUAACAUCAAAAUAUUACUUAAAAGUAAUAAAUUAAUAUUAAUAAUUAUAAAUAAUAAAUUAGUUAAAUAAUAAUAAACUAAAUAAUAAAUUAUAAAUAACAAUAAAUAAUAAAUUAUUAAUAAUUAUAAAUUAGAAAUUAAUUAAUAAUUAAUAAUUAUAAAUAAUAAAUUAAUUAAUUAAUAAUAAAUUAUUAAUAAAUAAAUUAAUUAAAUAAUGUACUAUAAAAAAAUUAAUAAUAAUCGUACAUAAUAAAUUAAUUGAUAAUUAUAAAAAAUAAAUUAUUACUAAUUAUAAAUAAUAAAUAAAUUAAUUAAUAAUAAAAUUAUUAAUUAAUUAAUUAUUAAUAAUUAUAAAAAAUAAUACAUUAAUUAAUAAUAAAUUAAAUAAUUAUAAAUAAUAAAAUUAUUAAUAGCUAUAAAUUACAAAUUAAUUAAUAUUAAAUUAAUUAAUUAUAUAAUUAUUAAAAUAAUAAAAUAAAUAAACUAAUUAAUUAUAAUUACUAAUAAUAAAGUAAAUAGUUAAUUAUUAAAAAUUAAAUAAUUAAUUAAUAAUAAAUAAAUUAAUUAAGAAUAAAUUAAUGCUAAAUUAGUUAAUUAUAAAUUAAUAAAUAAGUAAAUUAAAUAAUUAUUAAUAAUUAUAAAUAAUUAGAAUUUAAUUAAUAAUUAUAAAUGAUAAAUUAAUAAAUUAUUUUAUUAUUUAAGCAAUAAAUAAUGAUUUAAAUAUAAUAAUUAAAUUUAUUAAUUAUUUAAUGCCAUAAUUAAAAUUAUUUUUAGAGUUUAAUUAACCUUAUUCUCACCAGAGAACAAACUUAUUUUCCAGAAAAAAGGUGGGACAUCAGUUUCAGUCUUAUACCUUCUUAUUUUAGAAACUCAAGAUUUACUAUUCUCGAAUACCAAACGCAGCGUUUAGGGACAAAGAAGGGAAUAAGGACUUAUUCCCCACUUUGCGUGUUUCCGAACCAAACACUACCUCAAUGUGGUAAAGUGGUAAAGUGGUUUGUUUGUGUACUUUUCACUAUUCAUUACCAUCUCCUGUGCUAGCUCGGCUAAGCACCAAAUUUUCAUUUACCAUUUUUGAGAUCAUAAGGGCCCCACCAGGCAUUAAUGCUAUAGUUUUUCCCGAGGAAGAUGCUAAAUGUAAAUGGACCAAAAAUUUGAGUCAUUUAAUCCUAAAUAUAUUAAUUUUACUAUCUAAUUUUUUAAUUUAUUUAAUUUCCAUACUACAAAUUAGUACUCGAAUGCAAUACUCCAGUGCAUUCCUGCAUCAAGCCAAACACAAGGGAGAGGAGAUUUGAUUGUGUUCGUUCGUUUAUUAAAUGAAUCGAAUACGUACGGGUGCGCUCGUUAAAAUAUCAAGUUAAAAAAUUUAGUUCGUGCUCGAAUUAUUUAUUAACAAGAUGAAUACGAGAUGACUCGCGAAUAGCAAAUUAGAUUAUCAGCUCUACUACGUACUGGAUGGAAAUUAAGUUGAAAGAAAAUUAAAAAAUUAGAAAAUUAAAAUCUUAAUCUAUAAAAUAUAUAUCUCUUUCCAUUUGGGUUGGUCUAACAUCUAAAUAGUAAACAUUGUGUGCGCAGCUAGAUUAUGUCUAAUGAAAUUGAUUAUCGAUUCGGAUGUCUCAUCAUUAGAAAUAUAGUAAUAUAAUAGAAUAACCUCCGUGCAAACGAUAGUAUAUAUUAAUCGUUCAAUUUAGUCAUAGUUUAUAGCCCCAUCAAUUAUAUAAGAGAGGAAUCAUUGUCAUGCUUCCACUAACAGAUUAAGAAGCCCAUAGAUUGUAUCUAGUCUCCCAUAGAAUGGCCAAAUUAACAAUGGUAUUUGUUAGUUGGAAUUAUAUAAGGCUGAAUUGUUCUGUUGUCCUCAAACUAUGAUGUGACACUCAUAAAAUUAGAAAUAGUCCUCUAUGUAGGGUAUAAUUGGGCUAAAUCAUUUAGCUCGACUAUAGUAUGUUGGACGAUGACUAGACUUAAGAGGUUAAGACGAUUAACUAUGUUAGCGCUAAAGUAAUUACGGAAUGGAAAGUGUAAGAUAAAUCUCGGCUGAACUAGGGUUAUAUAGUGGAUAGAGGGUGACUCUUCGACUAACGACCGUUGUGGAUGGAGCAAGAUUUCCACAAGAUCAGCUAACGCUAACAAGAUGAGUCUCAUAUCAUCUGAUGGUUACGAGUAUGCUUGAGCCUGACGGAGAUGCCAAAGUUUAAAAGGGGGAAGACUGUGACACCCAAAGAUUUGUAAUAUUCCUAUAUAUAGCACAUAUAUAAUAGGGCUACAUCUUUUAGCUUGACUAUAGCAUGUUGGGCGGUGGCUUGAUCACGGAGGUGAAAACGGUUAAGCAUAUUAGUGCUAGAGUGGUUCUAAGAUGGGUGACCUUUUGAGAAGUGGGUGCUAUAUAUGAGCCACAUGACACUUUAAUCAUUGGACUUCAAUUUGUUAUAAUUUUUUGUUUCAAAAUUUUAGAUUAUUGCAAUCAAAUCUUUGAGUGCAAUUUUGUUGACUAAAUGGGGUGUAUCGCUAAUGUAACAAUAAUACAAUAGCAGUGUAAUUGAUGAUGUAGGAAUAAUUAAAAAUACAACAUUAUUUUCGGCUCAAAUUUUUAGAUUAUUGCAAUCUAAUCUGACAGUACAAUUUUGUUGACUAAAUGGUAUGCAUCGCUAAAGCAGCAGUAAUACGACAGCAAUGUAAUUAAUGAUGUGGAAAUAAUUAAAGAUGCAAUAUUACAACAUCAUCCACGACAUAUCAUGCAUCACUCAACUGGCCAAAAAAUAAGAAGAAAUUAAAGUUCGAAAAUCAAAAUGCGCGUGUCUUAUAGUUUGAGGACAAAGGUGCAAUUUAGCAUAUAUAUUCCCUUCAACUAUAGGCCACUUUGAAUCCCUUCAAUCAGUUUUUCUUCUGAUUGUGGAAAUUCUAUUAAAUUUAACCAUUCUAAACACUAUUCAAAAUAUUAGCAAUUGAAGGCCAAGAGAGCUCUUGAUUUCAACAAAUCUCCUAUUCAAUAUUAUAAAAUUACUCAAAUUAAAAUAUUUUUUAAAUUAUAGAGGUGCACAAACAAAAUAGUUUAGGGGCCUAUUUUAAAAUGGACUGUAAUUAAAAAAGGUCUUUGGAUACAUACUAACAAAUUUAUGAUUGGACCUCUCACUUAAUCCCCUCACAUGCAAUUUUUUGCCCCCUUUUUUAUAAAUAGAAAAAGUGGGUUCUCAUGCAAUAUUCAGUGGGCACCUUAGCCAUGAGAAAUGGCUCAAUUACUAUUUUGGUCCUCAAAUUAUACUGCAUAUGAUAUUCUAUUUUUUUUUUUUUUUUAAAGAUAGGUAGCAUGCUAUCCGCUUCAUUUAUUUUAUUUAGAAAUAAACUUAGCUAGAAAUGUGAAUCAAUUAAAAUUCGAAUUUGGGUCUCGGGUACCAACCACCAAGCCCUUUGCCACUUGCAUGCUCUAGGGACAGUCGGUGAUAAUUUGGUUUUUAAAGUUUACUAUAUUAUAAUUUCUGAUUCGAAUUUUAUAAAUUAUUGCAAUAAAGUCAAACAACCAAAUUAGUCAACUAAAUAGUAAUGUUUCGCUAACGUAAAAGUGAUGUAAUAACCUAAUUCUGGUAUAUCAUUUCUACAAUGGUGGUGCAUCAAUAUUUAGACUAUGUUUGUGAUUGCAGGAAAAUUAAUUGAAAUACAUGCAUGCGGUAAAAAAAAAACGAUAAAGAAUAUCUUUUUUAAUUAUUUCUGUACAUUUUUCAUAUGACAAUAGAUUAUGAUAUAUUUUCUACCGAUUUCACUCAAAAAAAAAAAAAGAAACAUGUUUGUAUAUGCUUUUCCCCUAAUUCUAUUUUACUUACGAGAAUUAGAUGGGUCUCAAUAUCAAACUGGCCCUAAUUAGUUAAUUAAAUUGGGUUGGAGAACUUGUUUAUAAUAACUCUCAAAAUUCAAAAAAAAAAAAUCGCAAUAAAUUAAAAAUUUGAGGACCAAAACUUCACAGAGGUCACAGUUUGAGGAUCAAAAGCAUACUAAGUUGGAUUCUGACCAUUAAUUAUCCACUUGGACUAAGAGAAGUGAUCCAAUAAUAUCAUACUACAGUAAAUGUGGAUAUGUAUAUCUACUUUAUUAUUAAUAUAAUAAGUAAACAAAAAAAAGCUAGAUACAUAAAUAGUUUAAUUUUGUGUUGGAUUUUACGUACGAAUCUAAGAAUAUGCAAAGUUUAGAUUAUGAUAUGAGUUAGAUAUGAAGCAAGAAAAAGAAAACUGUAUAUACAUACAAUAUAUGCAAGAUUUGCAUUGAGAUUCUUUAGAUAUGAUUCUUUAUUAAUUCUAAAAUUCUACAAUUAUAGUUUUAUAUUUUUUUAUUAUUAUCUUUGAAAAGGUAGUAUAGUUUUAAUUUUGGCUAAAUUACAGAAAAUCCCCCUAUAAUAACCCGCUUUUUCACUUUCCCCCCUUGACAUUUAAAAACCUACACUUUGCCCCCCUGUAAAAUGAAAAAUGUUCACAAGGGGGUUACGGUGUGUAAAAUGACCAUUUUGCCCCUCGCCAUUGUUGUCUUCUUCCCCAUCUUCUCUCCUUACUCUCCUCCGUCGGCCUCGUGGGGCACCAAACUCACUCCGGCGAGUUUUUCUUCGGGUCGAGCAGGAAGGCCACUCACAACUCCGCCGGCGCCGCCGCUUCCAAACUCGGGCAUCGCCGCACGGGCUUCGUCCCGAUCAUCCCCACCGCGGCCUCCACGACGAGCACGGCACGGCGCGGCGCCGCUGAGGCCCGGCGAAACCCGGCGCGGCGCCGCUGAGGCCCGUCGCGCGGAGCGACGUGCUCGCCUCCGGCACUGCGAAUUACGGCCACGGAAGCAUAAUGCGGGGCGGGGAGGCGGCAGCAGCAAUGGCGGAGGGGUAUUUUCGGCAUGAAAAAUUAUUUUAUAACGGAAUCCUAACGGAACCCUAACGGUAGGGGGUGAAGUGCACAUUUUUGAUUUUACAGGGGGCAAAGUGUAGGUUUUUAAAUGUCAGGGGGAAAAAGUGAAAAAGCGGGUUAUUAUAGGGGGGUUUUCUGUAAUUUAGCCUUUAAUUUUUAUAUGUAUCUCAAUAUCUCUCUCUUUCUCUCUCUCUGUCGCACAAAUAUAUAUACACACCACACAAAUCUCAAAGCAAUAUUAGUCGCAUGUGCAUCCAUUGAGAUACAUUCUCACAGAAUUGCUGCAAUAUUAUUAAGGGUUAAUUUUAUUCAGUUCCUAUAAAUAUAGUAAAUUACAAAUAUAUCUUUAAAAAAUUCAAUUUUCAUAGAUUGUCCCUAUAAAAGUCCUAAUAUUUUUAAAUAUAUCUUUCUGAUUUGUUACUGAUAAAAUAUUAUUUAUUUUAUAAGUGAAAUUAUUUUUUUUGCAUUACAAAUAUGUCCUUCAAAAAAUUUCAACUAUUAAUUAAAGAGUGAUAAAAAGGUCAAUUCAUCUCACUAACUAAUUAGGGUUAAAUAUAUUAUCUAUGGUUAACUAAUUUUUUCUAACGGAUCUGGUCUAACAGCAGGAACAUAUUUGAAAACAUGCAUUAGGACUUUUGUAGGAACAAUAUAUGAAUUAAAGUUGAACUUUGCAGGAAUAUAUUUGCAAUUCAUUCUGUUUGUAGGGACCUAUAUGAAACUAAUCCUAUUAUUAAAAUGUCAAUUGUUUUUACAUUAGUGGCGCAUUAAUAUAUAGUCAACAAAAUAAGAUCAUAGGACUUGAUUAGAACAAUGUAUAAAAUUCUAGUAAGAAAUUAUAAUAAAUUAAAAUUUAAGUAUCAACAAGAGCCCGAUCCUCCAAUAUUUAGUCUAUAUAUACAUAAAUCAUCAUUCUCACUCUUUUUUUUACUACUCAAUAGCUGAAAUAUGGAUUCCACAUAUAAAAACUAAAAUCAAAGGCAAGUCCCAUCCAAAAUUAAGGAUCUGAUUCCACAUAUUAUUUAGAAAAUGAGAAUUUAUGUAGUGCUAUGAAUCUGUUUCUACCAUGGUGGAGAACAUUAUAUAAUGAGGCAUCUUCUCAUUUGUAUUGUUAGUUUUGCUAUUACUUAAAGAAAUAAUUAACCUACAACUUUAGACAACUAAAGUUGGACAAGACAUGUUUCGAACCCAACUUAAUAAUAAAAAAAGCCCUUCUGUUUCUCUUUAAAGAACCUACUUGAUGAAUUAAUCAACUAUUUUCUUUACCAUCUUGAGAAUUUAAAAACAUAAAAGAGUCCCUAGUAUGUUAAUUAGACCCUAACUAAUCCACCCAUUUUAGUACUAAACUAAAUAAUUCUUUUUUAUCAUAUAUAUAUAUAUAUAUAAAAUCAGGCGGAAUAACUAUUAAAGCACCAGCUAUUUGUGCUAUUAGUUUUUUAAGCCUUGGAUUGGAAAUGUGUGGUCAGGAUGAUGUGGACCCUUAGGUUGAUGAGUGGUUUGGUUGAAUAGUAUAAUCUAGCGGUAAAAAUAAUCAAAGGGUUAAAUUUAACGUGGAAAACUCUCGAUACACCAAAUCCUUUGUGCUAUCGAUAGUAUCCCAGCCGGACUCUCUCUCUCUUCUCUCUGUGUGUAUAUAUAUAUAUAAUAUAUAAUAUAUAUAUAUAUAUAUAAGUUGAGCUAGAAUACUAUCGAUACAAACCGUCACUUUUGCCACCCAUUUGUUUUUCGAUGAUGGAGCCUCCAAAUUGAUGAUCGGUACCGUUAAACAUGAUCUAUACAUUUGAAGUAUUUAGAAAUCAAAUUCAUACAUUUUGAUAUUGUUCUCUUAUCCAUCGAGUGGACACAAAAAUGAACGGCUGAAAAUGAAUAUUCUUAAAAAAAUGAUGCUAGGAGUCUUGUAAUCAAGAUCAAGAGUAAGAUCUUGUUUUAAGUGGUUUAAAGAAUUUUUAACAAAAAUUCAAUUGAUUUGGAUAUCUCUACGCCUUAAACGAGAAAACGUCUCAUAUCGACCAUUAAAAUUACAAAUUUUGAAACCCUUUGAUAAUUAGGCAAAUGAUGUCAAAAAGAUUUAAAUUUGCUUUCUAACAACUUCAAGUGGUAAUUCAUGUUCGACGAUGCUGAUCGUCGAUUUGGAAGCUCCAUCAUCGAAACAAAUGGGUGCAAAAGUACUGGUUUGCUAUCGAUAGUAUUUCUAGCUCACUCUCUCUCUCUCUCUCUCUCUCUCUCCCUCUCCUCCUCUCUCCUCUCUCUCUCUCUCUCUCUCUCUCUCUCCUCUCCUCUCUCUAUAUAUAUAUAUAAGUUAAGCUUCAUCUCUCUCUCUCCUCUCUCUCUCUCUAAUAUAUAUAUAUAAUAUAUAUAUAUAUAUAUAUAUAUAUUAGUUAAUAGAAUACUAAUCGAAGCAAAAUCCGGUCACUUCUUUGCCACCAAUUUGUUUUCGAUGAUGAAGCCUCCAAAUUGAUGAUCGGCACCGUUGAACAUGAUCUAUACCAUUUGAAGUAUUUAGAAAUCAAAUUUUAUAUAUUUUUAAAAUCCGUCGGAUUUGAUUUCGGAUAUGAAUUUUCAGUUCAGGUUUUGAAAAAUCCACCCCCAGAUCUGACCAGUUGACAUCUCUAAAAGUAAGAGUGAUUCACUUGCAUGUGGUGCAUCCUCUACGCUGAUUGGGUUCUAAUUCAGUUCAAUCUAAUAAAAACGAGCCCAAAUUUCACUCACAAUUGAGCCCUAAUUUGUUCAUGUAUCAAACAACCAUCAACUGUAAUUUCUGCGCUCAACAAAAAUUAAAGCUAUAAAGAACAAAUUUCACCCUUUUGAUUGCGGAAAACUUUCCAACUCGGCCCAGCUCGGCCCGGCCCGGCCCGACGUGAGUCCGAACCAAGGUCGAUCGGUUUUGGUUAGGUUAGGGUUCGGGGAGAUUUAGGAUCUGUUUGUUUCAUUGAAAGUAAAUUUUGGGUUAAAUUAGAGUUCAAAUGGAUUUGAAUUGAAAUAGAGUUCGGAUGAGAAUUACUUUUUUUUCGCUGUUUGUUUUCAUAAUUGUGAAAGUGAAAUUUCUCCAAUUUUUAUUGUUUGUUUGAUAGGAAGUGAACGAUGUAAAAUUAUAAUUUAUAUAUAAGUAAUAAAUAACAUGAUAAAUAAUAAGUAAUAAUUUAAUAAAUAAAAAAUGUAAAAUUGUAUUCCGAUAUGAUCAAAAAAAUGUAAUCUAAAACAAGUAAAUUAGUUUUUAUAUAUAAAUUAUAAUAAGACAAAAGGUAAAAUCAUAGAGUAAAAAAAAUUAAUGCUCAACUAAUCAAUUUUUAUCAUAAUUUAAAUGUGCAAACUAAACGAAGAGAUUCUAAUACUUAACUAAUCGAUUUCCAUCACAAUAUAGACAUUUAAGGUAAAUAAAAAAAUAAUAAGUAUCAAAUAUAUGUAAUGUAAUUAGCAUUAUCCAUUAUAUUAUUUUUUUAUUUUUUUUCUUUCACCACUCUUCUAAAGUCAUUUAUGCUGUUUUGGAUAACUCGAGUUUUGAGUGUAAUUUUAUUAGGGUGAACUAAACAGAUAAAGCGACUAUUUUCGACCGAAAACGACUUCAUCCUCUCCACUUUCACUCCAAUGAUUCAGUCAAAACUGUUUAAGUUGCAUCUGUUUAUGUAUUGAAGGAAGUAGAGUUAGUACAAGAAUCAAAAAUUAUUAGGGGACCUUCCAUAAUAUUCAUGUUGCUUUAAGAUUCGCACAAGCUCAGCACAUAGAUCAAAGAAGAGCUAGAUUUUAUUUGGAAAAACUACAACAGAUGUGUUUGCUAAAGAGAUUACUCAUCUACAUCCUGUCGAAUUGUUGGCAUAAACAAUUAAUCCCAACAGAUCGAACUAUUAGAAAUACACAUUUAAAGCGUACCGACCGUUCCUAGAGCAGGUGGUAAAGGGCUUGAUGGUUGGUACCCGAAGUCGCAAGUUCGAAUCUUAGUUGAUUCACAUUUCUUGCUAAGUUUACUUCUAAAAUAAAAUAAACGAGGCGGCUAGUGUGCUACCUAUCUCUCUCUCUCUCAAAAAAAGAAAAAAAAAAGAAAAAAAAAAAAGACUCAGCCUAAUCAGUCUCAUGCCACUUAAAGUAUGACUCAGCCCAACCCGCGCCGCUUCUCGCCAUUCGAACAUGACUUGGCUCCAAUCUGGUCUCCCGCUAAAGAGUAAGAUGCUGACCUCUCUGAGCCAGAACAUCUAUUUCGAAUGAGAACAAAAUAAAAAAGUUAGGCAAUGUAGUAAUUGAUACAGUUUUUUUCUUUCUUUCUUUCUCUCUUUCCUUGUUUCUCUCUUUUUAUUUUUUUUUAGUACAAAGUAGAUAAAUAAGAGUUGAUAAUUAAUGAAGAUUUAGGGGGCCAAAUAAAUUAAUUUAAAAUUUUUUUAAACAUCAAACUGAGAAUCAUCCUGCAAUAAAAUAUGCAUUAUGUGAUAUACAAACCUGAACAUACACUACUAUAUACACACACACACACACACACACACACACACACAUCUAUAAUUCAAAUAUUCCAAUGUCAUAGAUCCUAAAAUACAAAUUUGAUUUAACAAAAAAAAAAAACCCACUUAAGCUAGGAAGAGUCCACAUUCUUCCUGGGCCUCAAUUGUUGCGACCGUCGGGCCCACCAAGUCCACGGCCUUUAAGGCCUCGACCUCCCAAUCGGUCCGAAAAACAACGUAGCCCACCAAUAUAGCGCACGCUAUUUGGGCCGCUAAAAGCCCAAGAAUGAGGCCCACGAAGCCCAUACCUAGCCCAAAGGCCAAGGCCCCGGCGACGGGAGCACCGACGCCGUAGAACGCCAUGAGGUUGAUGACGGCGGCCGUGCCGGGCCGGGCCGUCCCGCGGAGCACCCCGCAUCCGGCGGUCUGCGGGCAAUUGGCGAGCUCGCAGAGCCCGACGACCGGCAGGGCGGUGGCGGCAAGCGCAAGCACGUCACGGUCCAUGGUGAACACCCGGGCCCAUGCAUGCCGGCCCAGCACGGCCCACGAUAGGCCUAGGCCGGAGCCCGCGAAAGCGAGGCCUACGGAUACCAAGGCCGCCAAUCGGGCCUUAUCGGGCCGGCCCGCCCCGAGCUCGUUCCCGACACGCGCCGACGCGGCGGCGGCAAGGGUGGUCGGGACAGUGUACAUCAGUGACGUCGUCUGUAUGACGAUGGCGGCGGCAGCGAGCGCGACGUGGGGCCGGCUGAGGUAUCCGGCGGCGAUCGUCAUGAGCUCGUACCACCACCACUCUAGGCAGACCGCGAAGCAGCUCGGCACCGCCAGCCGGAGGAGCGCGGCCCACUCUGCGCCUACUGCCUGCUGCUGCUGCUGCUUCUGCUGCAGCUGCUGCAGCUUCGGGGAUUGCGGUUGCAGCGGAGAGGCGAAAAGAGAGCAAAGAUAAAGAGCUACAAGGAGGUUGAUGCUCGAUAUCGACGUCGCGGCGGCAACGCCGGCGACGUCGAAUGCAGAGCCGAGGAAGAGCGAGAGGGGGACGUGGCCGGCGACCGCGAGGCACGUGCACCACAUGAGCCGGCGGGGCGGGUUUCCCGCGCCCUCGGUGCGGAGAUAGAUGCGCACCGGGGAAAGAAAGGCGGCGGCGAGGAGGUCAGGGAGGGCGAAACGGAUGAACCGUGCCGCGACAGCUGCGACGGCAGGGUCCUGGCGGAGUGCGAGGAGGAGAGGGUGGAGUGACACCCAGAGGACGGAAAUUGGAAUGGCGGCAGCGAGGAGGAGGGCGAAUGCGCGGCGGAGGGCGCGGGCGGCGAGGGCGGGGUUGCCGGAGCCGAAGGCCUGGGCGCAGAUGGGCUCGAUGCCGAGGGCGAGGCCAGAGAGGACGGAGUAGCCGGUGACGUUCGCAAAGCCGACGGCCAACGCCCCGCCCGCGAGCUCGACGCGGCCGAGCCGGCCCAGGCACAUCACUGAGACCAUGCUCUUGCAGUAGCCCAGUAAGUUGAUGGCUGUUACGGGGGCUCCUAUUUCCUUCAUUUUCACAAUCUCCUCUAACACCUGUAACAACAACAACAUCUUAUUAUUAUUAUUACUAUUAUUGUUGUUGUUGUUAUUAGAAUUAUUAUUAAGAAACUUAUUUUUGAUUCUUGUUGCAGCAAAAAAACAGAAGAAAAAGAAAAAAAGUUGAGACUUUAAUAAAGGAGGAGAAUGUUAGGAGUAAGUACCUCAGCAAGUGUAGUGUGCUUUUGAGUUUGGUCUCCCACAACCAUAUCUUAGAGAGAGAAAGAGAGAGAUAGUGGUGGGAUUGUUGUGGGUGCAUGAUGAGAGGGAGAGAAAUGGGAGGGGAGGUGUAUAUAUAUUGGGGAUUGAACAUGGGGUUGGGAACUUGGUUUUCUUUUUUUUCUUUUUUUUUCUUUUUUUUUUUUUUUUUUAGGUGGGGACUAAAUUUGGUGGGGACGGGCAGUCUCCAAGGCAAGAUCAUUUCAUUUAUUGUUUAGAGAGUUUUAAAAUUUGCGUCAUAUAAGUUAAUUUUAUACGGCUCCCGGCAAAUAUAGUAAAUGAUAAAUAUAUUUUUAUAAAGUUCAAAUUUCAUAUGUUAUUUUUAUAAAAGUUCUAAUAUUUUAAAUAUGUCCUUUUAAUUUGUUAUCGUUAGAGAACUGUUUAUAUUUUCAAUUUUGUCAUCACAAAUAUAUUCCUCUAAAGGCAUGGACAUAUUUGUAAACAUCAGGACUUUUAUAGGAACAACAUAUGAAAAUUAAAUUUUAUAAGAAUAUAUUUGUUAUUCACUUUGUUUGCAAGGACUUAUAUAAAAUUAACCCUAAAAUAAACACAGAACGGUUUUUGUUUGAUCUAGAGAGCCCACUUUAUGAGAGUAUUUUGUGUAUAAUUAACUCUGUCCACAAAAUUAGUGUGACACCCACUUUUCAGGGCAUCAUCCAUUGUAGGACUAUUCUAGUCCUGGCAUGCUUAGGGCUAAAACUUUGGGUUAAUUACACCAAUGGUCCCUAACCUUUACACUAUUUUUCAAUUUGGUCUCCAACCUUUUUUUGUGUAAAUAAGUUCCUAAUCUCUUAAUUUCAUUUCAAUUAAGUCCCAGCCUUUAGAUAGCUGUUAAAAUUGACGAAAAAUGUCACGUCAGCACCAUGUCAGUGCCAUGGAAGGGUCAUGUCAGCGCCACGGAGAUGUCGUGUCAGCGCCACGGUGGCACUGUGUCAGCAGAUUGAAAAAAAAAAAAGGUUGGGAAUCAAAUUAAAAAACGGUGCAAAGGUUGAGAACCAACUGUGUAAUUAAUCCAUUAAAUUUAUAAAUUCAAAAAAAAAAUUACUUUAAGAUGUAAAUUUUGAUUUUGGAUUCAAAAUUAAAUUGGAAUUCAAAUUCCGAUUUUGUAUUUAAUUUUAAAUUUUAAAUUUUAAAUUCAAAUUCACAUUUGGAAUUCUAAAUUCUAAUUUAAUUUCAAACUUCGAUUUGAAAUUUCAAAUUCAAAAUGUGAAUUUGAAUUCGAAGUUUAAAUUCAAAUUUAGAAUUGAAAUCAAAUCUUAAAUUCAAAUUUAAAACUUAAAAUCAAAAUUUUGAAUAUAAUUUUAAAUUUAAAUUCAGAUUUUAAAUUUAAAUUUUGGUUUCAAAACUUUCAUUUUAAAUGUAAAUUGAAAUAUCAAAAUCAAAGUCAAAAUUUUAAGUUUGAAUUCAAAAUUUAGAUUCAAUUAAAAGUUUAAAUUUAAAAUUUGAAUUUCAAUUCAAAAUUUUAAUUCAAUUUAAAUUCAAAUUCAAAAUUCUAAUUUCUCAUUAGUUUAAAAUUUUAAUUUUAAUAUUAUUUUUGAAUUUAAAUUUAAUAUUUUGAACUUUUAUGUUUAGGGACUAAAAUGAAAAAAGUGCAAAGUUUAGGGACCUAAUUAACAUGCAAAAGGUUGCCAAAAUGACGCUGACGUGGCGAUUCCGUUAAUUUUAACAGUUUUUUUAACGGUUAGGACGUAAUUGUAAUAAAAUCAAGAGAUUAGAGACUCAAUUUCAAAAAAAAAGGUUGGAGACUCAAGUGAGUUUUAAGUAAACUGAUUUAGUCAAACGAGUUUGAUAUGUAGCACCCAAUUUUUUGUGUGAUGCCCCACUUUUUAAGAGAUCAUGUAUAAUUUUAGUACGUUUAACCAUUUUAAUCUAUUGGGUCUAAAUAUCACCCAAAAUAUUAUAAUCAGAUUAAGACAUUUUACUUGCAUUGUAUUUUUUAGAAAAAACUUCAAAUAUUACUCAUGUGGUUUUGCACAUUAGCACUUUAGUAUCCUGUGGUUUAAAAUGUAUCAAUUUAGUAACUUUGUGGUUUCAUUUUUCUUUUUUUAUUAUCACUUUACUAAUUUUUUUUGUUAAAUCAAUGACAAAGUUAAAACUAGAGAGUACUAAAGUGAAUAUUUGAUAAACCUAGGUAGGGUGUCUGAAGUCUUUUGUAUAUGAUUUAACGAGAUGUUUACGGAGGAGCCGACGAAAAGAGAAAAAUGAAAUCACAGGGUACUAAAUUAAUAUACUUUAAACAAUGAAGUACUAAAGCGAGAAAGUGCGAAACCACGGAGGUGGUAUUUGAAGUUAACACUUUUUUUUAUAUAUGACUAUUUUAAAUUCUAAAAAUGUCAUAUUCUUUCGCCCUUUACAUCCUAACAUUCUUAUUUGGCUCGAGUGACUUAGCCUUCUAUUCUGACUUUAACUUAUUCGAAGUUUAUCUUAUACUUUUGACUGAUGAUUUGUUCUGAUACCAAUUAUGAAAACGUCCUGCAUCUCAGGGAAUCAUCUGUUCUAGAACUAUUCUAACUCUAACACGCUUAAUCCUUAUAACUUUUUAUAUCUAGCCACGGUUUAAAAUAUUAUAAUCAAAUAAAGAGGUUUAAUUUAAUCCUAUUAUAUUUUAUAUAUAAAACUAUUUUAAAUUCUAGGAUCGUCACACUUUGUAUGUGAGUCAAAGUAAAAUCUAGUCGAAUUUAGUCGACUCAACUUGAGUUUCGAGUUUCGAGUUAGCGACUUUUAGUGCGAGUAUAUAGUGACUAAAUGCAGGGGAUUAACAAAGAGCAAAAGAGAGAAUGGAAGGUCCCUCAAAUAUCUCACAUGUAAGGGGGAGGUGAAUUGAAUUUCAAAUUAUUGCGAUUUAUUAAUUAAUGCAUGGUACUUUAAAAACAAAAAUUAUCUCCAACAAAUAAAUCACUUCGUCACAUUUGCUCCAAUUUCGCUAAAAGAAAAAUAAUGUAGCAGCUAAUUCAGUUGUCAUUAUAUCAUCAUCACCAAAAGAUGGCGAUGAUAAGAUAGAGCUCAUUGUUAUGGAAAAUAAUUCUAUAGAGGUAUGUGUCCGAAUGAGAGUUUUUUAAUAAUUUAUUGAAGCUAAAUGAAUUGGAGACACCUGAACUUUCAUCUAUUUAAAAAUAGGCAAGAAUACUUUAAAUUUUUUUUUAUUUUCUACCUAAACUUUUAAUGUUUUACAAUUAACCAUCUAACUUUUUAUCCUCUUAAUUUAAAGUGACUAAUUUUAGCUUAAUAUCCCAUUACAAGAAGUUUGCUAGAGAUAUGGAUAUCAGCAAGCAAGAAAGCGAAAGUUUGGAUGGUUCUGGUGGAUGCAAAUGAACCUGGGUUGGUGGAGCUCAUGUAGGGAUCCACCACGAUUGAGAUGGCAAGUGAGAACUAAAAUUAUAGAAAAAUAUAACCAGUUCCGAAUCGGUCCCGAGCCGCCGAGUGAAUAGAGUGGGAAGUAGGAGACCCCUAUCUUCUUUUGAUCCGCACCAUCUGCCAAAAUAUGUCAAAAAUCUGCUCUCAGCCCGAUCCGUCCCAAAUGAUGUAGUAAGUGCGAGCCAAAAAUAGCAUUGAAAUUAACUCAUUCGGACCCGAUGAUAAAUAAAAUGGGAGGUAGGGGACUCCUCUCGUCCCUAAAUCCGCUCUGUUUGUAUCCCUAAAGUAAAGAGUAUUCCUAUACUUUUUAUUUUUUGAUUUCGUUAAUUCAUUCUUCCUAUACGGCCCAGAUUUUUUUUUUUUUUUUUCUUUUGUGGCCUAUAAGAGCAGGUUAUUUGGAGAUGGGGUACUGAUUACUAGGUACUCUGAAGAGAAAUAUUUUGGUCUUUUAAAAUAGGGGUAAUUAAGUAAUUGUGCCUCCGCUCUCUCUUUCUCCAUUAUUUCUCUCCUCUCUCCGUGUCCCCUUUCUUUCUCUAUUUUUCCUCUCCAUUCUACUAUUAGGAUUUAGUUAUAUUUGUAGUUGAAUCCUAAUUGGAUUAUAAUUAAUAUUUAAAUCUGUUUGAGAUAAAUUAAGAUUUAAUAUGAAUCUAACAUAUUAGGAUAAAUAUUGAAAUUUAUUGGAGAUAAAUCAAAUAUAGAUUUAAAUGUUAUUUGGAGUAGGAAUCCUAAUUGGAUUAGGAUUCAGGUACGUUUUGAUAUAAGCUUCAUAAAUAGCUCCAUUGGUGGAGAGCUUAAAGAGUUGUACGGUGAAGUUGAGACUCUUGAGGAGGGUACGAUGAAAUGUCUUGAAGCCAUUAGUGGGCCGUACCAAAGAGAAGCUUGGCCAUGAGUUGUAUGCACCUAGUACACGGGUGGAUGUGAGAGAGAUAAGAGAGUUGUCAUUUAGUUGUCUUUUAGGUUUAUAAAAAACGAGAGAAGGGUAGGAGAGAUUCAAAAAGAGGGUUCGGGAUUGUAGCUACUCUAUACAGAAGAGGAGUCAUUUGUAAUCUUCUCUUAUUUAAUGAAUCUUAUUUUACACGCAAAUUUUCUUUUUUGGUUUUUCUCUCUUCUGUGAUUGUAUCAAUUUUUGCUGAGGAGACAGGUUUAUGGUAAAAAUCUGAUUCGACGCUUCCGUUGCGGAAUCACAACAAUUAGUAUUUGAUCAACAACAGUUGGUAUCGGAGCGGGUUGCAGAUUCACAAAAUCUAGUACCGGGGCGAGUACCGGAUUCCCAACAAUUGGUAUUAGAGUUUAAGGCUACCGAUCUGCGGGAGAGAUCGACGAAGAUUGCUACAAAAUUCAAAAUCGAGAAGUUCGACGACAAGAAUAAUUUCAGAUUGUAGUAGAUUAAAGUACAGACGAUCCUCGUACAACAAGAGUUUAAUGAGACGUUGAACGGGAAGGAGGCGAAGCCGGCGGAGGUCACGAAUGCGACAUAGAUGAAGAUAGAACAGAAGGCGUUGAGCACGCUUCAUCUGUCAUUAGCAGAUGAGGUUCUUUACAACGUAGCCAGCGAGACGACACCAGCGAAGUUGUGGAAGAAAUUAAAAGAUCUGUAUAUGACCAAAUUCUUGAGGAACAGGUUGUAUCUGAAGCAGUGACUGUUUACGCUGCGGAUGUAGGAAGCGGCGAGCCUUCAUGAGCAUCUUAACGAGUUCAAUAAGGUGGUGGCCCAGUUGACUAGCAUCGGAGUCAAUCUGGAUGGUAAGGAUAAGGUGCUGAUUUUACUAUCUUCACUACCGGCGACAUAUGAGUAUCUGGUGAUCACAUUGCUUUAUAGCAAGGAGACCAUAAGCGUGGAGGUGGUCAUGGCGGCAUUUCUCUUGAACGAGAUACGGAAGAUGACUCAGGAGUUCAGCACGCAAAGUCAGGAUGUAAGGCUGGUGGUGAGAGCGAAAAAAGAGGCGACAACAUCGGCGACCGGAUAUCGACAGAAGAAGCCGCUAUCUGAGGUCGAGUGCUUUUACUGUCAUAGGAAAUGGCAUAUUAAGCGCAAUUGUCGAAAACUUCAGGAUAAUCUGAAGGAGUUAAAGCGACAGAAGGAGAAAACUAUUGUGAAACAGGAUGAGACGGUAUCAGCGACGGCGUAGGCGACAGAGUCGAAGACGAUCGAUUCUGAUGUGCUGUAUGCGGCGACCGGAUGUGCUAAAAUUUCGGAUGACUCGUGGGUGCUUGAUUCGGCGUGUUCUUUUCACGUAUACCAGGAAAAGGAGUCUUUUGUCAUCUAUAAAGCGAUCAAGGGUGGAAAAGCUCUGAUGGGGAACGGAACAGCUUGCACACUUUUAGAAAUCGGCACGGUGAAGAUCCGAAUGCACGAUAGGGUCGUGAGGAUGCUGACAAGUGUGCGACAUGUUCCUAAUUUGAAGCGAAAUUUGAUCUCGUUAGGGACAUUGGACUCGAAGGGUUGCGAUUUUUCAGCUUCAGAUGGAGCUAUGAGGGUCCGAAAGAGAGAUCAGGUCGUGUGCGAGGCAAACAAACGCGGUAACUUAUACGUUCUGAACGGGAGUACAGUCGAAACGGGAGCGAAAAUGGUUUAGGUUCCAAAAGUUUACGGAGGUGCAGUCGCUCGAGGCAGAACGACGAAUGCGGCGACAUAGAGUGGAGACAAGCUCAAGAUGGAGCUUGCAUGGUGAGCUCGACGCAAGGGUUGAAAACUAUAAAUCCAACUAAGGUGGAGAAUGUUAGGAUUUGGUUAGAUUUGUAAUUGAAUCCUAUUAGGAUUAAUAUUUAAAUCUGUUAAAGAUAAAUUAAGAUUUAAAUAUUAAUUAGAGUAUGAAUCUAACUAGAUUAGGAUAAAUAUUUAAAUAUAUUAGAGAUAAAUCAAAUAUAGAUUUAAAUAUUAUUUGGAGUAGGAAUUUUAGUUGGAUUAGGAUUCGGGUAUAUUUUGAUGUAAACUUUAUAAAUAGCUCCAUUGGUGGAGAGCUUGAGGAGGGUAUAGUGAGGUGUCUUGAAGCCAUUGGUGGACCGUACCAAAGAGAAGGUUGGCCAUGAGUUGCAUGCACCUAGUGCAUGAGUGCAAGUGAGAGAGAAAGAGAGUUGUCUUUUAGGUUUAUAAAAGACGAGAGAAGAAUAAGAGAGAUUCACAAAGAGGGCUCGGGAUUGUAGCCACUCAGAAGAGAAGUCAGGUGUAAUCUUCUUUUAUUUAAUGAAUCGUAUUUUACCCGCAUUUUUUUUUUAGUUUUUCUCUCUUUUGUAAUUGUAUCAGUUUUUGCUGUGGAGACGGAUUUAAGAUAAAAACCCGAUUCGUUGCGGAAUCACAACAAUUGGUACCGCAUCAACAACAGUCGGUAUCAGAGCGGUUUACGGAUUCACAAAAUCCGAUACCGAGGCGAGUACCGGAUUCCCAACAUCUACAUAAUCACUGCCUCUCCAUUUCCCCAUUUUCUCAUUUCCUCUCUCUUUUCUCUCCGUUUAACCAAAAAUUAAAAAAAUAAAAUAAAAUAAAAAAAUCUCUGGAGGACAAUCCAAAUAGCAUUCUAAAAGGUGAUACAAUAUUGGGGCACCUCUGCAGCGUCGGCGCAGUCAAGGCCUUCUAGAGGAUUCUUUACGAGGGCUCCGGUCCGGUGGAGGCUUCAAAAUUAAUGUCUAAAUUAAUAAAGCUCUAAAAUUCCUUUUAUAUAUGAGCAAUGCUCUUAUGCACCGAACAAAUCUCAAUCAUUACGAUAGACCUAUAAAAAGAGGGUUGGCACUUGAGGGUAUAGGUACUGGUCACCACUUUAAUAAGGGCAAAAUUUUUUUUUAUUACAUGGAGUUUGCAAUAAGGGCAUUUUGGUAAAUUUUCAUCCUCGUAACAUGUCAUUUUUGUAAAUUUAGAAUAUUCCACCUUCCUUCAUUCUUAUCCUCUAAUAUUCCAUCGUUGUAUUAUUAUCUUUCCUAAAUUAAACCUCAUGUCUUUAAACCAUAGUUAGUUAAUUCGAGUACGAUAAAAAUUCGAUACGGAUAAAAUACGAAUAAAAUUCGUAACUUAAUUUUUAAGUUCGUUGAAAAAUACGGUUUAAAAAUUAGAUUCGCCAAUAAUUUGUAUACGCGAUUUAUACGAAAAUUUUACGUUUAUCAUUUAAAAAUUCGGAAUAAAAAUUCGUUUAUUUAAUUGAAAUUUUUUUAGAUUUAUGCUAUUAUCAUGCAUAAAUAAUUAUAAUUCUUAUAAAAUAUAAAAAUAAAAUUGGAUAUAUAUAUAUAUAUAUAUAUAUAUAUAUAUAUAUAUACACACACACACAAAAACAAUCAUGAGAAAAUAAAACUAUCGGAUUCAUUAAUUCCCACACUAUCACAAAUCCUCAAAGGGGAAUGAAGAGAUAGAACUAGUUAUAUAGAACGGUUAUGUAUUUGAUUUAUUUUUUGCAACUUAUUCUAGUUUAAUUAUAAAGUAAUUUUAGCUGGGUUUGCUGAACCAUUGACAAAUUCUACAUCCUUUUAUUAGUAACACCUACUGUGCAAGCUUACCUGUUUGGAUGAAAGGAAACAUAAUAACAGUGACAAAGAAUNCAUUGGAUCUACUCCUUGAUUACUAAUAGCCCUUGGAUCAAACACUAUUCCACCUACCACCACCGACCAUCAUCAUCUCAACCUCAUAUCUCUCUAUCCAAUGGCUAAAAUCUCAAAAGCACCACUCACAUAAUACUUUUACAAGUAUUCUAGCUUAACUCUAUAUAUAUAUAGAGCGAGAGGUCCACCGUGGACCUCUCACUCCACACAGUCCACGAGGCUGAGUGCAGCCUUAUGGACCGCAAUAUUUUCCUACACGUAGGCCGCAAUUUCUUCUUCCUCUAAUAUUUUUAAACUUUUUAAAUUAAUUGUUUUUGCUAUCGAACGAACAAUUUAAAUUAAUUUUAAAAAUAAAAGCCUUUAAUUUAAAUAAAAAAUAAAAGUUAUAUUUAUAAAUACAGCAUAAUUUAUAAUUUAAAUUAAAUUAUAUAUAUUUGAAAUUUCGUGUCAUUUUAAUAUAUCAAAUUAAACAAUUUGAAUUGAAAUAUACUAUUCAUUUAAACAUAAAUUUUUUCAUUCUGAAAUAAAAAUAAAAAUUAAAUUUGAAUUUAAUGACACAAUUAUAAAGUUUAAGCUCAAAUUGAAUUUUAAAUUCAAUUUAUAAAGGUUAUUACUUAUCAAAUUAGCACUAUCUAAUUUGGAAAGUAACAAAAUUAAACAAGGAAACAAAUAUUUGUAUAAAGUUGAUCAAAUUUGGUAAUUAGUUUGUAUUUUUUUCCCAUAUUAUCCUUACAAAUGGUAACCUGUUGAGCAGGUAACCACUAUGCAAAAGUCAAUCUUUUCCCUUAAAAUAUGAACGAUUAGAUUUAUUUUAUAUGGUGUAUUGAAGCAUUCCUCUAUAUAAUAUAUAUAUAUAUAUAUAUGAGAGAGAGAGAGAGAGAGAGAGAGAGAGAGAGAAGAGAGAGAGAGGAGAGAGAGAGAGCUAGCUGAUAUACUAUCGGUAGCACGUAUAUAUAUAUAUAUAUAUAUAUAUAUAGAGAGAGAGAGAGAGAGAGAGAGAGAGAGAGAGAGAGAGAGAGAGAGAGAGAGAGAGCUAGGCUGAUAUACUAUCGGUAGCACGAAGAUUUCCGUGCUACCAAGUUGUUUUCAAUGAUACGGCUUUUAAAUCGACAAUCGGCUUUGUUGGACUUGAUCUACACUAUUAAAAAUAUUUGGAAACUAAAUUUCAUAAUUUUUCGACAUCAUUUGACUAAUAAUAAAAAAGCUUCAAAAUUGACAAUUUUAAUGGUAGAUGUGAUGCGUUUGUGAAUUUAAUGAUGUAAAACAAUCCAAAUCUGAUGAAAGUUUUAUAGAAAAUUCUUUUUACUAUUUAGAGUAAGAUCAAUACUUCUGAUCUUAAAUUCAAGUCUUUUAUCAUUAUUUUUUAAGAGAUUUUUAUUUUCAGCUGUUCAUUUUAGACUACUUGUUUGAUAGGUAGAUGAUGCUGAAAAAUUAUGAAAUUUAGUUUUCAAACAUUUUCAAUAGUGUGGAUUAAGUCUAACGGAGCCGAUCGUCGAUUUAGAAGCCGCAUCAUUGAAAAUACAAAGAGGAUCGUACUCAUAAGAGUAUAGUAGCCGGACUCGAUAACUUGUUGGUCGUGAGCUAGCUCAAUAUUAUUCUUUAUUAAUCAAUAAUUAAGAUAUUUUAUUAUAAUUUAUAGAAUUAAGCAUCGAAUCAAAUCUCAAAUAAUUAAAUAAUUUGGUGAGUUGCUCAAAAAAGUAAACCUAACUUUGUCGUAGGAAUGGGUUUGUCUCAACACAACCCCACACUCACAAAUAGGCUGGGGCGAAGAAGCAAAAAGGGUUUCAAACAAAUUCAAACAGGGUAUUAUAUAGGAUGGGUCCGCAUGCGACCGUGAUCACCUUAAUGGCCCUAACAUGUCCCCCAUAAUUUGUUAUUAUGUGUACGUACCUUCAUUAAUUGGAGCGCCACAUGUGCAUGGUGAUAGAGCCCCCACCUAUUUAAACCCUAUUAGGUUAAUUAGGGAAUUAUUUAUGUGUAAAUAAACACAUAAAUAAAUAAAAAGUAAAAAAAGAUAAUGGAGUUACCUAAACGCACAGCAUGAUCCACCAAUGUGGGGAAGGCACGUAGCAUGCAUGCGAGUUACAACACGUACUCCACUCAUAUUCCACCAUUUUAUAAUUAUUAUUAUUUAAUUUAAUUAUUAGGUAAAAUAUAAAAAACUUACCUAAACUAUACAUGAUCAUUCUAAUCUGACAACACAACCUUUCAAUUUAUUUGAAUACUUUGUGGUCAUUCCGAUACAAAUUUAAAGCGAAUAGUUUACUUAAAUAAACUUAUAGUUACAUUUGAUAAAUUAAGUGGUCUAGAUUUUUCACUAGGGCUUCAAAAACAUAAGAUUUUUCAAGCUAGAAAUUAAACAACAAGCCCCAUUUUCUGUUUUUGCUACAACAAGAAGAGCGUACGAGAGCGAGUUUUAUGAAUUUGUUAUCGUUAUAACUAAAAAUAAUUAUUAUUCUAUUCUUUAGUGGCUGUACUCAAAUAACACUUUAAAUAUUCUUCGAAUAAUUCUUUCUUUUGAUACUUACAUAUGCAACGCAUCACACAUAUAUAUAACUAGCUAGCUAGUCGUCACGUUUAACAAACUUUAGGUACAUAUAUAAAAAAGAAUAUUCAUGCUUAACUUUAGGCCUGAGCCUAACCCUAACCCUAGCAUCGAUCACGUGCAUGCUACUAACGCUAUUAAUAGCUAUAGCUCAUUUCUUAUCAUAUCACCUUUUAAAUAAUAACGUGGUAUCAGAUUCAGUCCUACUGCUACACAUGUAAGUUCUCUUUAAGUAACCGAUCCUCUAUUGGUACUGCACGUAUACAGUAUGAUUUAAUCAUCUGAUAUUCAUCAUGCAUGAACAUGAAUGGACGCGCACGCAAAGUGUCCCAGAAAGUUGGAGCAGGGCUACAUCUACAUAUUAGGGUUAUUAAUUAAUGAAGGAUAAUAUGAGAGGAGAGUGUGUGUGGGGUUAACUUAUUUGGGGAUAAGAAAGGUAAGGGGGAUAGGGGGGGAAUAAGUUACAAUCCUAUCAGAGGAGGCACGUGAAACAGUAACAAAAGAGGGAAUAGAGAACCCCUUUCUUCCACGCAGGGGAAUUGGAGAGGGGCCACCAUUUUUUUUUUUUUUUUAACUGAUCCUUAAAAAAUUUAGGGGUAAUUUUGUACAGUUUUUUCUAAACAUAUCGAAUAACAAAUAUAUUCCUACAAAAUUUAAUUUUUCAUAUUUAUUCUUACAAAAGUCCAGUAAAAAUUCAUAUUUGUUCCUUUGUUUUGUUAUCGUAGUUUAUUUUUAAAAAAAAGAUAAGUGAAAUGACAUUCUUGCCAUCACAAAUUUGUCCUCCAAAAGCUCCAACUGUUAGAAUUAUAUAAAAAUCUCCUCCAAAAAAUUUUCAACAGUACCGGUCAUCUUCUUACUUUCUACCAUCACAAAUAAUAUAAGAGGGGUAAAAAGGUCAAUUGACCUGAUUCACUAACCAGGGUUAAGUAUUUUACCUAUGGUUAACUAUAUUUUUCUAACGGAUUCUAACAGCAGGAGUUUAUUUGAAAACGUUAGAACUUUUGCAUGGAUAAAUAUGAAAAGUUGAACUUUGUAGGGAUAUAUCUGCUAUUCGAUACGUUUACAGAGAGCGACAUGUAAUUAACCCAAAAAUUUAUAAUUUGCCAAAGAAAUCUAUCAAAAUUUUAAUUGGCAAAUUAAUUUUAUUUGGUUCAACUCAGCGGCAUGGUGGAAAAAGAAAGUGAAAAAUGGUGAAUAGAACUUUAAAACCGGUGAAUCAUAUAUUCACCAUCUUUAGAAAACUUCCGAUUGUUACUAUAGUUUGUGAAAUUUUUAUGUAGGUUGUUAGAAUUGUACAUAUGGGUUGUAGGGAUUUUUAUUUGAUUGUUAUGUUUGUUUUGCCGAUUUUUAGAAAUUUUGUGAGUUUGUUAAAAUUAUAUAUAUAUUAGUUGUUGGGGGAAGGAAACGGUGAAUUAUUUACUGUUUUCUUUGUGAAGAGAAAAUGAUAAAUAAUUUAUCAUUUUUUAAAUUUUAUCAAAAGCGAUAAAUUAUUCACCGAUUUUUAGUUUUUGCUCUAGGAGCAAAUAUUUUGUGCCUAUUUAACCCUGUAGCUGGCCUUAUCGUCUCAAUUUUGUAGCCUAAUUUGUUAAAAACUAAUAUCUAUGAAGAAGAUAACAAGUGAUAAGAAAAGAAGCUCCCAAGUUCCAUUUCCCUAAAAUGUGCAAUAAUAAUCCGUGGUGGAUCUAAAAUUUUUUCCCGUAUGGUCAAUAUAUAAGAGAAAAAAUAUAUAAAAAAAAAGUAAACUAGUCAUUAGUAUUCUUUCUGCAUAGGUUUUUUUUUAAUUAGAAUCUUUUUUAAUUUUUUGCUACUCUAAGAAAAGAAAAAGAAAUUAGCGGGUCAUCAAACCCGUUAUAAUAUUCUUGUCUAAUACGAAAAUUUUAUUGGACCCCACUUUGAGACUACUUGGGCUCAAAAGUACGGUCAAUUUAUACAAGAAAGAAAAGCACAAUAGAAUAUUCUGCAACAUCAUCAAUGGGGACUACUACGAUAUAUAUGCACCGGCCUCUGAUAAUAAAUCAUUGGGCCUAAACUAAAAAUCCAAAAUGCUUAAAUCCAGUUAUUAAAGUUCGUGUUUCCUUAUGUUUCUAAUCAUAAAUUAUUUUCCAAUCGAUGUGGAAUUAUUGCGGUGUUACAAAUUAAGUUAUUUUGCUACUGUUGGCACCAACAUGCAUGCAUGUUGGGCCAACAAUUAAUUUAUGGUCUCCUCUAUUAAUUGCUCUUUCCAUGCACUCUUGCCUCUAGGUUGAACUCCAAAAAGUGUAACAUUUUGAAAAGGAAAGUACAAUAAUGGUAUCAAGCAACUCAAAGCCUAAUAUAUUAAGCAUUCAAUUGCUAGGGAGUGUAUAGGGGUCAGGUCAUCAAAAUGUCCUACAAUUAACAUACAAAUUAAUAAUUCUUAGAGCUUUUCUAUAUUCAUGGUUUAUUUUUGUUAUCUUUUCAUCCUAUUUAUCACAUAUUUUUGCAUUCUCUAUAUUUAAUAUUUUUUUUUUCUCUUUUCGAGAGAGAAAGGUGCUAGUAAACUACUCACUUCAUUCGUUUUUCAAAAAAAAACUCAGAUAGAAAUAUAAAGUUAUUAGACUUCGAGCGUGGUGUUGCGGGAACUAACCAUCAAACUCUUAGCUAACUUAUGUCAACUGUUGACUAAAAAAGGCCAGCAUCCUACAGAUGCCGGAUUGGACUGAGUCACGUUCGAAAUAGCGAGAGAUCUGAUUGGACCAAGUCAUAUUCGAAGUGGCGGGAGGCUUAUUGGGCUGAGUCACAAUCGAGAUCCAUAAGCACUGUAUCUGCACACUUUUAGCAAACUAGUUGUAUCUUUCUAAUAGCUCGAAAAUUUAAACUAACAGUCAGCACCAACGAUCCGACAAACCGCGUAUAAUACGUUCGUACAAUUGUGUACCACCUUACACAGCAAACUGGUUGUACCUUUCUUUGUGCCGUAGCGAGUGCGACGAAAAUCAGAAUAUAAAUUCGAUUUAUAUUUGACUCUGAAUCCCAUUUCAGCAGAUAAGGUAACAAAAAUUUAGCUUCCAUUACAUAUCCGCAAUAUGGAAACAAAUAUGAUUUUGUCGGAAAUCCGACCGUAUUCAACUGUUUUCACCCCUAUUUACAACACUAUCGAACAUAAAUAACUUCAAAACUUUAAAAUAUCUAAUAUACUCUUGAUUGACCAAAAUACCUUUCUUAAUUUUCAAAAAUUCCUUCAAAUAUCCCUAAACCCCUAAAGUUUACUAUUCAGAAUUACGGUUUAGAAAGGAUUUUGAUAAUUUCAGAAUAAAUUUAAAAAUUUUAAAUAGUAGUCAAGGGUAGAUAAGCAAGCCCCUAAAUAUUAUAUGAUGGUACUAUAUAUAUAUUGUUUUCCACCGUUUAAUCUAUUCUUUUGACUAAUUCCACCCGUUAAUUAGAUCAUGUUAUUUUCUCAAUCACCCACUAAACCCUAGGCUACCGUUUGGUUCGGAGUUAAGGAAAAACUAGUUAUUCCAGGGAUAUGGUUAAGUUUAGAGUUAAGGUGGAUUUAGAGUAUUUUUGUGUUUGGUUGGAGGUUGGAGUUAGUCCAAGAUAGUGAAAAAUAGUGUUUGGUUGGAGUAGGUGAGAUAAAAAGGAUAGUGGGUUAUUAUGAAUAGAAAAUAGUGUUUGUUUGGAGUUUGGUGGGGUUAGGUGGGGUUAGCUAAUCCGGGAUAACCCAUUUGAGGUGGGGUUAGCUAACCCCACCCAUUUUUAGAAGUGUUUGGAAAUAAAAUAGGGGUUAAGGGGUUAUUCUACCCCUUAACCCCCAACCAAACAAUAGCCAUUAUUCCGACUUUACAAAUCUUUAUCCAAAUGUCGAAAAUCUGUAAGUAUCAAAAACUUGGUGCUUUUUUAAAAGUAUAGGAGGUCAAUCUAUAUAUAUAUAUAUAGAGAGAGAGAGAGAGGGAGAGAGAGAGAGAGGGAGAGAGAGAGAGAGAGAGAGAGAGCUCUAUGUGACUUGUCCUCUAAGUUGAACCAAGUAAUUAGUUUCCAAUUUCAGUUAGAUGGGCUCUCUUUGGUAAAAUCUAAAAGAGCUCAAACAUGGCAUGUGGGGUGAGGUGAAAGGGUGGUGUAAGGACUUAUUCUUUCCUCAGGAGUUUGACAAGUAACCAACCAACACAUGAAGCCUACUUUGAAAUUAGUUGUAAGUAAAAGAAGGAAAAGAACAACUAUAAGAACAAGUAUAAAAAGACACCCUUAACUAUAGGUUAUUUUGAUAUGAGAGAUGCGACCUGCACACUUAUAUAUAUUGUGUAAAUUUUACACCUUAUGUGACAUCCCAGGUUAGGGAAUAGUCUCACAUUGAAUAGCCAAGAAUAUAGUGUAGGAUAGGCUGGGUAGCCUAAACUUGAUAGUCGGGCUUAAGCAUUCGGGCUGAUAGAUUUGGCCCAAGGUUAUUAGUACUAUAUUAAUUCCGCAGUUAAGGAGCUGUUUGGUUACAUCUUGUUGCAACUUGUACUACAUGCAGAUGUAAAUUCGACGUUGCUGUAGUUAGAACUGCAUGAGGAUUCACUUCUCAACUACAUAUAGCUUUGCAAAUCCAAUGUUUGGUUAGAUGUAGUACACGACAGCUUAGUCAUCUAAAAGCUCAUAUUUACUCAAUAGCCUUCAUACCAAAAGCUUAAAAGGGGUUUUUAACUCCUUGCAUAGGUGAGUGUAAGAUUUACGUCCUAAAUGGAUAGUAUUUUUUUACUUUGAAAUAGAAACCCGGAUAUCAUUUUUUAAAAAAAAUUAAUUUCCAUUGACAUCUUUCAACUUUCAUUUAUUUUGUUUGAGGUAUUUUACUUUGUUGAAUCAAAGAUUUUGUAACAUCAAGUCCUCCUCAGUAUUAAUUGCUCACCUUUCCAGCUAAAAUAGGGAGUCAUGAAAUUUGAUGAAGUACUAAUUGAUUUCAAAGUAUAAAAGUCUAUUUCAAAGGUCUAUUUCAAACUGACCUAUAGUUGAGAGGGUCUCUUAACAACUUCACCUAAAAAAAGUACAAAAAUAGAGAAAGAAUAGACUGAUAAUGAGAGCCAAGCAUACAUGUACAUCCCAUGAAUUUGAUGAAACAUGUGAUGAGAGUGGUAAAUGUGGGAAUAUGGAUAGCCACAAGUUCCCCCCUCUUCAUGGUGACCUCUCCUUUUAUUCAUUUACUUUCUAGGGUUAUAACAUUUGUUUCUUUUGCUCUAUUAAGGAGGAGAUCAAAUUUGGUAACAAGGAACUACUCUUUCAUCAUAGAAAGCAAUGUGGUUACCUCUUCAAAAGAAAGGUACCUAAUAUUGUGUAAAAAAGCAAAUAAUGAGAUACAAGGAAUUAAUAGGUCACGAUAUUGCACGUGGCCUUUAUCGCAGAGAUUAUGAGCCUAUUUGACCAAGCUGUAAAGCGAACACUGUAUUAUACCGAAUGUCUAGAUCAAUGUAUAUAGCUUUUUCUGUUGUUGCAGAAUCAAAAGCAUGCACUUUCGAGUAGAUGCUUCAUUUUUCUUUUUUCUUUUUUUUUUCUUAUGUGUUUCUACACCAAAUGCCCCGUUGACAACAACAGCAAAAUGUGGAUCGUAAGUGUUAACCAACUAUCUCAAAAAUAUAUAAUGAUAGGAAGGAUGUACUUAUUGUACUUCAGAACUCAAUCACAGCGUUUACGGGCUUCGACCUGACUCAACUCAUGUGCACGUUGAGUCUAUUGUUGAGCUUCUUGUUGUUGAUCUAUUGUGGACUAGGGCCCCACUCAACUUACUGGACUCAACCCAACUAAACUUAUUACUCUCCUGGAUAUAUUCUCACGAAGCAGAAAAUUAGACCUAUUUUAGCUAAUAAUAAAUAGCCAGCACAGAAAUGGAGCCAAACAUGGCUUGCAUGUGCAUAGCACCCUCUUUGCCUGGUGCUAAUUAGUGAAGAACUUCUCUACGACUCAACAAUCGCGAAUCUAACAUUUAAACUUGAAAAUAAUUUUUUUUUAAAAAGCAAGAUAAAAGUAUUUAGGGUUUUUGUCGAAAUUAAAGCUACACUUACACAAUAAAAGCUUGGAUUGAUGUUUGUUAAAAUAAAAGCAAUUUCACUUCUGCGACAAGAUCGAUCGAUCCUUUCCGGUACUCUUACAAGCACAUAAAGAGAAGCAAUGCCACUGAUUGUCCUUCCUUGUGCAUGAACUAACAAUUUGCUUGUCCUUCUUUGGAGGUACCAUAAGGCCGAAACCAAACACUGGCAGAGAAAAAUAAGAUUGCAAUGUUAUACCAUAUUAAUAUUAAAUCGUACCUUUUGUUAUGAUUUUCGAUUUUCAAAAAAUGGAUUAUAGACGGUGGUUCUUCCUUGUGAUUACUCCUUAUUCACGAUCUGUAAAAGAGUGGAAUGUUUCCAAUUCAUUUUCUUUCCUUCGGAGAUCGAGCUGUUAUAGAAAAUUAGGGUUAGUGUUUGGCGGGGACACCCAGGGACAAAGCCAGAAAUUAAAAUUCGGGGGGACCAAAAUUUAGAUUUGAUAGGAAAAAAAUUCGAUCUCGGAUAGGAAGAAAAAAAUUUGUCAGAUUCACUGAUAACGACAAUAUGCUAAAAAAAAAGCAAGACCGUAAGAGUUGAAGGGAAAGGACCGAAAAAUUCGACACAAAUUUGAGACACAAAUUUUGUUAAAAAAACUAAUUUGGCCCCCUAAACUUAAAAUUUAUAAUAUUUUAAUUUUUAUUAUAAAGGAUUUUUAUAUAAUUUUAAAAAAUUUAGGAGGGGCAUGGUCACUGUGGGCCCCUCAAUAGCUCCGUCCCGGGGACACCCGUUAUAUAUAUAUAUAUAUAUAUAUAUAUAUAUAUAUAUAUAUAUAUAUAUAUAUAAUCUAAUUUAAGGAUGUUCAAUCAGAUCCGUCCAUCAAAAAUGCGCCCAAAUACAUCUUUUCCAUUAGGUCGAAUGUAUCUUUAUGGAUUGUCUUUAAUAAACCACGUGAGCCACAUCCAACAUAAAAAGCCAAAGAAAGAUUAAAUUGUCACGAAUUUUCUCGAGUUGGUAAAGCUUAGCUAACAUGUCUUUGUUAGUCUGACGUAAAAGCAUGUUAUCGAGCACCAGAUUAUAAUCAAUCAAAGCAUUGAUCACUUACAUCACUAAAAUAGGAAAAAUCGCAAAAAUUGAAGCCCUAAUUAACUUAGGUAGCUAACAGUGUUUCAGCUAUUUUACAAAAUAAAUCAGGUUAAUACAAUACCGAAUGUUAAGAUUUAAGACAUAUACUUAAUUUAGCGAGUAAUAUAUAUGUAGUAGGUUUUUUCUAAUUGGAAAAAAAUACGACAAGAAGCAGUAAUACUGUGUGAGUACAGUCGUAACAUUUGGCAUAAGAACAUCAUUCGAUCUUUGUUUUACGUACUUCUUGUUUGCGUUGUUUACGUUUUCACUUAUAUCAAAAAUUAUGGCAACUUCAAAUGAACGAGAAGAACAUAGAAUGUAUGUGAAAGGACAUUUCACCCGCCAAGAGAGAAUAGAUGUAACGUCAUACAAAUGACACUUCCCGAGAAAAAUAGUAUACAAAUCGAACAGAAUUUUCAAACUUGCACGCAUUAAGGAACAAACCCUCUUUUAACAGGGACAUAUCUGACUAGAUUUAAUGAAUCUAGCUGUCAAUAUUAAAACAGGAUUUGUUAAUCCCAUCGCCAUAAAUAGUUUAGCUCAGGAACUUCUGGAUGAAGUUAUGGAUAUGAUCAGUAACUUGUUGUGCCCUCUCCUGCUGGAUGAAGUGCCCAACUCCCUCCAGAACAACUACUUCCUCAAGUGAGGGAACAUCACUUUUGAACCCACCAUUGUGUAGGUAAUCUUGUAUGCCUGGGUAGUGGUAUGUUGGAUCAAGGUCUCCAACAAUGAACUUGGUUGGCACUUGUAUUUUUGCCCCAGUCCAUGGGGCUGUGAGUUCCCAGUUCCUGCAUGCACAUCAAAGUAACAAAUAUGUCCAGAUGUUCGCACUUUGGUACUAAACGGUUGCUGAUCAAAUAUAAAUUAUCAAAAACACCAUUCUCUGACAGCUUAAGCUUUUGAAAUAAAUGGUUGUUUCAUUUAAUUUAAUGUAGUAUUUUUUUGAGAGAUAGAUAGCACGCUACCCGCUUUGUUUAUUUCAUUUAGAAAUAAACUUAGCUGAAAAUGUGAAUCAACUAGGAUUCGAACUUGGGUCUCGGGUACCAACCACCAAGCCCUUUAUCACUUACUCUAGGGACGGUCGUUAAUUUAACGUAGCAUUAGAGUCAGAAUAUUUUGAAUUCAAAUCCCACCAGACUUCUAUUGGAAAACACAACUGAUGCUAACUAAAUAAAACAAUUUGGCUCGAUUUAUAUGAUUUUCAGUUCGGUUUGGUUAUAAAAAUAGCUACAAUUCAAUUUCGGUUUCGGAUCAGUUUUAGCACUUCUCUUAACUGAAUCGACUCGAACCGAAAAUUGAAUAGUAAUUUUACUUGCACUUUUUAUCUAAAAGCAUAUAUUGAAAUUCUAUAUUUAUGAUCAAAUCUUGAUUACAUAUCAACACACUUUUCAAAAUUCUAUGUUUAUGAUCAAAUAUUUUUUGUGCGUAACUUUCGCAACGAUUCGAUUUUGCAAUUAAUUCAUAAGAAAAGUAGAAGCUCUAAAAACUAGUUGUGAGACUAAACCAAACUGCAUUAAUUCAGUUUGAUUUGGAUCGGUUGUGGAUCUUUUCAAACCAAAAAAUUCGAUCCGGUUGGAGAAUAAGAAAAAGUGCUAGAACUUUUUGAAUAGCUCUACCUGAAAAGAACUUCUGACAAACAAGCAACUCGAAGUAGUUGUGUUUGAUCCAAAGCUUAGAAAAAUGCUUGUUUUGUGUUACGAAUAAUAGUUAGUUAAUUCAGAUUCGGCAAAAAUUCGGUACGGGUAUAAUUCGGAUAAAAUUCGUCUUCUAAUUUUUAAAUUCGUUCAAAAAUACGGCUAAAAAACGGAUUCAUCAAUUAUUCGGAUACGUGAUUUAUACGGAUAUUAUACGUUUACCAAUUAAAAAUUCGGGACAAAAAAAUUCGGCUAUUAAAUUAAAUUUUUUUUUCUCAAAAUUUAUGCUAUUAGCAUAAAUAUUCAUAUUUUUAAAAAAUAUAAGAAUAAAUAACUAUAAAAUUAAGCUAAUUAAGUAAAAAUUGGGAAAGAGUUUUUUUUUUUUUUUUUUUUUGGUCUUAGGCGAGGUGUUUGGAAAGGUUUUUUUUGUUUUUUUUUUGUAUUUAACUGUUUUGGCCUUUUGGGCCAGCCGGCCCCCGCGCGCGUGUAGGACAGCAGGAGCGCGCGGGAGCGCGUGCGGGAGUGCGCGGGCAGGCAGGCGCAGGCAGGCGCGGGCAGGCGCGGGCGGUGAGGGCAGGCGUGGGCGCAUCCGGUUUUUUGGGCCGAAUAAUUCGGCUACGCGUAUUAUACGCGUACACGUUUUUUUAAUCAAAAAAAUCCAUUUUUUUUCCGAAUUUUUCGCAAAAAUACGAAUUCGACCGUUUAAUUCGUUUUUUCAAAAAUUCGCGAAUUAACUAACAUAGGUUACGAUUGCUGCGAAUCCGGUCCGUUGGAUCGCGGCCCUUGCAUGCUACCACGCGGUUGAGCAGACCAUGAAAUUUGCGGCCUACAUAGGCUUGCAAAUGCAAGCCACAAAGGCCUCUACUUUCGUAGCCCAUAAGCAAAAAAGCGGGGAUAAACAUGCCCUAAGGGGCCUUUUGUUCUGUCGAAGAUGAAGUUCAAGUUAAAAUAGACUUUGUAGUAGUGAAAUUAGAAUUCACGUAACAAUUAACUGUUCGCUAUUUAUUAUUGAAUAAAAUAAGUCUAAUAAUUUGUCAUGACAAUGAAUUCAGAAGACUAAUAAGUUGGGGUCGAGCCCAAUUAGUUGAACGAGGCUGCGGUCCACAACAAAUCUAAUAGCAAGAGACCCAAUAAUAGACUUAACGUUCAUAUGGAUUGAACCAAAUCGAAGCUCGUAAACAUUGUGGUUGAGUCCUUAAGUGCGAUGGAUACAUUCUUUCUAUUGGAACGUACUUUUGGGAUAGUUGUUAGCGCUUAUGAUCCAUAUUAAUUACUUUACUUAUGUUGUUUGUCUGUAUAUAUAGAUAUGAAACUGAAGUUCCUCCAAUUCUAUUAUUUGUUUGGCAGAAGUAAUUGCAUAAAGCUAGAGGAAGGAGAGAUAGGUUAAUAUUUUAUUUUUUUUCUAGGUUAAUAUUUUAUUUUUAUUCCUUUCUUUUUUCUCCGUUAUUGACUUCGACCUUGGAUGGGUCAAAGUCAAUGAUAUAUAUGCUAUUUUGGAGAGUUUGAGUUUUGACCGAAGGUAAAAUUAUAGGAACUCAAACAAUUAAUUCAAAUGCUACGGCUAUAAAAUUAAAAACUAUAUAUACAUAUGUAUAUAUAUAUGGUUAUAAUUAAAGCGGUUCUCUUACGGUUGAUAUUUUAGGUAACAUGAUAGCAAAGCAAAUUCCAUGACCCCUCCGUUACAUGAAUUUAUAUAUUCGAGUCCUACAUCUACCAUUUAAUGAGCUAAAUCCUAUUAGAUCGAUAUUUUGGGUACAAAUAAGUAAUAAUUAAUGGUGUUCUUUAAAUUGUAUUUAUGAGACUUUCAUAUCUGAGAAUUGAACUUACAGGUUCAAGCAGCGAUAGUAGUUCAAACCCCCCGUAAAGCCGGUCUCCUCGAACUUGCUCGCGUAGUAGUCGAAGUCGUCUUCUGAGAGCCAAGAAGGUAACGAAAUCUCGUUAUCGGUCGAACCGAACCCUUCUUCGGAUAGAGAAGAAGGCUUGGGAGUCAUGAACAGCCUCUUGAGGAUGUUCCUGGUGCCGAUGGCCGCGAAUUCGGCUUCAGCUUUUCCAGGUUCCUGAGAACACAUUUACAAAAGCUUAUAUGUUAAUAUACAUAGUAGUUUCUUAGCAUUUUGUGUUGAAGGUUCACAUGUAAAUAGUUUCGCAUCGGAUAAUUAAUAAGAUAAUAAAUAAGUGAUAUAUACUAGUGGGUUUCAGACCUAAAAGGUUUAAGCUUAUAAAUUGAAUGAUUUUAUUAGAUAUGUCACAUUCUUAGGCUCAUAUAGAACUAUUCUGAGCCGAGAACUCCCGCUUACGUUUCGUUCUUGACAAACUAUGGAUGGAGUUUUGCCGUACCACUAACAAAUUUUGAUUGAAUUUUAAGGAUUCUCGAAAGCCAAAAAGAUGAAUUGUAACUACAUUUUGAAUGAAAUUAUUUAUAUAAAUUUUAAAUGACUCUAUUAAUAUUGAUCAGAAGAAUCUUUGUGAAUUGUAAGCGCUAACCAACUAUCUCAAAACUACUUUCUAAUAGGAAGGGUGCGCGCAUCAUAUUUAAGAGCUCAACCAUAACGUUUACGGACUUCGAUCUGACUCAACCUACUUAGAAGUUAGGUUUACUGUUGGAUCUAUUACUGUUAGGUCUAUUGUGGACGGAAACCCAACUUAACUUAUUGAGCUCAUCCAAUCCAACUUAUUAGGCUCUUGGCUUUUUGUCACGGGAUAAUAAGUAAAACUUAUUUUAGCCAAUAAUAAAUAGCUAACAAGCUAUAGUACACCCAAAUUAUGCUUUCAACACACUCAAAUUUCACCGACCGUCCCUAGAACAAGUGGCAAAUGGCUUGAUGGUUGGUACCCGAGAUCCAUGAUCGAAUCCUAGUUGAUUCACAUUUUCAACUAAGUUUAUUUCUAAAUGAAAUAGACGAAACGGAUAGCGUGCUACCUAUCUCUCAAAAAAAAAAAAAAAAAACACUCAAAUUUCCCUAGCACACACAGCAUCUCCAUUCUAAUGAGUUAAUUGUUCCUUAGCGGCUUAAAUUUUUAGAAAAAAUUGAUUAGUUUAUGUACAUGUCCGAGUCGCCCCUUUUACAAUAAGAAAUUGAAAAGAAAAAACGCAACAAUAUUAUAAAACUAAAAAUGAUCAUACAGCUCUCUGUACACAUAUCGAAUAGCAAAUAUAUUCCCACAAAUUUUAACAUUUUAUAUAUAUUUAUACAAAAAUUUAGUAAUAUUCAUAUUUGCCCCUUUGGUUUGCUACCGUUAGAGUACUAUCUAUUUUUUUAAUAAAAAAUAAAUAAAGUAAUAUUUUUACUAUCACAAAUAUGUCACUUCGAAAACCCCACCUAUUAGAAUUAUACAGAAACAAAAAAAUGCUAAUUUAUUUCAUUCACUAAUCAGAAUUAAGUAUUUUAGCUAUAAUUAACUAUAUAUUUCUAACGGAUCCUAACAACGGGGGUAUAUUUGAAAACGUGAGAAUUUUAGCAGGAAUAAAUAUAAAAAGUUAAAUUUUGAAGAAAUAUAUCUAUUCGAUAUAUUUAUAAAGAGCUGUAUACAAUUAACCCUAUAUUAUACAUUUGAAGCACUAAAAUAUGUAUAUUCGUAAAAUAAAGGAAAAACUUCAAAUACCACCCACGUGGUUUCGUACUUUCUCACUUUAAUAUCAUGUGGUUUAAAGUGUAUUACUUUCGUAUCCUGUGGUUUUAUUUUUCUCUUUUUAUUAGCCCCUCCACUAAUUUUUUUUCGUGAAAUCAGUAACAAAGUUAAAACAAAAAGGUAUUAAAGUGAAUAUUUGAUAAACUAUAGGUGAGGUAUCUGAAGUAUUUUGUAUAUGAUUUAACGAAAAGUUAACGGAGGGACCGACGAAAAGAGAAAAAUAAAAUCACAGGAUACUAAAUUGAUACAAUUUAAACUAUAGGGUAUUAAAGUGAGAAAAUACAAAACUACAGAAGUGAUAUUUGAAGUUUACCCUAAAAUAAAUUAACCUGGAAUCGGCAGAUGUAGUAGCUAUCUCCGUACAGGUUUCUGAAAUGCUGGACCGGGUUCACGGCGGGGUCCCGUGGACUAAACGCCACGCUCAUGUUCACCAACGCCUUCACCCUCUCCGGCCUAAACAUGCACAUGUUCCACGCAACCAAAGCUCCCCAUCCAUGGCCCACCACAAACACCUAAUUUCAGAAUUAAUUUAAUUUAAUCAUGCAGUUAAAAUUUAAAAAAGCAAAAUUAGGUAACAUUUAUUAAUAUAUAUAUAUAUAUAUAUUAUAAAAUUAAUUCGAGGGAUUCGGAUCGGGAACAGACAAAAUCUAUAUCAGAAUCCAAACCCGUCAAAUUUUGCUUCUUUUAUAUCUGUAUUCGAAACUGUACCUAUUUAGCAUUGGAUAAACAUGCUUCGUUCGGAUUCGAGUUCAGAUAAAAUUUUAGAUAUUCAUAUCCAUCGACAUCUCUAGGCACGGGGGGUACCUGGGGAAGGCCGAGGGCGUCGAGGAGGCCGAGGAGGUCGCCGACCGCGUGGAAGACCGAGUAGGAGCUGAUCGAGGGCGGAGCGGCGGAGCAGCCGUAUCCACGGAGGUCGGGGGCGACGGCCCGAUACCCGCGGGCGGCGAGGCCGACGAUCUGGUGCCGCCACGAGUACCAGAGCUCCGGAAAGCCAUGCAGGAGCAGCACUGCCGCCGCCGCCGCCGCAUCGUUGCCGCCCUUCUCGGCGACGUGCAUGGCGAUGCCGUUGAUCUCGACCGUCCGAUGAACGAUCCCUUCCAUCUGUGAUCUGUGCAGCUGCAGGCUCAGCUUGUUUGUCCACUGAUUGUUGCAGAUUCCACUUAAUUUUCGUUUUCUGGGAACUUAUAUAUAAUGUGAUGUGCCUUAAUUACCUUACAGCAAGUAGCAAAAAACUUUAUUUUUUUUUAGAAAAAUUUCAAAUACCACCUCUGUAUUUUCGUACUUUUUCACUUUAGUACCUUAUGGCAUAAAGUGUAUCACGUUUAUACCCUAUGGUUCCAUUUUUUUCAUUUUGUUAUCCCCCUCUAAAUUUUUUCAUUAAAUCAGUGAUAAAGUUAAAACUAAAAGGUACUAAAGUGAAUAUUCGAUAAACUAUAGUUUGGAUAUCUGAAAUUUUUUAUAUAUGAUUUAACGAAAAGUUAACGGAGGGACCGACAAUAGGUUGGCCUUCGAAUUCCUUUUCGUCCUUAUUUUAUGAGAGAAAAAUAUUUUAAUGUAUUUAUAUUUAUUUUAUAAGAAAAAAGAUAUUUUAAUGUAUUUCUAUUAUUUGCAAAGGGAUUGUCAGGAUAAAUUAUAAUAAGUAGACAAAUUAGUAACAGAACCCUGGGUGGAGGGGAAAUAAAUGCAUCAAUUUAAAAUUUUGAGAGGAUAAAUGUAAAUUUCUGAAAAUUAGGAAAGAAAGCGAAAUGGCAAAUAUUUAUAAAAAAAUUUCUAAAAUUUUAACCUUUACUUAUUAAUUGAUUUUGAAAAGAUUUAUUAUAUUCCAAUUUGACGCACGAAAUUAUUUUUUAAAGAAAAAUAUUUGUUAAUCCCUAGGCUUCACGGACACUAAUACGGGACACGAGACACGACACGACUUGGAUACCGCGACUCGACAACUUUUAAUAAAUUAGGACACAGGCACGACAUGAAUGCUGCUAAUAAAAUAUAAUAUUAUUAAUAUAAUAAUAUAUUUUUAUUAUGUAUAAAAUAUUAAUUUUGAUAAAAUAUUAUUAUAUUUCUCGUACGAGUGGAAGUUAAUAAAAUUUUCAUUAACGGUUUAUAUAUUUUAAGAAAAAAAUUCUCCACCAUACAUAAUUUAUUUAUAUUGUUAAAAAAUUUUGUACACAUUCAUAAAAAAACUAAAAUAUUUAUCAUUAUCAUCUUACAUAGUAAAGUAGCCGGACACUAAAAUAGUAUAGUAGCCGGACCCUAUAUAUAGGCCAUGACUACUAUACUAUUAUGAGUAUUGAAGCCCUCGUACUCAUAAGUUGUUUUCAAUGAUGGAGUUUUCGAAUUGACGAUCCACCCCGUUAAAUAUGAUCUAGAGUAUUUGAAACUUCUAGAAAAUAAAUUUCGUAAAUUUUCGAAAUCAUAAUAAAAUCCAUCAAGUGGGCAUAAAAUGAACAGUCAAAAUCGAACGACGUCCUAAAAAAGGAUGAUCGGAUCCUUCAAUUCAAGAUCGGAGUUAUUGAUCUUUAUCUAUAUAGUGAAUAAAAUUUUCUAUCAAAAACUCAACAAAUUUCGAUUUUUUUACACCGUUAAACUAGCAAGUAUUCCAUACCGGCCGUUAAAAAAUGUCAAAUUUGUGACCUCUUGAUCAUAAAGUAAAUGAUGUCGAAAAAUUAUAAAAUUUGAUUUCUAGAAAUUUUAAAUGUUGUAAAUAACGUUUAAUGGUGUGGAUCGUCGAUUCGGAAGCUCUAUCAUCGAAGACAACUUAUGAGUACGAGGGCGAUCGUACUCAUAAUAGUAUAGUAGCCGGACCAUAUAU
Molecule: long non-coding RNA, 93824 nt
Filed under: Ananas comosus (pineapple)
Lineage: Eukaryota; Viridiplantae; Streptophyta; Magnoliopsida; Poales; Bromeliaceae
Description: long non-coding RNA (ACOM_LNC021533)
Source: RNAcentral